This 126924-nucleotide long non-coding RNA is filed under the name Prunus persica (peach). RNAcentral describes it as "long non-coding RNA (PPER_LNC005485)". The stretch from base 22287 to 22368 matches the Rfam family "tRNA". Lineage: Eukaryota; Viridiplantae; Streptophyta; Magnoliopsida; Rosales; Rosaceae. The record is from RNAcentral.
AAGGGUAGGGGUUCUCCAACAAAGCAAACCUGAGUUUUCCUUCAAUCUGCAAUUAAGACAACAAGAAUCUUAAAACAAAAAUUUAGGGCACCAACAAACAGAAAGAAGACCACAGCAAAACUUACGCAUCCUCAUCUUUAUAGCUGUCAAUGUUGCUACAAGAGCCACUGCAGAAGACAUAUGAAUCAUUUCCCACAAGACAUGUUUCAAAAGAUGUCCUGCUUGGCGCAAACCUGUUCUGUAGUUUGGUGCAAAAUGUCAUCUGGGAAGCAUCUGAUGAAUGCAACUUCUUCUGAAGCCUCAUAGUCCUAGGGAAACAGUUUGGUUGAUGUUCAGGUUCUUCAGACGAUAAAACCUGGCUUUCAUGGUUGCUAUCCUCUUCCUUCGAAGAAUCAACCAUUAACCCGGGUGCCUUUGAUGUAUCAUCUUCAAAUGAUCUACGGGAUGAGGCAGUCCUUGUGCUGAGUAUAUUUCCUUCACUAUUUCUCAAGGUACUUACAACCACCAUUCUGUCACGGCAGUUAUGUGGCAUUUGAUAGGCACAAUCAGAGGACAAUGUAAAAUAGGUCUGUUACUUAUAUAGGCUUUUCAGAUGUGUACUCAGAAUAGUCUGAAUCACUUCCACGUCCAGUAGAUGAUUGUGACUUCUGCUGUAUUCUGCGGGAACAGCUGAACAACCUAAAAGAUGGCUUCUUCACUUUUGCAUACUUAGAAUCAGAAGCACAAGGUACAAGAUUGAUCCUGACCUCCACAUUACAACCAAAUAUAGAUUGAAGUGAACUGGCAAUGAUCUUCCAUGACUUCUCAGCCUUAGAUACAUAAUCAGGAUGGCAGAAUUCCAAUUCAGCAAUUGCUAAACCUAAAAUUGAGCAUUACUCUGUUAGUGCCAUGAGCAUAAGAAAACCCAUUUCUUAUAAGAGCCGAUGUUUAUGAUUAUAAACCUAAGUCAGCUAAAACAGUUCGCAUGUAUGGAAAUGUGAUCUAACAAGCGCAAGCUAAGAAUAUAAAGUUGCUGAUACAUAUCUUCUUGAAAUGUCUCCCCUGGCUUUCAUAUAUGUUCAAAUGUGAUUUCACCAUAGAAUUAGUGAUGAAAUUCUAGAUGUAUGUACCUUGGCUAACAAGCAAGGAAGAUAAUUUUCCUUGUUUCUUCAGAAAAUUCUUGAGUGAAUUGGAUUGGCAUGAAUCUGUAGCUCUCUUCCAUAUGGAUUCCAACUUUCCAUCACUAUCCUUCUGCAUUCCCAACUUGUCCGGUAUAUCGACAUUGCAUGAACAAGUGACAAGGGUCUUGAAGCUCUCCCCUGUGGAUGAUGUACCACAAAACUUGAUAUCAAACUUUUACCAAACUAACCACUUGAACUUACGGAAAAUAAAAGGCAUUUCCAUGAACAGAAUUAAAAUAGAAGCUAUUCAUCACAAUCGGAAUCAGCUAAUGUAAUUAUUCUCACCUCUGUCUUGCGUACUUCUCAAACACAACUUUGUAUCAUUACCAUCCAAGGAAGAAGACUCCACAGAGCUUAGCUGCAGCAGAGCUGCAGUAAGCCAUGUCAUUUGAUUUUUGGACACCCUUAAUUGCUUCUCAGUUUCAGAGAAUAUUUUCAAAGCAUGACUCAGUUUCUGCAAGUCCACCUCAGCUGUGACAGAGGAAAUAGAAAGAAUACCACCAUAGUAUAAGUGUAUAACUAUAAGAUGACACAGUAAUUAACUGCAGUAAACAUAAUGCAGGAACCACGACAACCAGCCAACAUAUUUUAAAACCAAAUUCUUCAAGGUACAUUGAAGGAACAAUAAGCAUAUUAUAAUAUUAACUUAUAAGGGCAAUGCAUGAGCAACUUAUAUAAGAUGACCUCUUGAAACAAGAAUAUGAUUUGAAGCAGAGAAGACAGAGUGGUAAUAACUAAGUACAGUUUAUAAUGUAUAAAAACCAUUAGUGGAGUACUUGAAAAAUCAUUAAUAAUUAAUUUCGUUUACAGUAGUAAGUUAUGACCAAAAUCAAACAAAAUUUAGGGUCUAAGACAGCAUGCUUAAAGAACUUUCAUUUCCUGUACAAAAUUCUGAAGUGAUCUUCAGGAAGCAUGCGACCAUAUUUAACUACUUACAUGUAUGCCUGCUAGAGAACCUUUUCUGGACUUCAGAAGCACCAUCCUGACAUUUACCAGCUAGAAUAUCCAUAACAAGAUUUGCCAGCUGCGAUAUGAGUUGCAUGGGAUCAACCCGGGAUCUCAUCAACUCCCUGGCCCUUAUUACUGUACUAGAUGUGUCAGAUGAUAAUGCCAGAUCAAGCAAACCAAGUAAUUCAUCAUCGGAGACAACUCCAAUCUGCAUAACAAUAUAAGGGAUUUUUUUUUUGUAAAUACUGGAUAUAUAGACUGCGCUAUAUAUAAAAGUAAUUAGUAUGAAUAAAUAAAAACUUCCAAGGACUCACAAAUUCGUAUGCCUGGGCCAUUGUGAUUUUUUUACCAAGCAAACUUAGCUGAUCAAGCAUCAUCUCUGCAUCCCUAAGAGAACCAUUUGAAUUGGAAGCAAUGAAGCCUAAAGCACCUUGAUCAAAUUCAAGACCCUCUUCAACACAGAUUUUCCCUAAUUUUUUUGCAACAUCAGCAUCUUUAAGCUUUGGAAAGUGAUAUCUUUGAGACCGUGACACUGCACUUCGUGGAAGCUUAUCGAUGUCAGGAGUGAUCAUCACGAAGACAACAUGUUGAGAAAGGUUAUCUAUGCUAUUCAAAACAGUCGCCCAUGUUUCCCCACGCAUCAAGUGGCACUCAUCAAUAAUGAAAACCUUAAAACGUGACGAAACUGGAGGUAUAGCUGCAUUCUUAAUAAGGGAUCUAACCCUGUCUCUUCGAUUGAUUCUCACAGAAUCUACUUCCUUAAUGUCUCUACUCCUUCCAGAAAAGAAGGAAACACAUUCACAGCAGAGACCACAUGGCCUAUGCUCCUCAUGUGAAAGGCAAUUUAGUGCCGCAGCAAAAAUCCUUGAGGCAGAUGUCUUUCCUGUACCACGCGGGCCAUGGAACAUAUAGACUGAGGUUAUUCUUCCUCUAGAGAUAGCACCCAAAAGAGACCUCGCUACUAAAUUUUGUCCCACCAAUUCAUUAAAAAAAUUUGGCCUGAAUUUCUGACUCAGACUCCUAGGAUUUUCUGAUAGUGGGUUAGUUUUAUUACCAAUGUGUUUCAAGCUCCUCUGCUCAUAAAGUACACUCUCAUCUACAUUCUUGUAUAACAAAGGAUAUUCAUCUACAUCCAAAGAACGGUUAGCUUCUCUGAAUCUAGGGGUUCUUGACCAGCAGCAGCUGACCUCACAACUAGGACGAUUGCAAUCUACAGCAUCAACCGCUUCAUUUGCAAAUAAAGAUGCACUAUGGCUUGAUAUAGCAUCACUAGCUGAGGGGCAUGGACUGCCUACUUCACUUGUAACCUCACCAACUUCCCCACAUGAAUUUACACGAUUGUUGCACUGUGAUUUUCGCUUUGAUGUAAUCUGAUCUGUUCUUUCUAAAUAUGAUGAUCUGACAUCUGCUUCAUAAUCCACAUCCUCCAAAGUAUUGACACGUGUCAAGACCAAUCCUGUAUCCAUUUGACUACUGCAGUAUCUAUCACUGAGUGAUUUAUUUCCACAAACCUCUUCCUUAUCUGAUUCUGAAAAAUCAAAUUCUUCAGCCUGUUUGCUCCUAAUAGGACGACUCCCUGUGCUUCCAACCCACUCUGAAUUCUCAUGCAAGAUCAACCUAGAUUUUUCCAAAUCACAAUCUAGCUCAAAAUCAUCUAAGAAAUCUCCUCUGUGUCUGUAGAAACCCAAAUUCUUUGGUCUCAAAGAACGAUGUUGGUCAGAGCCACCUUCUUGGAAAGUAUUCGUGAAUCGCAUUGAAAUGUCAUUACUUGAAUUUGUUUCCCAAUUUACAUUCUCAAGUGGAGCAGAGAAUUUGCUCAUAGAAUUAGUUGAUGGAUCCCUUAGAGACCUCACCCUCCUCAGUGCCACAAGAGUUUUAGAAAUAGGAAGAUCAACAGAAUGCCGCCGCCCAUCCAUCAUUUUCUCGGACAGAAAAUAACAAUCAAACACAAGAACUCAAAGAAACACCAAAAUUUACCAUGAAAUUUCAAAUUUCAGGACUCAAAAGGACCUGCGCAUUCCCAACCUGAAAGAGGCAAGGCAGUAACACCAGAGAAAACCUCUUAAUCAAAAACAGGUAAAGAACUGUAGUGGAUUUAACUUUCCACAGAGAAACCAAAACCACAAAAUGGUAGACGAAACAAUUUUUUUCAAAAAUUCAAAACUAAUGUUAAGUUCUGUCAUUCACUGUCUGAAAGACCAAUCAGUGAGCAAAAGAAGGGGGGAGGGGAGCAAGAAACAACGAAUACACUGAUUUCUCAUCAAAGGCAUUCAAAAUUGCCAUUUUAGAGAAAACAAAAAUCAAAACUUGAGCAUUCACAGAAGUACAUAACACCGUUACAGAAUAACACCAUGGAAUUCAUAAAAAGCUCUUUCAUCCUACCUCUGGAUAACAAAACGAAAAACCCACAAAGCCAUUCCCAAGAAAAAGCAUCAAAACUCACCCACAUGCAGUAAACAAGCAUUGCUGAUUAAUACAUUCCACCAAAAGCUGCAAGCCCAUUCCCAUUAGUCAACUAAAAACCACCAUCAUCCAGCUCAACACCACACAGUCUACACAGAGAGAGAGAGAGAGAGAGAGAGAGAGAGAGAGAGAGAGAGAGUCAAAGAAAGAAUCUACAGUUCCAAAAUAAACAAUAAAAAUAUUCAAACGCAGAAAAAAAAACAAUGCGAAACGACAAAGAUGAGAAAAAAAGCCCAAACCUUUCGAAAUAGAAAUAAUCAAAAACCUCUUGGAACUUGACGAUAUUUUUCAAAGGGGUAGCGUAGAAAGCGGAGCAGAUUAAAUAAAACCCUAACCCUAAAACAGAGGUCUUGGUGGUUGAGCUCCGUUGUCGUGGACAAGCAUAGGUAGGGGAAGAAGAUAGAGGCGCGGAAGUGGCAGAGUAGUAAAUGUAAUAAAUGUGAGGGGCGGUUAGGUCUAGGCAUGCCAUUGCUUGUGAGCGAGGAGCCGACGUGGACAGAGAGGAGAGGACACAGCUAAAUUCUGAGUCAGAAAUUUUCUGAUGCUUUGUUGCAGAGUUUGUGCAGAGAAAAUAGGAGCGUAGGUCUGCUUGUCAGUCUCGGAGAGUGAGCUCUUCAGGGGUUUUAUGGUCAUUUCAGCACUCGGCGGUCUUUCAGUUUAUAGUUUACCCCGGGAAAACGAUGUACUGUAUGUCUCUGUACCUGACGGAUAAUUCAGUUGGAUGACUUGGCCACCGGGCAUGAAUGACACGUGUCAGAAAAAUUGUACACAGGUGCUGUGCUGGGCUUUGUAUUUUUUCGGUGAUAUUGCCUUGGUCUGUUUGUUUACCGGGAAACCGGAGGAAAAUGCCAAGAAAAUUCAAAUUCGAAUGAGAUUUAUAUAAUGCAACAAGGACUUUGUGGCAGAAGUGAAUUACUUAUAAAUUUAUAGCGUGGCCCCUGCGGAAUUUAAUAAACAAUAACAUUAACUUCACACAUCAACCACGUUAGAAAACAGUGGUAAAAUACUAGUUUUGUACACCAAGUUUUGGAACUAGGUGCAAAAAUAAUCAAAUGGAUAAUGUUUCCAAUGUGAGAUUAAUAUCAAAAUAUUAUCACCUAGGUAAAAGAUCAAAAUGCUAUUUUGGAUUCUGGGAAUUUGAAUUCUAGUCUUGUUACUAAAAGCAUUGCCUCCUCCACCAUUCAUCUCAUCCAUGUUAUUUUUAGGCAAGGCAUACCUAUUUGUUUGUUUUUUAACUCAUCAUUUUUAGUUAGAGCGUAAACUAGCUUGUUAUAGUUUGAAUUUGACUCGUAUUUUGGCUUGAUUCUGACUUUUUAAGUAAUAUUAUGCAAGAUGAGUUUGAGAAUCUUGGUGUUUAGUUGAGCACUUAUAUAAUUACAUCCUAAUUUUAAACAUGACAUGACGCGAUGUGAUUGUUAAACAUGUUAUAUUUAAGUUAGGCAAGUUAACAUGGUACGUAAAUUGUCAAUAAUUAUGUUAAAUGAGACGGCAUGUUUUUUACACAAACACAAUUAUAACUCGAAAAACGAUCGUAUCCAAUACUAACUCACUGACUUCUUGUUGUUCCUUGAGUUAUGUCCAAAAUUUGCAUUUUCUGCAUAAUAUGCAAUAGUUUCAUAUGAUCUUGUUGUUGUUGUUUGAAGCUGCCCACUAAUGACAAUCACUAGAUCUUGCUCCACUCUCUAGAGUAGCAAACCCCCCACCCUCUAAUGUGUACCUGCAUGCAGAAAGGAACAGUCACUUUGUAGCUAGCUUCAUGAGAAGUAUGGAGAUGUAUCUAUAUAUAUAUAUAUCUCUCUCCAUGCCUUGCAGCUUUUGAAUUUGGUGUGCAAAAAAGUAUUGGCAUGUGACAUGAUGGCUUUAUGAAAAAAGUGACACACCAUAAUUAACUCUUUGCAUAUAACUGGGCAAGACAGCCUUCAUUGCUGCAACCUGUAUUCUGAAUAUGUCGUGUUUAUUUUGAGCCAAUAGGUGUAUGCAGUUAAAGUUUGCAUUUCUGACAUUACUGGCUUCAAUUGAGACAGAAGACCAGCUCACAUGCUGCCGACCUAACUUAACUCAACCCAACUCGACCCGAACCAACUCAACCCAACCCAGUAGAGCUGUAGAAAUAUAAAGGGCUGGUACAGUCAAUAUGAGCCAAUCAGUCUUGUACAGGUCUCUUAGAUUCUGGCCCUCUUUUGGGUUGGGCCAGGCAGGCCUAAAUGUUGAGGUAAAAUUUGGGCUGGGCCAGAUCAUAAUUGAGCAUAUGAGAAAAAUAAACAAAAAAUAAAUAAGAAAGUGGUUGUAUAUUUUUGUGAGAGCACCAAAUAUCGAUGAAUUCAAAAGGGGAGACAUGUGAGCAGUCUCAUUCGAUCAAGGGAAUUGUCCUGAACGUUGCCAACAUCCUCUUCACAAUUUCAGAUUCUCAGAGUGUUUAUGAGAGAGAGAGAGAGAGAGAGAGGGACCAUUGAAAUUGCGGUGAGCUGCUCCAAGUUUAGGUUUUCACAUUCCACACGAAUUCUCCGGGAUUCAAAUUUCUCUGCAGCUUUCGAUUUUCUAGACCUAUACAAAUAUUCUAGUUAAAUAUGCAUUUGUCAGUACAUGGAUACUUUUUUGCUGUUGGAUGUUUUUGACAAGAAAAAUAAAAAUAUAAAAUACAGUAAUGAUCUCACACGUACAUUAAUAUUUAGUGAUAUCGUAUAUCAUACCCUUUUCAAUUAAGUCAUUUUUCGUUCAUAUCAUCAGAAUCUUUGAUCUAAUUUUGUUCAAAUAAAGCAAAGAGCUUGUAGCUCAUAUACUUCGAAUAUUCUGUUCGAUUUCUCCUUACUCAAAUAUCGAUUAUGUACAAUUCAAAUAACUAGUCCUUGAUCUACUUAAUCACAAAGUAUUAUUUGAAUUAAGUGGUAUAGUAUUUGUGCGUUUCUUUACGAUUUCUCUCUGUUUUAACAUCUGUUUUCAGUUAAGUUUGCAAAGAGAAUUAUUAUACUUAUUUUGAAUUAAUUAAGAAUUGGAGAUCUGAUACCAUUUGGUUGUUGUUGGUUGGACAAAAUUGUCUGGUUCAUAUUUAACCAUUUUAUUUAUUAUUUAAUUUCCUGCAUGCAUGAAGAGUGCAUGACAGAGUUGUCUUUGAAAAUGGCGAAAGCAGUGGUGGCCGUUGGAAAAUCAUGGAGACUCACGAGAGAGUAACAACAAAAUGAGACAACCUGUAAACCGCGUGUUAAGUUAAGCUAAGCUGAACUAAAUAGCUAAUUAGCCGAUUUAGAAGGACCAACUCUGCAAAUAUUUUAUCAUUAAUCUCCUUGAUACUCAUUUAUGGCCUCUUGCUAAUAUUGUUUUCUUUCCUGCUUGAUAUGCCCUUGAUUUACUCCUCCAUAUAUAUUCUUCCAUUUUCGUGGAUUCCCAUAUCUUUUUCUUCUCCCAUAAAUUUUGCUCAAGAAAACAUGGAGAUUUCUGUAAUGGCAUUGGGGCAGAAGUAUCCCCACCCAUGGAUCUAAUUUAAAGUGUAGAAGGGCAAAUUCAUUGUUCGUGAUUCGAACUUGAGCGUAAAAGGACGAGCUCACUAUCCUGAUCAAUUGACCUAACUCAUGUUUGUAUAAUAUAUUGCAUUAAUGUUGCCGAAAGUUUAGGGUGCGAACUAACUUUCAACGAAAGCACACAUAAACCAUAAUCAAAAGCCUUUGAUUUGCAAACCGAAUAGAGAAAAGGAAUACGGCAAUUUCAAGAAAAUAACAGGACAAUACUUGUAACCAAAGAAAAUAUGAAAACAACAGGACAAUAAUACGACACGUGAGCUGUGAGCAUGACCCUUGGUCUACGACAAAGUACAAACCCAACCACAUGAGAUCGACUGCUCAGGAUAUCAUCGCCACUAAAAUCUAAUAAAUAUAUUUUGGCAAUUUAGAAAAAAGCCAGAAAAAGAAAACCAAUGGAUUGGAAAUUUCAGAGUAAAUAAGAGGCUCUGUUUCCUUCUGUCUCUGCCCAGCGCGAGAAAAUUGCUCACUUUUUCACUUCAAACCCUCUGUCUUCACUCAGCAAACAGUAGAAGAAAAUAGGAAUGUCAAUUUGCUGCUUCUGAUCUUCAAAUCCCACAGGACUAGUCGCAGAGAGAGAGAGAGAGAGAGAGGAGAGAGAGAAUGGGUGGGGUUACUUCAUCCAUGGCUGCAAAGUUUGCCUUUUUCCCACCCAACCCACCAUCCUACAAGGUAGUUAAAGACGAAGCCACUGGUCUCUUGCUCAUGGACCCUCUUCCUCAUCGUGAAAACGUCGACGUUUUGAAGUUUCCCACUCGCCGCGGCAAUGAGAUCGUGGCCGUUUAUAUACGCCACCCAAUGGCCACCUCUACCCUGCUGUACUCUCAUGGCAACGCCACUGAUAUCGGUCAAAUGUACGAGCUUUUCAUCGAAUUGAGCAUUCACCUCCGCGUCAAUCUCAUGGGGUAUAAUUUCGCUCUACCCUUUACUCCAAUUUUAAAGCUUUUGUUUUUUUAUCUGCUGUUUUGGUUUUGUGUCCUUGUGUCUGUGAUUGGUUUUCUCAUUCUGAAGAGGGUGCGUUGAUGAAAUUGUGGUGAAUUAGAAAUACCAGUUGAGAAAUUUUGGAAAGUUUGCAUUUUUGUAUUGAUUGGAAUUGGGGGUGUGCCAUAAGAUAUUUGUGGAUUGUUAUUCAUGAUUUGAUUUAGAAAUAUGAAUAUCUUAAGAAUUCUGAUUUAGAUAUACAAGUAUCUUAAGAGUUCUGUUUAGCUCAAGUAGUGUUUUGGCUCAUUCAAUCAAUUAGCAAUGAAGUUGGAAUAACAAAGCGGUUUGGGAUCUACAGUUUAACUGGAAGAGGUUUUAUAAAUGAAUAUCAGAAGUAGGUGAACCUAAAUGUACACGGUUGGAAGCUGGGACAGUUAAUUUUUAAUUGUCAAGGUUAUAGAAGCAAAAAAUUUGUUUAUGAACUGCCCAGUGCCCAUUAAGAAGUUAGUUAGACUGCUUAUUCUGUGGUAUAUCAUAUUGAACUAAAUUUCACUAUUUCCUCCCAUCGAAUCAAAUUUUGGUUAUUUGACUUAAAAUGGAAACACAAGUACCUGAAGAAAACGUGAAAGUUCAACUGGCAUUCACUUCAAUAGCUCAGAGGCUAGCCAUGAAGGCGAAUCUCCUUUACCCAUGCACAUUUUGUUAUAUCAGCCGGGAUCCUGAUUGUAUGCAAACCUAGGUUUCAAGUGCAAUUGUUUAAUUGAACUAAUUUGAUUUUACCACAUUAUUUGGAAAACACGGAAAACAUUCUGAACCAUAUUAUUUGAACGUGGGCAGGUAUGAUUACUCUGGCUAUGGACAGUCAUCAGGCAAGGUAAGUGCCGUAUGAAUCAUGUAUUUGUCGUGAUUCAAAUUCUACUACACAGGUUUAUCUGAUGCUCAUUUGUAAACCUUUCUGCAGCCAAGUGAACAUAAUACUUAUGCAGAUAUUGAAGCUGCAUAUAAGUGUCUUGAAGAGAGGUAUGGGGCUAAGCAGGAAGACAUAAUCCUCUAUGGUCAGUCUGUUGGAAGCGGUCCUACUGUUGAUCUUGCUGCCCGUUUGCCUCGACUGAGAGCAAUUGUUUUGCAUAGCCCUAUAUUAUCAGGUUUAAGAGUCAUGUAUCCUGUGAAACGCACGUACUGGUUUGAUAUCUAUAAGGUUAGAUUCUUGAUAUCAAUUUUGGUGAAGACUUUUAUUGAAUUACUUUAUAUUGAGAAUGGUGAUGCAUAUGUACAUGUCUGAACCUGAUUUUCAUUUAUGUGCAGAACAUUGAUAAAAUCCCUCUGGUGAAAUGUCCUGUGCUGGUAAUACAUGUAAGUACUCUACAAUUAUUAUUUUGCCUCUGCUGUGAAAUGAAGUGAUUGCUGGAAUGUUACUAUUUUCCAUAUGUUUGACAUCUCAUUAAUUUCAUUUUUCGUAGAUGAUUAAAGCAGAAUUAUCAUGCAUUUAUAUUUGCAAUCUCAUGCUGAAGGAUCCAUCUGAAAUCAAUUAGAAAAAAGUUGAUGUUGUUUAAUCUUGGAUUUCACCACAAAUUUUGAAUUUCUUUUUUUUGACAUUUUGUGUUUGUUAUUCUUCUCCAGGGAACAGCUGAUGAAGUUGUCGACUGCUCACACGGCAAGCAACUUUGGGUACUGUGUCAAGAGAAAUAUGAACCUCUAUGGCUAAAAGGCGGAAGUCACUGUAAUUUGGAACUGUAUCCAGAAUAUCUUAGACAUCUCAAUAAGUUCAUAUCAACUGUUGAAAAAUCAGCUUCGCGAAGGAUUAGUUCUAGAAAAAGCACAGACCAUAGGAAAAGCACGGACCGCAUCGAACUUCCUAGGAGGAGUGUUGAUUUUUUUGAGGCUCCAAGGAAGAGUACUGAUCGGAGAGAGAAAUCAAGGAAGAGCACUGAUAGACCCGAAAAGCUGAAAUUUAGUGAAUACAAGUUUAAUAACGUUGACAAGGUAGAUAAGUUUAGGAUCUCUGCUGACCAGAUAGAGAGGUCACGAAGAAGCGUGGAAUACCAUCACGAGAAAUCUAGGAGAAGCAUUGACCAUCAGCUAGAAAAAGCGCGGAAGAGCGUUGACUGGCUGGACAGAAUUCGAGCUGGGUAAAUCUCCGGUGAAACUUUGUAUUGGGUUGGGAUAAAGAAACAUAGAACAAGUGGGGUGGGGAAAUUAUUUGGGAUCUAACUUAAGGUUGUAGAGUUUGUGGUUUCAGCCAAAGUUUGUGGUUUCAGGAUGUGUAUCUUUGUUAUUUUAUGUAACUUUGUCAUGGCUUGUAGAGUUUUAAUGUGUUCUUUUGGGUGUCAUUGCCCCUUGAUUGUUAAUGAAAGAACUCUAACCUCUUUGUUUCUCAUAAUUGAAAGGAAAUGAAGCUCAUGGUUCACAAGGGGAACUGUAGAAAAUGAUACAUGGCAAUGACCUUUGAUAGUCUUGGCAAUUUUGUUUUUUGUUCAUUCAAAGGGGUAAUAAUCAAAAUCAAACUUGUCGCAUUUUGUUAUAGCCUUAUGGCAAUUGUGCUUUUCCUUUUUCCCUUUUUCUGUUUCUACUAUGAAUUUAUGUGAAGAGAGAUUCGAACUCGGGUGCAAGAGUAAGCAGGCCUAACCCAUUCCAUUUUGUUUUUGGCUCCCAUUAGAGUUCAAGUGAAGCAACACAAUUGAAACAACGAGAAUUUGAUUCAAUAAACUAUUAUCUAUCAAUUAUAAUUAAUUGAUUGAAAAAUUGGAGAUUUAAAAAAUAAAAAUAAAAAAAUUCACCAAGCUUAAAGCGAAAACGUUGUCGUUUUGGUUAUUGCCUCGCCAUACAACACCCGCGUCUCCUUCUCCUUCGUUCGCCUGCCUCCUCCGACUUCAUUUUUUUGGGUUGGAUCUCUAGCAGUCUACGCAACCCCUGCUUUUUCCGGGACACAGUUGGAAUUUGCAUUCCAUUCUUUUCGAUUUUUCCAAUUUCUCAAGGACUUUGAGUUCCCGUUUCUUUGAGGUUAAAGGCCUAUCAGAAUUUUCACAUUCCGGAAUUACCCCUGCGCCUUUAGCAACAUGAUUGCAUCCUCUUCGUGAAGCCCUAACACCAUCGAUUGCUUUGGCACAGUACUCGAUUCGAUCACAAUGUAAGUAUGGCUCACUUCAAUCAACUCGUCGUUUUGGUCUUCAAGUAGAGUUUUGCGUGAUUUUGCUUUCACAAAGUUUCAUGAAUUUUCUUUUUGAUCGAUUUCUCAGCUGCCAAACAGAGAUGACUAUAUACUGUAGAGAAGUUUAUUAUGCUCAGUCAACUUUGUUUGUGCAGGUCACAGGAGGAGAUAGCAAGGGAAGCGAUAAAGCACGCACUGAAGGCUCUUCGGAAGCGGCAUUUGCUCGAAGAAGGUGCUCAUGCUCCGGCUUUUAUCGCUCUUGCGAGGCCAAUUGCUCAUCAGGUCUUCUCUUAGUUCCUUACAAGCUAGGAUUUAGGGUUUUGGUGCUGCUUAAAAAUUCUCGAUUAAGACAGAUAAUUAAUAUUCAUGGGCUUUGGUGCUGCUUAAUUUGAUGUUCAAGGUCAUCAGUUUCCAUGCAAUUAAAAUGCUUACAAAUUUGGCUUCUUUUUUGUCUUUUGAUUGUUUUGAAUUAGAUAUUGAGUUACUUUUGAAUGUCUUUGAAAGGGCUCAGAAUGGAAGGAGAAAGCAGAGAGUUUGGAACUCGAACUUCAGCAAUGUUACAAAGCUCAAUCUCGAUUGUCCGAGCAACUUGUGGUGGAAGUAGCAGAGUCCAGAGCUUCAAAAGCUUCACUUCAAGAGAAAGAAGCAGCAGUGGCUGAUCUCCAAAAGGAGUUAACAGAAAAAAGGUUGACUUUUUUAACUAGUAAUAGCAAGCGAGAUGCUUUUCAGAUUUCAAGAUUCUGUAUGAUUGAUUGCAAUUGUUGCAGGGAUGAAUGCUCUCAAUUAACGGUUGACUUAGAAGAGAAGAUUAAAGCCUUAGAAUUGGUUGUGAGUGAGAACAAGGAAAUAAGAGCGCAGCUUGAAGAAAUGUCUAUUAGAGCUAAGAAUGCUGAGGCUGAAAGUAAGGUGUUAAUUGACCGCUGGAUGUUGGAAAAGAUGAAGGAUGCUGAACGCCUUAACGAGGUAUGUAUAUCAGUUUUAUAAUCAGACUGAACUUUUGGUUUGGUAUAAUAGAUACCUUUGGUUUGGUAUAAUAGAUACCAGUAGAUGUCAAUUGCUUUAAGGUGUGAUAUUAUGUUAAAAGACUAGAAACAUAGCUAUAAUGCCUUAGUCUCCUGGGUUGAUGUUUCUCGAGGCUCUGAUUAAUCUCGUGGCUUGCUGUAAGUGGUACCAAGUAUUGACAUUCACUCUUUUUAUGUUGGAUGACUAGGCCAAUUUGUGCUUAACUGCAUACAUAUGUAUUCUUGCCAUUGUCAUAAGUUCUACGGAAGUACUAGAAAAACCUAAAUAAAAAACAAUGGUGUAUUUUAGCUAAUCAAUUAGGAUAUUUGUUGGCAUGGGCGUUGCCCCUUUCUUUCAUGAGUUUUGAUUAUUAUUUGACGUAACAUAAAGCCUUCAGAAAGUAUAUGUGAUAUUUUGUUGUUUUGUUUUCCAGUGUAUAAGAGUAGGAUUUUGAUUUUCUUUGGCUCUUGAAAGGGAUUUGUUUAUAAAUUUUCUACCUGUUUUACAUAUAAUGUAUAUUGGGGUAACUCAGUUUUUCUUUAUUUAAUUUAGGCAAAUGCACUCUAUGAAGAUAUGAUUGAGCGGCUCAGGGCCAGUGGUCUGGAAAAACUUGCUAGGCAGCAAGUAGAUGGUGUGGUCCGCCAAAGUGAAGAAGGUGCUGAGUACUUUGUGGAGUCAACAAUUCCCUCUGCAUGCAAGAGCAGGAUCCAUGCCCAUGAAGGUGGCUGUGCUUCCAUAUUAUUUGAGUACAAUUCUGGCAAAUUGAUUACUGGAGGACAGGAUGGGUCCAUCAAAAUGUGGGAUACAAACACUGGGGCACUAAAUCAUACACUUCAUGGUUGCAUUGGUUCCGUUCUUGAUAUUACCAUUACCCAUGAUAAUAGAUCUAUCAUUGCAGCAAGCAGCUCAAACAAAUUGUAUGCCUGGGAUGUUAGCUCGGGGAGGGUUCGCCAUACUCUCACUGGCCACAUGGAUAAAGUAUGUGCUGUAGAUGUUAGCAAUUCAAGUCGUCAUGUUGUGAGUGCAGCCUAUGAUCGUACCAUAAAAGUAUGGGAUUUGCAGAAAGGUUACUGCACCAACACAAUUAUUUUCCCCAAAAACUGCAAUGCUCUUUGCUUCAGCAUGGAUGGACAAACCAUAUGUUCUGGGCACGUUGAUGGAAACCUUCGCUUGUGGGAUAUUGAGAAGGGAAAGCUACUCAGUGAAGUAGCUGCACAUUCAAAUGCUGUUACAUCCAUAUCUUUGUCCCGAAAUGGCAACGUUGUUUUGACAAGUGGGAGAGACAACGUGCAUAAUUUGUUUGAUAUGCGGUCUCUGGAAGUCUGCGGCACAUUAAGAGCCACAGGAAACAGAGUGGCGUCUAACUGGAGCCGGUCCUGUAUCAGUCCAGACGACAAUUAUGUUGCCGCUGGAUCUGCCGAUGGUUCUGUGUAUAUUUGGUCAAUCUCUAAGGCCGACAUUGUGAGCACUCUGAAGGAACACACUGCAUCUGUGCUGUGUUGUUCAUGGAGUGGGCAUGGAAAACCUCUAGCUUCUGCGGACAAGAACGGCAUUGUUUGCACUUGGGCGUGAAUCGUUUGGCUGAGGCCGUCUAUUCUUGUUUCCACAAGACACAUCUCACUCAUACAUAAUGUACACAAGUGUUAUUAGAUUUGGUGUAAAUAUUUGAUUGAUUCAUCUCGAAUUGUACCAUGUGUGCAGUCAUUCUUCUCUCUUUCUCAUACAAAGUUCCUGAAUAAAUCUUAUUCAUUUUUUUUCUGUUCUUGUUUCUUGGCCAUAGUUGAGAGUAGGCUUAGCUAUGCCAAUUGCCACUAUAAAUUAUGAUUCAAACAAUAUUAAAUACUUUAAAUCAAAUUUGCCAAUUUUACAAUAACUUCCAUUCUAUAUGAAAAAUUCCAAUAAUUAAUCCUUACCCAUAAUAGCUUUCUUGGCCCUAGAAAAAUAAAAUUUAAAAAAAAAAAAAAAAAAACCCUAUCUAAUCUGUUGUUCAAACUUCAAAUGGGCCAAAUAACAACCAUGGAAUCAUUCCUCAAUCGGGCCCAACAGGGAGUGGAGCUUCUCUACCUAGUUACUAUAAAGCAUUCUGGGGUUUGGAUUCGACCCGUUUUCGAUAACGGAAAGUCCUGCCGGUGGUCUCACUCUCUGGCCUGAAACCUAAAACGGAGAUUGGAAGAAGUGAAAGAGAAGCUGAACGAUGGUGAAGGUAGCAACCUACUUUGCUAUGACUUUGGGAGCUUUUGUGUUCUGGCAAUCCAUGGAUAAAGUCCACGUCUGGAUCGCUCUCCAUCAGGACGAAAAGGUAAAAAACUCUUCUUUCUCAUCAUCGCAAUUUCUCUUUCGAAUUGGGCUGAGAAUGUUGGUAAUUUUGAAUUUGUAUUUAGGAUUUCAAUUCAAUUUCAGCUCCAGAAGCUCAAACAUUGAGAUGGGUCAUAAUUAAAUUGCUCAAUUCUUCGUGAAAAAUGUUAUUUUGAUGAGUGAAAUGACAUGAAAUUUGGGGGGGUUAGGUUUGCUUAAAAUGUAGUUACUGUUUCCUACCUUUGAGCUUGAUUUAUUCAUUAAUUGUUUUCUUGUCAAUCAAGAGGGUAAUGCUUGGUUAAUGGGGAUUGAGGAACAUAGUUGAACUUGGAAUUUCUCCUUAAUCAUUGUUAUUAUGCUAUAUUUAUGCAAUAUAGUGACACUCCUGUGUAGAUUAAACCUUUAUGAGUUAGAGCCAAUUCUUAUUCAUGGAUUUCUUAUAUGGAGCUCGUCUUCCAUGGUGGAUUGUGUGUUUCCUCGUGUGUUGCUUAUUAUCUUUACUAGUUGGGUUACUUGUGUUUCGUUUGUUUCUUUUAAACCACGUACAUAUUGCAUGCCAUACUUUGGGUAGAAAGCACAAAAUUGUGUAACAGAGAAAAAAGCAUUUGCAUUUUGGAGUAAUAAAACCAUUUGUAAUUAGAUUAAUAUUCAAAUGAUAGCAGGAAGCUAUUAUAUUGUGCUUACCUUUUCAAUGAACCUUUUUAGUUGAUCUUCUCUUAUCUUCACAUAUGGAUCAUUGUGUUUUGGUGUUUUGGUAUUGAUUUCCUUUCAAAAUCUUCCAUUCUUCGAUACUGAUUUGGGUCUGCUACUGUGUCAGCAAGAAAGACUGGAAAGGGAAUUGGAAAUUAAGAGGGUUAGAGAAGAGCUGCUGCAGCAAGCCAAACAAAGGGAGACUCAAGCAUGAUCUACUCGAUUGAUUUUCUUGUACCCUGGUUUCCCUUUGUUUCCUCUACUUCUGAUUUUGUUUGAGCAUAGCUCUCUUGAACAGUCUCAUGGUUCUGGAAUAAUUUAACUUGGCAUUCAUGGGAUAGCUAAGUUUUGUCGUAUGAAUGACUUUGUGUAAGAUUUCGAAAAUGAUAUCAUAUUUUUCAAUGUUAUAGUGACGCUUUGAAAUGUUAAUUACCUUAUGUUCAGGCACAAUUAGAAACAAGUUGUUGGAAUAUUGUCUAUAUUUUCCUUUAUCUUCAGGCAUGAAUUCUUGAUGUUAGAUAUUCUGUUACUUACCAAAUCAUCAAUGUCAUCAGUGAUUUUAGUUGCAUCUCAUCUCCUGACUUGUUUGACUUGCUAGCUCCAUUUCCUUAGAGAUGAAACUACGAUCACUUUCCCCCCAGUUUCCACCGUAAACUUUUUAACAGCAUGAAGUCCUCAAGCCAUCCUCAUUGUGAGGUUGUUGCUUUCCUGUGAAAGGGUAUCUUUCACUACAAGAUGCGCUAGAUUUCUAUUGCUGUCAUUAGAGGUUUUUGUUAUUUCUUUCAUAUUUAUGACCUUCAUUCCUUUGGCUUCCUCUUUAAUGUACACACUUGUACCUUCUCUCUUUAGAUUGGUUUGUGAAAGUUGGUUAUCAAAAGCACUGCAUGUUUUUCUUGAUAAGCUGCACUGGUUUGCACUUUACAUGGUCACGCAGCAAUACACAGACGAGCUAGCCAGUUAGGCUUCAUGGCGUAUCAUUUUGAAUUUUGUGCUGCCUUUUCACAUACAGCCUCACACUUUGAAUCCAUCGAAUGAUUUGAAAGAUGAGGACAUACAAGCAGAGCCAUCAACAAACUAUUGUGCUAAAGUUGAAUGAGAUUGAGCCAUUGGUUGUGCAGAUAAGGUGUUCUUGCACACAGGCACUCUAAAAAUUAUUGAUGAAACCUACCCAACAGAUUUUGGAUUCUCCUGCUAACAGCUUUUGGAUUAUUGUUCAUUACAAAGAUUUUUUCUUCUCCCACACUUAAUUGACUUUUUUUUAUUUAUCACCAUUCUUAUUGAUCAUAAAUCAUCCUACCCAACAAACGUAGCAGUUCUCUUUCAUUUUUGUUGUUUUAUUUGUUAAUACACGUCCAUUCUAAUUCUUUUUUAUCUCUAACACCUAAAAUAUUGUUACAUGUCAAAUCAUUUGGUGAUGAAAUUGUUGCGUGCCACCUUAUGAUACGUGUCGCAUCAUUUGAUGCUUAAAAUUUUUGAGACAUUUUGUAGUGUAUAACAUUAUUGAAGGUUGUUUUUAAAGUUGUUCUUGUGUCUACAAAGAGAUACAAAUCGAUAAAGCCUCCCUCGCUUUUUUCCGUUUUGAUGAAAAAAAAGGCCGUCUCACUUUCUCUACAUGUACAAGUGACUAGUCGCCAAAUACACUACGCCCGCGUCUUUGUGUGUGAAGUACAAGCGAUGUUUUACUUCAACUGCCGACCUAGUCAAAUGGUUUGGACUUGUAUUUACAAGGUUGAGUCAUCUCUUUCUUUGAUUGCUUCGGCCUAAAGGAAUUUCUUGCAUCACAUGUUUCUCUAGGUUUCUAUAAUUUGGGAUCAUGUUUUUAGAAUCUUAUUGGCUGAAAUUAUGGAAUCAUCUUAAUCAUAAGGGAAAUUCUAGUUACGAUCUUGUAUUCAGUUCGAUCACAUGGAAACACAAUACCUAUUAUGUCAUAAUCACCCAUUGAGUGAUACAUUUGACCCUUGAGUCGGCACAUUAAAUUGCAAGAUUACUCAAAUAAAGAGUAUAUUAUCUAUCUUUUUUUUUAGCACAAGCGAUUGGGGGAGGAGGUUUACACAAAUAUUCAUUGGGUGCAUGGGGUUUUGAAUAUCAACCCACAUGGGUGGAGGUGAAAGAGUCCAACCAAUUGAGCUAUACCUCACUUAGUGAGUGGAUUAUCUUAAUCUAAACACAUUAAGCUUAACCACCAGGGAAAAGGCAAUUAAUUGACUACGCGACAAGCUCAAAACUAUCCAAUUGUUGCCUAUGCCUUGAGUUAAAAGAUGAUAAAGCAAGCAGUUAUCACCACCACUUUAUUUUCCACUCUGCAAAGUCGUGGCAAAAGGACUCAAUCUACGUAACCCAUGCUCCCUUUGCAUACAUGGUGAUGGUAUUAUAACGUGUUGGGCAUGUAAUCAACAGAGAGAUCAAGUCUAAAUGCCCACACAAGCUUUCCAUUUUGUAACUGCUAAAAUACCCAAAUUCUUGCUUCCUUUUUCAAAAGUUCAAAAGCCUCGUAUGAACAAAACUAACUAAUCUAGGGCAUUGCUUGCAGAACCAAAACCAAAACCCAUUUCCCACACAUCUUUUUAAACUCCACAAAACAAUCAUCACAGCCCAUACAUUUUGGCUCUUAAUUUUCCUCCAUUAUUUGAAGAAGUUUGAUUUCCACAAGGAACCUGCAACUUACUCUAUCCUUUCAUCAUCACCAUCAUCACUCUAAUUCUGUCCUGAAUUCUUUGAUCCUCUAUAUAAAGCAGCACUGAGGUCUCUGCAUUCUCAUUCUCAUCUUGUGUUCAAUCUUCAUAAGCCAAUAGAAAUGACUAAGUUUAUUUGGGUUGCUCUUGCUCUGUCACUUGCUUUGGUUGUUGGGGUUGCUCAGAGUUUCGACUUCCACGAGAAGGACUUGGCCUCUGAGGACAGCCUGUGGGAUUUGUAUGAGAGGUGGAGGAGCCAUCACACGGUUUCCAGGAGCAUUGAUGAGAAGCACAAGCGGUUCAAUGUAUUCAAAGAGAAUGUCAAGCAUGUCCACAACACUAACAAAGGAGAUAAGCCUUACAAGCUGAAGCUGAACAAGUUUGCUGACAUGACCAACCAUGAGUUCAGGAGCGUUUACGCCGGUUCAAAGGUUAAGCAUCAUAGGAUGCUCCAGGGGGAGCAGCGCGGUGAUGGGGGCUUUAGGUAUGAAAAUGUUGACAGUGUCCCACCCUCUGUUGAUUGGAGAAAGAAAGGUGCCGUCACUCCUGUUAAGGAUCAAGGCCAGUGUGGUAAGGAAAAUUUCCUUCUUUUUUCUAGUUUGUUUCUUUUUGUUUGCCUAUAGCAGCACAGAACUGGAAAUGUAUGAAACUAGGGUGGCCAUUAACCGAAGUUCCUUUCGAUGAUAUUUUGCAGGUAGUUGCUGGGCAUUUUCAACAGUUGUAGCUGUUGAGGGCAUUAAUCAAAUUAAGACCAAUAAGCUGGUUUCAUUGUCUGAGCAAGAGUUGGUUGACUGUGACACUGAACAAAAUCAAGGAUGCAAUGGAGGGCUAAUGGAAUUGGCAUUUGAGUUCAUCAAACGAAAAGGUGGCCUAACAACAGAGACUAAUUACCCUUACCGAGCAGAAGAUUCAACAUGUAAUGUUGCAAAGGUACACGUUUUGUGCACUUACUUUUCAGGGAUCGAUAUAUCUUUGUCCAUUUUGGAUGCUCCUUCACCAUAUACCCAACAUGCUUUUGCAGGAAAAUGCUCCAGUAGUGUCAAUUGAUGGUCAUGAGAGUGUGCCUGCAAAUAACGAGGAUGCAUUGCUCAAAGCAGCUGCAAACCAACCUAUUUCUGUUGCCAUAGAUGCGGGAGGUUCUGAUUUUCAAUUCUACUCUGAGGUAAACUUUCUAACUUGUAUUCACUUUUGCUAAGCUAGUGAAACAGAAGGAAAAAGAAAAAUCAGAUGGUUCAUACCGCCAUAUCUAAAUCUGCUCGACGAUGAUUUGCAGGGGGUAUUUACUGGACAAUGUGGCACAGAGCUUGAUCAUGGAGUUGCAGUUGUUGGCUAUGGAGCAACACUAGAUGGAACCAAGUAUUGGAUAGUGAAGAACUCCUGGGGCCCUGAGUGGGGAGAGAAGGGUUACAUAAGGAUGGAGCGUGGCGUCUCUGCGAAAGAGGGGCUCUGUGGAAUAGCAGUGGAGGCUUCAUAUCCCGUCAAGAACUCUUCCACCAACCCUAAAGGAUCACUUACCUCCUAUCUUAAGGAUGAACUCUAAACAACAUCCUCCAUUGACUCUAAGCUUUGCUGAUGUUGCUUCGGUUAUAAAUAAAAAUUGUUGCAUGACACAUGGCCUCAUGGCCAAAUAAUGUUUCUCAUAGAUUUGAAUUAUUCAUAUAUCAUCUAAGAUCUGUAUUUGGUCUGCUAAGCUGAAAUAACAUUGUCGAAUUAAUUUCCCCAACUCUAUGCCUAUUCCUACCAAGCAUAACAGAAGUAUCAUCAAAGCAAGAAAGAAAAGAAGGUUCAAAAUCAGAGUAUAUUUUCAAUAUAUAAAAGCAUGAUGCUCGAUUAUCAUAAACAAUACGAGUACACCAAAACAAAUUAUAAUGUUUUGGACCCCCAACUGAUGCGGCAACGUUUCAUUUGUACAUAUCCGGUCUCACUAUGAAACCUCAUUUAUUUACGACAAGUACGGCAUUCACGCAUCAUAUGUUUUAAGUUUGAAUCCUAUGGCAUCAUGCAUGCAUAAACUUGUCAACCAUAGCACCUAAUAGGAUCCGUGCAACCCUUUUCAGCAGAUUGUUUGUUGCCUUGACCUCCUCCCUUUUCCAGAUAUUGCUGAUGAUACUCCUCUGCCCUGUAAAACCUCUUUGCUGGCAGAAUCUCAGUCACCACCUUCUUAUCCUUCAACUCCACUUGCUUUGCCUCCUUUGAUUUCUGGGCCAGACGAGCCUGGUUUUCAUUGUAGUAAUAUAUUCCAGAUCGAUAUUGUGUACCAACAUCACCACCCUGAUACAUAAACACAUAAAUUUAUUAUUUAAUCAAUCAGAAAAUCAUCUAAUUUCAAGGUAAUAUUCUCUUUCAUUGGUUAUCAAUUUGAACCAUACACUCAUACAUUACAGUCUAUAUCAUGUUUAUCGAGAAGCAAAUAUGGUAACCGAUAAUUUAGCACAUUUAGGACAAAAUAAUGAUCACUCAUGUAUUUAGUUUUGUAAUUUUCCUUCUUCAGUUCUUUUAAACUAAAAUUUAACGCCUUCAGAAAUAAAAACAUUCAUACAUUCAAACAAACAAAAAUCUAUUGAGAAAAUCAAUUAACAAAGUACAAAAUUCCCAAAUUACAUAACCAAAAAAAAAAAACUACAGGGCAUGAGUUGUACAAAAUAUAUUGAAACAAUCUUGAUUGAUAUUCUUUCCACAUGUCACUGUCCCAUCAUAUAACUUUUUGGUGCCAGAAAUACAGAAUUAGCUGAAAUUCAGCAAUUACUGAGACAGCCUGACAAACCCAAAAAUAAAAAAGAAAAGAAAUUUGUAGAAUCAAUUUUAUUUGACAGUACAUCAAAAUUCAAAAGAAAACGCUCAGCACAAAAUUAAGUCCAAAAGUGAAUCAAAAAAGGCUGGACUGGGCUGGGCUGGGUUACAAAAUCAACAGUCCAGAAAACCAAACAAGAUUACCUGGCGAUUGAGCGUCGUUGGAUCAUGACGAGCCCAAAAGACAGAGAGCAGAUCAGUGUAAGGGCAGACUUCCGGGUCAAACUGGACCCGAACCACCUCCGCGUGGUUGGUGGUUCCGGAGCAAACCAAUUUGUAAUUCGGAUCCUCCACGUGGCCCUGGGAGUAGCCGACUUCGGUCUUGACCACCCCGACCACUCGCUGGAACCUCAGCUCCGCUCCCCAGAAGCACCCGGAUCCGAAUUGAGCGAACUCGUGACCCGGAUUGUCCGGAGCAUCGAGGUCCGGUAACAGAGCAGGGUUGGCGGGUCCCGUCUUUUCUGAAGUAGCGGCCAUUGUUGGUUCCUGACUGAGUUUUGCGAAAUAUGAUUGAUGCAGAGCAAUGCGAAUUAGUCUUCAACGUUGAAUCUGGCCGCCAAUCCUCGUCACGUACAUUCCCAGCGAUCCCGAACGACAUGUCGUUGAACUUGCACCACCACACUUCGUAUUACUUCACGUGCUUAUUGAAUAUAAAUCCAUAAAUGUACAAUUAAUCUAACGUGUGGUGGACGUGCCGGAGUGGUUAUCGGGCAUGACUAGAAAUCAUGUGGGCUUUGCCCGCGCAGGUUCGAAUCCUGCCGUCCACGUUUUUGCAGUCCGAAAUUAAAUCCUUUUUUCUUUUUCCUAGUUGAGAGUUGAGACCACAACACAUGCCCAAUUACUUUCUAUGAAUAAAUGAGAUUGGGCUUUGGCAAAGGAAAAAAAAAUAAAAAAAUUGGGCUGAAUUUUUGGCUGGGCUCGGGUGAAUAACAUGUCUAGAUUUUUGUUGUGUGUGUGUUUUUUUAAUAAAUAAGAUCGAUAUUCUAAAAUUAUUUUAAUGUACGAGAAGGAGGGGGUUCGGACUAGGACGCAAUCGGGCUUAUACAAAUGUGAUGAAUGAGACGUUGACCAAAACAAAGGGUUUAGAUGAAUGAGAUUUGACAAGGCAAUAUGCUGAUAUGAUGUUGUAGGCUUUGUAUCAUGGUCCGGUUAGUCAUGAUGAUGUUUUGCAGAUCCCUCUCUCAUGGCAUCUUUGAACACAAAAGUCGUGAGAUGAGAGGGCUUUUGAGAAUGGUGUUUGCAAAUGGAAGUAUACAACAUCAAGUACUCCAACCAGAAGGGGGCCAUGAGAAGAUUCCAAGCAUGCUUUUGUUUUGUUGCAUAAGUGCUUAGCUCAGCUUUUUUUUUCCACUAUGUUUUGUUUGCCCUUUCUUCUAGCAUCCUCCCUCCCCUACCAUGAUUUCCCAAUUGACCCAGAUGGUAAUUAGAAAGUGGUGCACAAAACAUUAAUGUCAGACAAGGCAAUAGGAAGGAACAUAAUAUCAUUAUGUGUUUGGUAAUAAGAGUAAUGUUAUGGAACUCAUCAAGCGGUUGAUCUUAUUUCUAUUCGAGAUGUGGUACACGAGGCGGAGUAUAAACGUAAUCAUCCUAGUAUUUUCAUGAUAAUCAUGAAGUCAGUAAGUGAGGGCUGCUGAUGGUGUCUGGACUAAAAAAAAUCUUUAAAAAGGCAGCACCAACAAUGAGACCAAAGAAAGAUCGAAUCUAUAAUUACAUCUUUAAUCUUUUCAGUCUGUUUAGCAUUAGAGUCCUAGUUUGCAUUUUGCAGUGAAGAAAGGGACCAAAACGUUGUCGGCUUGCACUAACUUCCACCAAUUGUGCCCUUGUAUUGACCUCUCACAGCUACCAAAUUGACCAAUCAACAUUACUUGGGAAUGAUUCUUCCCCUACUGAGCUACCAAGACUAAAAAUUCCACAAGAUAGUAGCGUAUAGUCAAAUGGAAAACAAGAGAGGCAUAUGUAAGAUCUUUGUAAGCACACAAAUAGUAUUACUAUUACUAAGGUUAGUUUUGGUUAUGCCAUGACUUUUAUUACUUUACCGAUAAGAUUUUAUGAGACGUCAUAACAUCUUAUGGUUGACAGAAACUUACAUGUAACGAGGUGUAUAUGUUUGAAUAUGAUACGUUAUGUGACAAAUUAUUAUAUUUGUACAAGGAUUUCAUCAGGCUUGUACGGUGUUAUACGUGAAAACAACCGUUAGCAUUUAAAUGAUUAAAAAAGUUAAUGAGGAUUUAUUAGGAUUUCGGAUAUAUAUCAUGUUGACAGAGAAAUCCAACUUUGGCCAUUAAACAAUGUCCUUUUAACCACUUCGUUUAGGACGUUUUGUAUAAUUAAUUAUUCUGAUAAUGAAUAGAACCUUGAACUAAUCUAGAAGUACAUGUGCAUUAAAAGGAUCAAAAUAUUAAUAUUUUCUUGUUGAGUAUCAGUUUUUAUAAUAUUUUCUAAUUUCCAUGAUGUGUAUUCGAAGGAGGCUCAAGUUUGAAGAGGGAGAGGCUCUUCAACAUGCUCCGGCCGGCUUAGCAGUGGUUGAGGCUUCAACAUCAGUAUUGUUAAUGUUAUGUACGUUUUUAAGGACGGGCAAAGAAAACAUUUGCAAGUUACAUAUUUUUUAAACAAUAAAGUGUGGAAAAUGUUUGAUGUACACUAUAAGUCUUCUUAUUUUUUAAGCAACACACUAAUGUAACAAUUUAAGUAUUCACAUAACGCAGAACACGCUAUCAAUUUUCUUUUCACAAAUCGGUUUACGGAUAACGUUUUUAAUCAUUUGAAUUAUAAGUUUUUAAAUACGAGAUUAAACAAAAUCAAACGGAAAUGUAUAGAUAUUCUAAAUUAUACCAAAUCACAUGAGAAAUCAUAUGUUUAAAUAUAAAUAUGAAACCAAACAGGACAUGAUAAUACCCCCCCGAUUUGGUAACAAGGCAAACUAUGUUAACCCAAAUUUCUACUAGGGUUAACCUUCUAUCCUCCCUCAAGGAAGAAGCACAACUCCCACUUCAAUAUACAAUACACAAAUUUUGGACAUCUGGGGGAAAAUUGACAUUGUGGUAACAAAAAAAAAAUUCAUACCACUAAUUUGCCGCAGACCUAAUUAACGACGACUAAUUAAUCACAAUCUGAAGGUUCGAAUCCCAUGGCUGCAUCUGGUUUCUCCUAAUUCCUCCUCUCUCUUCCUCUUGGGCAGGGACAAGGAAGAUAUUGUUCUGGCUGACACCACCUUCCUCACAAGCAGUUUCCACCUUGCAUCAUCUUUCUUUUUCUCUUGCUGCAUUUUCAACUUGAAUUGCCUGUCGCAUUCCCAAAACGACGCCAUAUUAAUAAAUAUCAAUGCUAGCUGCUAAAUAAAUUGGAUACUCAUAAUUGACUAAUGGACUAGUUGCACAAGGAAAAGCACAAUUAGCUGAGCUUAAUGCCCCACCCAUCCAUGAUAUUUUAUUUGCCACUUGUUAUUUUAUGAACCAAAAUAAGCCAAGGGAUUGAGGGAACCUCAUUUGUUUGGCUUUAUUAGCCAACUUAUGUCUCCUUCCUCCCUAUUAAAUCAUGAUAAGCACAAGCUGUCACACUGGUACCUUCUAUCAGAAUUAAGGGAACAGCAUCUAAUUAAAAUAUCUAGUAGUACGCAUUGUAUGGUCGAAAUUUACAGUUUGACAAAAGAACAUUAACCGCGAUAUAACUUUGGGUUGUCAUGAGUUAGGUUCCACCCCCAUGCCAAAGAUGCCUCUAUCGUUGAAGUAGGUUUCAUUCAUAUAGAGUAUAGACUAGUCAAUUCCAUCUUAGUCCUAUUAUGAGAUUCCAAACCAGAAAAGGCCAACCCCUCUAAAAAGUGAGUUUUUUUAUUUAUUUAUUAUAAAAUUGGUUUAAUUUCAGGUGGCAUACCAAAACAUAUAUACAAAUAAAACAUGCAAAGAAAACCCAUUACUUAUUUUAGCUGAUAGAAUCUUUUGGCAUCCUACCAACAACUCCUCCUUUUUUCUUGGUUAUUCAUUAAACCAUAAUUAGCAUUAAUUUGAUCAUCGUUAAUUAUAUGUUUACCUGCAAAGAGGAACUCUGCAAGAGUCGGGUUGGUCACACAUUGACGAGUGAAGCCUAAGAAGCUGCCACAUGCGCUUGCAACGCAAGCACCCUCCAUUCACCCUCCUUUUACAGGUGGCGAAGUGCUGGAUCAACAGCUGCAGCCCUUGACACGUAGAGAACUUGCUGCAUGGGCCCCUAUUGUGACCUGGCUCCAUAUCGUAGGGCCCAACACUCGUGCACCCUUCCUUGCAUAUGUGCUCCAAGCACUCCAUGGCCUCACUUAGCUGCAGAUACAACCUUUGCUCCUCCCUCAGCUUCCUUGUCUUCUUCUUCCUCUGCUCACAAAAAGGGAAAAUUAACUUUCGGUCCUUACAAUUACAAUAUCAAAUUGGGGUCAAAAUAUAAAUAAAAAUUCCAAGUACGAUGUACAUCAACAGUUCACAAUCAUGCGUGAAAUUCUAAAAAUUUGUCUUACGAAAUGAAAUAAAUAAACAUCGUAUUAACUUACCGACGCGGUUUCGUCGAUGAAUUGUAAGAUGUCGAGUUCGAGCCAAGGGUCAUGAUCUUGGAGGAAUUUCCAGCCUUCAGUAUUCUCGACAGCCUUGAAGUGAUUAGCGACCAACUUCAAGCACUUGAGGUAGAGAUCCGCUGCGUCGCACAUCUUGGCCAGUUGGAGCACAUCCACAACGUUUUCGAUGGUCAAACGUUGACCCAGCUCCUUGAUGCAUCUGUGCUUCAGCUGUGGGACCAGGUACACGUGGGACAGCGCGAGUAGAUGGAUCCCGUACUUCUCCAUAUGCUCUUCCGUGCACCUGCAUCAGGGGGCAUUUUCGUCAAUUCACUAAUAAUCAUAUUUUAAAUGUUCCUCCAAUUUUGGAAAUUAAUAAUUAAAUUAAAAUAUGUCCGAAACGGACGGUCGCGAUGAAAUGGUCGGUGCAGAUAAUUGAUACGAGUAAAAACGUGCUAAUUAGGAAAAGCGGGCAACGGCAACGAACCUAGAGGAGUAGAGGAAGCGAAGGAAGGCCAAUACGGCGUCGUUUGGGACGCCGGUGAUCGGAAUGACUCGCUCGGAGCUCCGGUGCUUACGUGGCCGAUCAAUAAUGUUUUCCAGCACCGGCGACACUGAGGCCUUCAAAAUGCAAAAAUGAAGAAAGGAAAAUUCAGAUCUCUUUUCAAAAAUAAAAGAAAGUUAAGUAAUGUUUUUGCGUUACGAAAAACAAAAAAGGGAAAUGAAAUGAGGAGAGGUGUUUGGUAGGUGGAAUAGAAUGUACCAGAAUGCUAGAGUGCGCCGGGAUCCGCAGAGCGUCGCAGGUGACGAUGUGGACAUCGGGUUCGGGUAGGUCUCGUGGGUCGGAUUUGGUGCCGGAUAGUCCGUACAGGUCAUCGGAGAUGUUGAUGGCUACGGUGGGAUUAGUUUCCAUUUCUAGAGAGAGCGAGAGAGAGAGAGAGAGAGAGUCAGAGAAGAAAGACAGAGAUAUUAUGAGUAGAAAGAAAGGAGUCUUUUUGUGAGUGUGUUUGUGAGACGAUGAAAAUGUUUGAUGGUCUCCCCUGACUUUAUAGAGAAUUUGAGAUUUUUUCAUUUUUUAUUUUUUAUUUUUUAUUUUUUUUGUUGUUAAGUCAGGUUCCGAGAAUGAAACGCAAAAGAACAAAUAUAAAACAACCCAGUGCGACUGCUGUUUGUGCGCCUCAGUCUCACGCGCCAUUUAAGAGCCACAUAAACAUUAUGUAGGCUCUUAUUGUGUGAUUAUAAAUUGAUCAAAGAAAAUAUAUGUUACCAAAAGAGUAGACAUGGUAUAGAUUUUGAUAAUAUUUUCUUUUGGCAAUUUGAGGGCUAGAAUGGGCCGAACAAGGCUGUACCCAACCCUAAUUGCUUAUCUUAAAAAUGAAUAUAGAAAAAAAUAUUGUUUUCUUAUACACUUUGAUCUCGUUUGGUUCACUGAACAGAUUUAAGGGGAAAUUACUUCCCAUGUCAUUUCCUGAGGGAUGGGAAAUGGAAGAUUCAUUUUCCACGUUUGAUAAUGUCGGGAAAGAUGUGCAUUGAAUGUUGGCUCAUUUUCUCAAACUUUCCUAUAAUAAGGGAAAACAAAACCUAAAUUGAGAGGAGGGCUUCACUUUCCUCAUACUUUCCCAUGUACUAGGCAACUAUUUCCCAUGCAUGGACUUACCAAAUAUGAAAAAGUAAUUAAUUUCCUAUCUCAAAACCCCCUUUUUCAUGAACCAAACGGGGCCUCUAUGCUUAUAUAUUUCUUUACAUUUUUACCUUGACUUUUACCUUAAUUUGUAUUAUUACUUGGUUGACGGAAAUGUCCAAAGUAAAUUGUGCGUGUGGGAAGCAUCCAUCAUUUGCUAGCUAAUAACAAUAUUUCCAUCUCUACCCCUGCCAACUUGGGAACUUGCUUUUUUUAUUUUAGUGAUUAUCCAAGAUUAUAUAGAUAAUAUUUUCGAUCUGACGUGUAAGGUUUAGCCCACAAUACCCACUUGGCACUCUACGAACAAACCCAAUAAGGCCGGACUUAAAAAACCAGAAGGCCAAAUUAUAAUAAGCGGCCUUUCGCCGUAGGGAGAGGAUGACUCAAUCCGACGUGCCCGUCCUCAUCCUUUCCAUCUCACCUGCUCCGAUCACAAACUAAUAUCCACGUAUACUUACACGUGUCAACAGCCCAUCUUCACUGCAAAAAUAAAUAAAUAAAUACAUCAAGAUAUUAGUUUAAUUAAGUCGGGUGCAAAAUUAGCCAUCAAUUAGCGCCGUAUUUGGGCCCACUGAAACGACAGGUCUUAUUUCCUCACACGUGUCCAGGAAGUCGGCGAUCACCGCUUGCGUUUAGAGCAGACGACACGUUUUCGAGUGCCAGUGAGGUCGGUACUGGCGUGCUAACUGUCGUUUUUCAGGCAAACGAAACUAUUUUUAUUUUAUACUUCUCAAAUACCUGAGCUGACCUAAUGGGAUACGAAACUUUGCUAUGUGGUGUCUUUCUCAGAAGUUAGAAGAGAAUAAUGCAAACCUUUGCAUAGCUAAGCAUGUUAUUAACAAGCAUUUAUGGCAUGCACCUGAAGAAAAAUUAAAAAUGAUAAUGAUUUCUUAUGAAUCCAAGGGCAGGGGUUCCACCGUAGCUAGUAGCCACGUACUGUUUGAUGCAAGAUCCAAGGGGCUAUCUUCCGAGAAUAAGAAUCUACCAUGCGGGGCAUUCUGGUUAGAUGAGGAUCAAUUCAGCUCGUCAGGACUCUUUCAAUUGGAGUUCUUAUUGAAAGCAGUGUGGCUCAUGACUGUUGAUCAACUCCUUGCAGGUUCUGGAACUUUUAUGCAGUUUGAACGCAACCAUUGUUGGCUUGGCAGUUAGCUCUGAAGCAUCCAUAGAUUUACCUUGGUGUGUUGGUCUUGGUAGGCUACUCUGUUUUGCCACAAUAUUUUUGGUUAUAUUUCAUCUUCUCUGUAUAGCUCUGCUCAUAAUUUUAUAUUUUCUGACUCCAAUAUGUAGGGAACUGGGGUUUUAAUUAUGAUAUAAUAUUUCAAUAAACAGAAUAUUUUAAAAGUAUAGCCGGGCGGCUAUACCCUCAAAUAGUUGAAGCGUAUAGCCUACACGAAUCUUUAAAGAGUAUAGCCGUUCGGCUAGACCCUGCCUGAAGUCGUUGAGGAUAUUGAGGUUCAGAAGCCUAUCCAUAACUACUGUGAAGGACAAUAGUAAAAUUCGAAUUGAUGUAGAAAAGAAAUUUGGACAACAUCAUACCUUGGGCAUUACUUCAACUGCGACUGCUGAAACAUAACUUGAUAUAGCCCGGAUGCCGCGCGGCUAAAUAGAAUAUUUUAAAAGUGUAGCGGUGCGGUUAGACUCUAUAAAAUUGGGAUAUACAAAAUUAUGAUCUCACUGCUGUAUUAGCUAUAAUAAAUAAUGGAAACAAGUUGUUCCCAAUAAUCAAUGAGUGUGAGACAACCACGAGAAUAGGUAGAUAAACUUUCCUACCAAAGUAGUUAACACAUCCACCCAAGUGCAGAAUACAGAAUGAGUCAAAGGGAGAAACUGACAGUAACUUGUACUAAAAAGAUUUGUUAAUUUAAGUUUCAGCUUCUGUUUUCAACUAAAAUUGAUUUUUACAUCAACUCAACUAUCUGCAUCAAAUUUGAUUUUAUCCCCCAACAGUAGAAUUACUCGAGUCAGGUAGAAACAUGAAGCUCUCACAACCAUAAAAUGAAUAGGAAAGAAAUUAAAUAAGGGAGCUAUGGGUAUUGCCAAACUCACAUUGAUCUUCUGUAUAUAUUCAUCACAGUACCGAAGCUUAUAACCAUGAUACCUAUCCACGAACAAGAACCUCCGUAUGCCAUACUUUCUGAGGUUGUAAGAAAUACAUAGCCGCGCAGCUAUACCCUUUAAGUAGAUAUUUUAAAGCUAUACUCUUUGAAUAGAAUAUUUUAACAGUAUAGCCGGGCGGCUAUACUCUUUACAUAAAAAGCAGGCAUGCCUCACACAUCUUUCUUAUAUCAGACAGCUUCUUGUGGUUGUGGCAAUAAGCCUAGUGACAGAUUCUUUUAACUUCGUCAUUUCCAGAAGGACAAUGAUAAGAUGAGAAAGUUUUGAAUAAAACAGCAUUGCCAGAGCAAAACAUUCAUAUGGCUCACACCGAACCACCAACGACAAGGAAACAGAACACUAUUGAUACAAAUUCUUCCUCUUAUCAAAUAAGGAAAAAGGAAAAGUUUUGAAGACCAAACAAGAUGCUGCGGGCAAAAAGACAGGUAUCACAGUUGAAUCACAUAUCUGGAAUUGAUAUUUACUAGCAUGUUUAGCACAUCUGAACAAAAUAAAAAGAAAUAAGAGGCAUAACAACAAGAUAUUGAUCAUACGUACGCACCUAAAGAUAUACCUAAAUCGAUCAAUGUGAACUGUUAAAACACGAGCAGGCUUGCUAUUUAAUGUGUCUGGGCCUUGGCUGACAACUUCCUGGUUGUUGACAGCAUUAAUUCAGUAUCAUCACCCACAGAAGAACUUAUAUGUACACUUUCUUCUGGAAAUGAAUUACACACCUGUAAAGGAGUAACGACGGCCAAGCACAAGGCCUCCAAAGCUCUCUUAGCAUGGUCAGGUGGAAGUUCAGUAAUGACCUUACUGCAGAAGAGAGUUCAGUAGAUGUUCAGAUAAUCAACAGAAUGAGGUACUAGAUUGAUCACGCAACGUCAGAAGAUGCAGAAGAUAUAGUUUACCUUAAGGCUCAACUAGAUGCAACGAACGCUCAGCUGAACCAUCCAUGACAGAUGAACUAUAAGUAUUAAAAAUACAUUACCUGUCUGAAGUACUUGAGGAUGUUGAGGUAGUUUUAGAAGCCUAUCCAUAACCUGUUCACAUAAAAAAACAUAUAUAUAAAAAUAAACCCUUAAAAAAGUGAGUAUUAUUAGAUCAUACCUUGGGAAUUACUUCAUUCUCAACUACUAUAUAUCUUCUUUGAAAAGGAUCACUCCUUCAAAGAAGAUAUAUUAAUCCUUGAAUAUUUCAGACAGUGCUUUUCAAGCCUGAACAUUACUAGUAUUAAAGAACUGGCUCAAGCUUUGGCCUCUCAUUCUCCUUAUGAAGUUCCAAUAUCUACCAUUAAGAUUAGACAUCUGCAUUGCCAGAAUGCCAGGUCAGUUCUAAGUUCUGACUAUUGAUCAACUCCUUGCAGGUAUGCCCCUUUAAAUAGAAUAUUUAAAAUGUCUAGCCGGGCGGCUGUACCCUUAAAAUAGAAUAUUUAAACAGUAUAGCCGAACGGCAAUACCCUAUGAGUAGAAUAUUUUAAACGUUGGCCGCACGGCUAUACUCUAUAAAUUGAAUAUUUUAAGGUAUCGCUGCUCGGCUAUACUCAUUGAAUAGAAAGUUUUUAAAGUAUAGCCGACCGGCUAUCCUCUACAAAUAGAACAUUUUAAAAUUAUAGCUGGGCAAUUAUACUUUGUAAAGUUUUUACAGUUUAGCCGGCCGGCUAUACGCUUGAAAUAUAACAUUUCAACGAUAGAGCCGCCCGGCUAUACGCUUAAAUUAGAAAGCAGGCAUGCCUCACAGAUUAGUGCAAUCGAAGAAUGUCCAAAUGGAAUGUAAUGUGGUAUUUCAUUGCUUCUUGUUCUUCCAUUAAGUUGAAGUUCAGUUGUAGGAAAAUUAUUAACCAUUUUCCCAUAAACAAAUCUAUAUUCUAUAAAUAGAAUAUUUAAAAGCAUAGCUGCGGGUCGAUACCUUAUUAUGAUAAAUGAGGAAAUUAGUUCUCAAAUCUUUUGAUAGCCAUUUAAUUUAUGUGACAAAAGGUAUCAUGGUAGAUCCAUGUAUGAAAGAAUCAUUUCUUGGGAAAACCAGUAAAUAGAAGAUUGAUACAAACAGCAACAAAAAGGAAAAUAUAUAUACAUGCUAAAGAACAUGAACAAGUUCGAUUGCAUUAUGUAACUGUGACUUCCAGGAUCGAUUGCAUUUGUAUACAUGCUAAAGAACAUGAACAAGUUGAUAUGUUGAAUUGGAAUGCAAUGCUCAGCAAGCUUUCCUUUGUUUGAAGAAGUAAAUCAUAAUUUAGAUGAACGGCUAGAUAGAGCAUGGCUAACGAGCUCCCUCCUCAAGAUCUUUCCUGCCGGAGAUUUCAGAAUCGAGUUGAUAAACGAUACAUGUCGAAUCUUCUUGUAGGGUGCAACCUACAAUAAGAAACCAACUUCAAUGUGAGAACAGGAACUUUGGAAGUAUGGAUGUUAAUUAUGAAAAGAAUCAAUUGGAUUUUUUUACAAGUAUUCAGGAGCAUACUUGUUUUGCAACAAAAUCCAUAACUGCAGCCUCAUUGAUAUUGCUUCUAGGCUUUCUAACUACAUAGACCAUGGGAGUCUGCCCUGCUUUUUCAUCAGGAUACCUGCUUCAGAAACAGCAACGGGCAGAAAUCAGAACUAGUAUACCUUGAGGAGGUAAACAGAUACAUGAAAUAUACUGCAAAUUCUUUCAGAAACUAUGAUCUUCUACCAUGUAACCAUGCCACUAACUAUGCAAGAAAGUGGAGGCAAAAGACCAGAUUUCUCAUAAAGGCAAACUUAUCGGCAAAAUAUCCGUCAAAAUUUUCUUCAAUGAUCUCAUAAGUUCUUGAAUUUCUUUUGUUUUUUGUUUUUCUAUGGACCAGUUUCUUUUCCUAGCUAAAUACUUCUAAAACAAAAGUGACAAAUAAGAGAUUAAAGUCUUCAAUUGAUAGAUUGAUGCCAUAGAGCAUGGAAAGAAACUAGCUUUUCACAAGCAAAGAAUGUCAUAGUACUAGAUACAUACGGAAUCACAGCGGCAUCGGCAAUGUCGGGAUGGGAUUGAAGUAUAUGUUCCAACUCAGCUGGUGUACCUGCAAUUUGUUCCAGACAUAGGGAGACCAAACCACACAUUACUCAAAUGGACUGAUCAAAUACUUAUACAACCGUCUUCGUUAUGACUUUAACUCUCGAAGGAUCUCUCUAGCAAUCACCUGAUAGGCCUUGUUGUACUUGAUCAAUUCCUUUAACCUGUCAACUAUGUAGAGGAACUCCUCAUCAUCAAAGAAACAAAGAUCACCCAUCUUCAACCACCCGUCUGAGUGAUCACCUGUCUUCAACCACCCGUCUGAGUCCAAGGUCUCAGCAGUUGCCUUGUCAUAUCCUACAUAACCUGUAAGUCAAAUGGUUUUACAAAGAUCAGUUAGAUUAGGUAAUGGUGUCCUGACUCAUGGCUAGAACUUGCUCCUAUAUUAACCGACUUGUAAGAAAAGGCACCGAAAACUUAUAAAUUAUCUUAAGAUAAACUAUUUCUGCAAUGUAGGACACUUGUGACAUGACAAAGUCUCAUUAUCUUAAGAUGUUGUUAAAAUAAACACAUCUGCCGAGAGUGAGAAUCUACCCUACCAUGCGGGGCAUUCUGGUUAGAUGAGGAUCAUGAUAUAUGGGGUGCUAAAUCUAAUAGAGAUCAAUUUUAGCUCAGCUCGUCAGGACUCUUUCAAUUGGAGUGCUUACUGAAAGAACUGGCUCAUGUUUUGGCCUCUCAUCCUCCUUAUGAAGUUCCCAUAUCUACCAUUAAGGUUGGACAUCUGCAUUGCCAGAAUGCCAGGUCAGUUGUAAGUUCUGACUGUUGAUCAACUCCUUGCUGGUUCUGGAAAUUUUAAAAUCUUGGUGUCUUUUACACGUAUGAUUGAAUUUUAAAUUAUGGUUCUGUUUUCUGUAAGGUUCUUUAGAACAUUUUAAGGGAGUGCUUAGUGGUGAUUACUUUUGUUCCUCAUAGCUUUUGAUUUCUUGAUAAUUAAGGGUUGUAAUAGUUUAUUUCUUUUAUGUUAGGCCCAGGGUUCUGAGAUCUUCUACAGUUUGAACGCAACCAGUGUUGGCUUGGCAGUUAGCUCUGAAGGAUCGAUAGAUUUUACCUUGGUGUGUUGGUCUUGGUAGGUUACUCUGUUUUGCCACAAUAUUUUUGGUUAUAUUUCAUCUUCUCUGUAUGGCUCUGCUCAUAUUUUAUAUUUUCUGACUCCAAUAUGUAGGGGAACGGGGGUUAAUAUUACAAACGUAGAGCCGCGCGGCUACACCCUUUAAAUAUAAUAUUUUAACGGUAUAGCCGUUCGGCUAUACUCUGUAAACAGAAUAUUUUGAACCGUAUCGCCGAACGGCUAUACUCUAUAAAUAGAAUAUUUUAACGCUAUAAAUGGAAUAUUUUUAAAAGUAUAGCCGCGCGGCUGUACUCUAUGAAUAGAAUAUUUUAAACGUAUAGCCGCCCGGCUGUACGCUAUAAAUAUAUACGAAUUGUUUGAGAAAUAUUACCAUUCCAGACUCGUUUUCUUCCGUUCUGUUUUUUCCUUCUUUUGUUUGCAAAACGUUUGCUGGCACUUGUUAAUCUACACAUUCCAGACUAGUUGUCUUAAUUAUCAAUGACAAUUUCAGCUUUCUCUCUCUCUCUCUCUAGAUGUAAUUUUACAACAAAAAUUUUGGGAAAGAAAGAUUAUAUUUAGAAUGACAAUAUAAGUACAGAAAAAUCAUAUGCUUUUGGUUUUGGAUCCAUACAUGAAGCAACAACUCUAGUGAAAAGAGAACAAUUUUGGGAAAGGAGAUUAAGAUAUAUGAGUAUGGAAAUCUGUUACACCACAAGUAAUAUUCAGCAAGUAAUGUAUUAUGUAGGAACCCACCCUUACAGAUGAAAAAUUUGCUAAAUGCAGAAUCUUGAACAAGGUUUGAUAAUUGAUAGCUAAAACUUCACCCAAGUACAAGAUACAGAAUGAGUCAAAGGGAGAAACUGACAGUAAAUUGUAGUAAAAGUUUUUGUUAAUUUAAGUUUCAGGUUCUGUUUUCAACUAAAAUUGAUUUUUACAUAAACUCAACUAUCUGCAUCAAAUUUUUAUCCCCCAACAGUAGAAUUACUCAGGUAGAAACAUAGAGCUCACAAGCAUAAAAUGAUAAGGAAAGAAAUUAAAUAAGGGAGCUAUCCACCAACAAGAACCUUCGAAUGCCGUACUUUCAGGUUGUAAGAAAUACAAACAAGACAAAUGGCAGUCACAAGAGAAUAUUUAAAGGUAGUAUAAAUAGAAUAUUUUAAAAGUAUGGCCGCGCGGCUAUACUCUAUAAAUGGAAUAUUUUAACAGUAUAGCCGCGCGGCUAUACUCUAUAAAUAGGAGAUUUUGAAACUUGUAGGCUUCUAUUUCUCUCAGCUUCAAUGGAAGAUUCAUUGACAAACGAAAUAUACGAAUUCCUGGAAGAGUAGAGUUACUAUAGUCAAUACUCGUUUACGCAAAAUCAAGUAGGCUGUAGUUCUAGAAUGACUGACCUUUUGGUGAAGUUCACCUGAAGACUUUGCCGAAAAUUGCAUGUCGGAGGCGAUAUUGUACUAGUGAGUGGGUGUCAAGCAACUUCCAAUAAUGCAUGCACAAUCAACAUUGAUUCAUCUGAACCUGAAUACCAACUAAAAACAAAUAGAUCAGAAACAGUUCAAGCGAUUAAGUUCAAAAUAUUGUAGAAGUUUCUCGAACUGUAUAAGCAUUCAACAGCAAUGUUGAACUUAAUCUCUUGAACUGUUUCUAAUUUAUAUAUACGAAUAUUUAAAUAGUAUACCCAAGUGACUAUACUUUUUAAAUGCAUACAAAUUAUUUAAGAAUUAUUUUCAUCUUCCAAUUACGUGUUUCUUCCGUUUUUGUUUUUUUCAUUUCUCUUGUGUGCUAAACAUGAGGUGAAAAUUUAAAAAUUCAAAGGUGUUAUGUUUUGAAUCUGUUUCUAAUUGAGUUUUUCCUUUUCUUUUUUUGUCAAAAAUAGAUUUGACAAUCCCACAUCUAAAGACACCGGAGAAGUAUGAAUUAUAUAUGAUUUUAUGGACAAAAGAUUUUCUCAGCCUAAUAAGGUAUUGAGUUGUGAAUUUGCUGAAGCUUCAUGGCCCAGCUUGAUCGCUUGAUCCUCAUAUCAAUGGGCUUUACCUUCCUUUUGUGCAUUGGGCUACGAUAUAACUUGCAGGUGGCUCUAUCCAUAUCACACCGAGUAGAAUUAUAUAGACGCUCACUGUAGAAUGACUCAUCAAAUUGAAUAUAAGCGAUAAUAUGAUAAGGGGUUCUGAAAACUAGUUGUCAAAUCACCUUUAUUUUUCAAAACAACUUGAAAGUGUUUUUAAUUUUUAGUUUUUUAGUUUUUUAGUUUUUUUUUUUUGCGUUCUUUUUUAUUCACUAAUUUUACAUCACCACAUAUGAAAUGCACUCCAAUUACCAAAACUUGAUAUUUGGGACCUCCCGACUUGGAUAUGGCCGCUUGAUUCUUGCGUUCAGCCAUGGGACCUCCAAAUCCAAAAUUCACCCAAUCUAAUUCUAAAAAAUUCAUUGAAAAAUACAACGAACUGUUUGUAACAUGCACUUUCAUUUUAUGAUCUCAAAUUCACAAUUUAAUCACAACAAAUUCCAUUUUCAAGUUCCACAUAUAACUGAAAAAUGAAAUAAGUUACCAAACAACUUUUGUUCAAUUUUCAUUUUUUUUGAAAAUUGAAACUAGUUACCAUACAAGUUUUUGAGUUUCAGUUUAUAAAAAAAAAAAAUGAAAACUGAAAAAUUGAAGAUUGAAAACUAAAAACGGGGUAAAUUGAUCUAAUUUACAAGUAUUUUGAGAUUCAAACUUGGGUGUCAAAAGAUGAGCUCACCACCUUAACCAACUAACCUAAUCUACGUAUGAUGGUAACUAAGGUUCAUUAGUACAAGAUAAGCAUUUUUAUCUCCUAAAUAGAAAACAAUUUAAAUUAGCACAUGCUUUCAACUUGUGUUGAAUUAAAAAUGGAUGUCAAAUUAGCACGGUUAAAUACUCAUAGGCCAUAUUUAGUGACUAGUAUUGGAUUGGAUUGGAAAAGUCACUAAAUUUAAGGUAUAUUGAAAGAGGAAAUGAAGGUAGGGGUGAAUGACUUUCCAUGUUGGGGGGAUUAAGAGGGAUUAGUUAUAAGGUGUUGUUAUCCUAUUAUUUUAUAGGGAUUAAAUGAGAUAAAUUUUCUUCAUGAGUAAUCCAUCUUCUACUUUCAACUUGAUUAUAAAAAAAAUUAAAAAAUCAUUUCUUCCUUAAAUAUGCUUUAAAUAUAGGAAGUAUCCAAUCCAAUUCAAUACUAAUCACCAAACAGGAUCAUACGGUGCAUUUGGAUGGAGCAAUUCGCAUUAUGACAUAAAUGUGUCACUUGCCGAUAUUCAAUUCCUUGCGAAUAAACUCAAAUGAGUCUUUGCCCUCUACGCAAAACCAUUGACCAAUUUGCGUUUUGGUUCAUACUUCUAAUCGUCUGGUCGCAUUGGGCAUAAUUAGUUGUGAUUCUGUGGAGCAUGAGGUGAGUAAAAAGCAACGCCUGGGUUUCUGGGGAUAAUGCUCGUUUAUUGGUCUCAGUCGUACUCAUAUUCCUAGUAGGUCUCUUUCCACUAAUGUCUGCCACAUUGCAUUUCAUAUGAGAAUAAUUCCUUGGUCCCCCUCCCUCAAACUUCAAAUCAUCGAUGGCUAUUCCUGCUCUGAUAUUAGACAAGUUAUGUAUCCAUAAUCAUGCCCCUUAAAGUUUGUGGAUUAUUCAAACUUAACAUGAUUCUCGAGUUCAAAAUUGUUAAGUUUUUUCUUUAAAAAAAAAAUUUGACUGUCAUGAAGUGGAAGGAUGAGAUCCAAACUCGACUUUUAGUGCAAGAAAGAAGAAAAACUUACCUAUCAUACGUGUAUACAAAUGCACUGUUUACAUGCUUCUCAUCACAUAAACCCGUUUCACGUGUUAGACCAUGCCUACAAUGGUAGAAUUAGGUUGAAUGAUGCAACUAUUCUUAAAAUGUAACUAAUUAAAUGUAUCUAAAAUCAAGUUACAUAUUAUAUCUAACUUAUAUUUGCCAUGUGAAUAUAAUUAAACAAGUUUCAUAAGGUUUUUAAUGUGACGUUCGAUGUGAGAAAGAUAAACAAGUAAUCCAUUGGAGCUCUCCAAGUCCAAAGCAAAAGCUGCAUAACUAAACCUGCAGAGAUCUAUCACCUGAUGCAUUUCCCAUGUGAGAACUCGUGGAGUCAAAAUCAACGUAGGAAGGAAGAAAGGGCUACUUUUGUUCCCUACUGCAGUGAGCAUGUGUUCGCUUUAGACGUGGCUUGCCCUGAUUUGGUACUGAGCCCAGCAACCAAAAAGAUGGAAGCGGGCAACUUUGUCAAAGACGUAGUUGGUAUGUAACUUGUAGCUAAACCUAAAUAGUUAUAUUCUAAAAGCAGAGACGGCUAAUAGCUCCAUCAAAAGCAGGUCCAGUUUUAAGGCUUGCAUGUGCUUUCUGCUUUUGAAGUCCUAGCGCCUAAUCAAGGUCCCCUUAAAUUAAAAUUCAAAAUCUGGUCCCACCCAAAUGUUUUUAUGAUUUGUCGGGAAGGGACAAUUCUGGUAGGGUUUUUUUUCACUUUGUUGGUAGUGGUACUCUGUUUUAACUUUUGGUAUGUAAUCUUCUUGGUAGAUGUGCACUCUCUGCCAGUAUCUCUCUCUCUCUCUCACACGGUCAAAAAUUCUGGGAGACUGUUUGUUUGUCCUUAUUGAAAUUCAAGUAUUGGAUUCUGUUAUUCUGCUGCUUUUGUCUUUUGGGUCUAAGUUGCUUCUUAUUGGGGCAUUGUUCAUGGCUUACCGCACCAAUUCAAAAUAGAAAAAUUGGGUAAUUUCAAAUUGAGUGGAAAGAGAUUUGUAGCUCAUUAAGAGUAGUUAUCAGUGCACUCGAGUUUUUAUGUUUGAAUUCUUAGUAUGGCUCGUAAAAAAUGUUCAAUGCAGAUAGAGAAGGAGGAAAGACAGAGCUAUUUCAUCAAUAUUAGAAAUAGAUUGAUAAUUUAGUAUAAUCAACACUUCCGCACUUGUUUUCUCUUGUACAUCAAGAUUCCCAAACAGAAACCCUAAUGCUGCCUAAGAGUAACAGGCCGAGGUUGUAAUCAUCAUGAAAAUUGACUAAAUAAAGGAAAAGAAAAAAAAGGGAAAAGUACAAAACAUUGGGUAAAAAAGAGAGAAGAAUUGAAGGGAAGAAAAAAGGCAAGAGAUCCUAUAGAAUUUUUGAGCCAUAUAUAUUUGACCCAUUUUUGCAUAGCCUUUUUCUUUCCUCACAUAUUUCACUUCCCUCCAACCUAUAUAUAAUUUUUUUUAAGAAUGUCCCUCGCAAUAGGUCACAAUCUAAAAAUGUGAUCAGCAACGAGAACCCUUUCUGCAGCUAAGUGCACCAGAAGCUGUGGUUAUUGAACCCACUAGAGAAGAUGGCUUUGCCCCCAAGCUUGAAGCCCUUGCAUAGCUUGAGGAAGCUCCAGCUCCUGAUGCUGUAAAAAAUGCACCAUUUAUCAUCAAGUCUCCUUCAGACCUCCAAUUCCAAUUCCUCCAUUCACUUUCUGGUGCAUCCUCAUGUUUUGUCACCUGCACAAGUUUACACUAGAUUAUAAACCGAACCCAUCAUAAAAUUUACUAAUCACAUUUCUAAUAAAGAUGGACCCCACUAAUAUAUGUGAGACCCACCUGUAUUAGAGUUGUGGUUAAUAAAUAUGGUACAAAUAACAUCGCUCGAAUGAAUUUAUAGUAAUUGGGUUCAAACCUCUUUGCUAAAUCUGAUAUCUGGUGCAGCAAAUCUAUUCCCUUGGCUAUUGAUUGUAGGGUUGGCACUGCCUCCAAUGGCAUACAUCUCCCAAUGGGUGUAGUCAUUGUUCACCACAUGGAAAUAUCCAUGCCUACAUCUACAAAUGUGACAGAGAAAAAUUAAUUGAAAGUUUAGCAACAUCAAAAUCAUGGACCAUCAUCAAUUAAUUAAAUUUUACUUUUCUAAUUGGUACAUUAGCUUCUUAAUUACCUUGGCAUUCUCUGGACCAAACCUUCUCCAAAGUGAUUGAAGGCUAUGGUGACUUGCAUGUUCUUAUCUUCGGUAUAAGAAUCGCUAUGCCCAAGCAACAUCACUUUGUCAUGGUGAGUCAUGUAAUUGUUCGAAAUUGUUAUGGCAGUGGACCCAUGAAUUGCAUCAACCAACCCAUCUUUGCAAUUUGACAAAGAGCAAUGGUCCACCCACACGUGGCUCCCACCGAAGAUGGACACACCGUCACCGUCGGAUAUAGUCCUCCACCCGUAGUGCUCUGGGGAGGACCGCACCAUAGCAUUCCCUCCCGGCUUGCAAUCGUGUAUGUGCAGACCAUGAAUGAUAAUGUUGGUCACAAAUUGGACGGUGAUGCAUGGCCCACCAGCAAUGUGCACGCUGGCUCCUCGACCGUCGAUGGUCUUGAAAGAGUUCAUGAUCAGCUCUUCCUUCAGUUGGAUUGUCAUAUCACGCUGGAAGAUGAUCCACAGUGGCUCGUCCUGAAUAACGGCAUGUCGUAGAGUCCCUGGCUUUGGGUUUACAGGGUCGUUAUCCCCUGAAUCCGUGACCACGUAAAUCUUGCCAUCUCUUCCACCAAUGGCAUUUUUCCCAAACCCAAUUGCGCAAUCUGCCAGCCUCUGCCUGUUCUGCUCCCAAUUUGGGUCACAUCGCCAGCAAUCAUCAAUGGGGUUUCCAGUCCCGCAUGACAAGUAGCCCAAGUUCCUCCUAGAAACAGAGUCAUUGAUGCUCCUGCAGCCCCAACAAGGAAAAAAUGUCAUAUUUUUUCAAGUGUAGUCUAAUGUACGAGGAGAGGAAUUGAACUCGGAUGCAAAAAGACGGGCACAAUGCCGUGACAAAAGAGAUGUUAUAAAUAUAAAUAUGCAAGUUAGUUCUUGAGAGCUACCAUAAUAAUUAUUGGUGGAGCCUUACCUUUGUACAUCUUGUACAACCAAUUCAGGGUUUUGCUGCAGUGGUCUGGAGGCAAUGAGGGUUGGGGUGAGGAGACAGAAGAGGAGGAAGCUGAGGAGAGAGAGAGGUGAGGGGCCUAAGGAGGGCCUCGCCAUUUUGGCCUUGUGUGUGUUUUAGGUGUGCAAGGCACUAGGGUAGCAAAGCAGAGAGGAGAAAAGGAAGUGUGUUUGUGAGAGAUGAAUGGAAAAGAGACGAGGAGGGAGGGUGUAUAUAAAGAGAUUUUAAAAGGGGCUAAUUAGCAUGAUUAAACUAAACAUGUGGGACCCAAGGCCUUCGUGAUUUCAGUUUUUUACGGGAUUCUAAUUGGUAGUUUUUGCCGUUAAGCAAGCCUUGAAUAAUGGUAGAAAAAUAAAAAAAAACAAAAACCAAAUUGAAAACUAACCCCAUCUCAAUAUCUUGUUUUCUACUCUCAGUGGGGGGCAUGUUGGUUUGCUUUCUUGCUUCACUUUUCUUUUCAUUUGAUUUCUUUUUAUGUUUCGGGUAGUUAGGAUUCUGUUUUUUUGUUAGUAAAACAAGCUAAGCUCAAACAAAAUGUAAAGCUCCGAAAGGAACAUGCGUAUUGAUACACUCUUCUUGUUAAUCUCGUGACAAAUUCGUAAAUUUUUACAAGACAUGUAAAUGUAAAGUAUACGUUGGAACACGACUCGUUUGUCAAACAUGGAGAUUGAAAAUCUUUUGAUAAUACUAGAAGCCCCACCUGACCUGCAUGUGUUGAAAACACCUGCUUUAUAAUAAUGAUUUCCCGAUCCUUAUUAAUUUCUCCACUGCAUCAAGUUAAGCCGGUAGAGUAGGUUACUCUUUAAGACGAUGCACAAUUUAAGGUAAGACCCAAAAGCAUUCCCUUUGAAUUAUUAAAGCCUGGUCGCAGUUCACGUUGCCAACGACAGUGACACAAACGAAGACCUCAACACGGGGUGGAAAAAUAAGUGGGAGAAAAAUGGUGGUUGUUGCUUCCCGUUUUAUUUACACAUUUUUUUAGUCUAUUUUUUUGGCCCCUAAAAUUGACUUAUUUGCCAUUGUCACUAUUUUUUUCUAUGAAUCCGAAAAAUUGAAGCACUAAAAUAGAAAAUGUCACAUGCGAGUUUCCGGCAGCAGACAUGAAGAUGAUCAUAAAAAGAAGAUGUUUCUACUUUAUUUUAUUAUAUUAGAAAAUUAAGUACACCAAGGACUCAUCAGUACACUAGCCAUGCGUGACAAAGUUUGAUUCAGUAAUGAUUCAUAUAGUUAGUUGGGAUUUUUACUUUUGAGUAAUUACACAUAUCAUGCAAUAAUUAUAUUCUGGGCUAUCUCUAAUCGCGAGAUUUUUUUUGCAUUAGAAGCAUACUCUAUCGAGCUAUAAAUUCGAAAACAGUUAUACUUCUUUAAGCAUUUACAAAUAGAAGAUACGUGAUUAAUAAUGUGAUUAUGAUAAUACAUUACAUCGAGCGCAAUAAAUUCGAAAGCGACUACAAUUUUUUUUUUUCCUUAGGUACUCGCAUGAGCUAUAAUUGGAUAAGGCACUCAAAGUUGUGACACAACUGUGAUGUAUUUUCGCAAUGCCAGAAAUUAUUGAGGAAGCAGAAGCAUAUGAAAUCUGUUAUUUCAGAAUUUAAUUGAAGCAAUUAAUUAGACGUAAAAUCCUCCUGACAUAGGCACAUGCUUUUGCUCACAAAAUCAAACCGCAAAGCCCAGUAGGCCCAACCAACUCUCCCUCCCUCUUCAUUUUCUUCAAUAUAAUAAAUUUUCUUAGCCGCAAACUUCGCCGGGAUUAUUCCAAAACCUCGGGCCCACCAUGCUGACAUGGAACAAUGGUGACAUCCUCAGAUGCCACGUGUCACCAAGGAUGGUGGUGGCGGCCCAUUUGCUCGCAACGAUUUUAUUCUCAGCCGACGAUACGACUGUCGUCUCCACGAAUCAUGGCCGUGGAUCGUGGAUGCGAGGGCCGGUCGCAGCCGUCGAAUUGUUCGAUGGUGGGGUAGGAUCGACUUUUAAAAAGCAACGUGAAGGUCUUUGUUAUAUGCAGUUGGCAGAGAGGGUGAUGAAAUAGAAAAGGCAGGGCCAAGCAAAGCCAUGUUAGCUGUGGGGAUUUUUAUAUUUUAUUUUGGUUGGUAUUUUGGUAUUUUUGGAUAGUGGAAGUGGAGGGUGAGUGAAAAUUACAUAUCAACCUACACAUCCAUUCAACACGUGGUGGCCAGGUGUGAUGCCAUUUGGCAUCAUCUCUCAUCCAAUAGUUUUCUUUCAGAUGCACAUGCUGAAGUUUGUUAUUUCAACAUCAAUCAAAGACGAUGUUCACAAAAUUUUUGAGUCCAAUUUUCCCAAAUCGGCUGCCUAAUUUAGGGGUUUCCUUCCCCCUCUCCCGUGUGAAAUCUGAUUUUGUGGACUAAGCUUGUUUUUCUCGAGGUGUAUUGCGGUUUAUAUUACACACAGAUACAGUAGCAUCCGACAAUCACUCACGUGUAUAUUCUUAGAAUUUGGCUUUGUGAGUUAAGAAGUCUAACUGUUUAAGUUAGUGGGUCCAAAUUUUACAAGCUAAUUGAGGAGUAUUUCAAGUAUGAGAAGAUUAGUCAAGUUUUCUACAUAGACUUUUUGGUAGGAUGUGCCACCGACAUUUUAUUUCGAUGAAGAUUCGUAAUUUUGUUUUCAAUUCGUCUUCUUCUUAGAUUUAUCUUGUCAAGACAAAGAAAAGAAGAAUCCAUUUGCCAAACAGAAAAUCCUACAAGAAGGUGAAUAGGGCAUAAAGGUGGACCAACAUGGCCAGUAAUCACCUAACUUAAUUUAGGUGUAUUAGACAAACACACCAAUUAUUAGCAAUCUAAUCUCUGAUUGUAAAGACUUUAAACCAGUGGUAGACAAGCCUUUUAACCACUGGUAGACACGAGAGGAAAGAGCAAAGCAAACCCUACCAUGUUCAAGUGGGGGCUAUUUGGUGCUCUCAUUUUAAGCCUUGAUGUAAGCCUUUGAUGGAUCUUCCCAACCUACAAAAUAGAUUAGAUAACAUGAAUGCUGAAGCAGCCAGCAGUCCAGCACUUGAGAUGAGAGUCAUAAAGCCAAUCCAUACAACUGAUAAAUGCAAAAUAAGUGGUGUAGCGUUAUGCUUGAUACACAGGGAUGAGGUCCCAUAGAAGCCUUCAGGUACACAAGACAAUUAUUAUGUAUACGAAAGUUAUACAUCGCUAAAUUCAGUCGAGAGGAACUUUCCUGUCUCGGUUUUAUUAUGGUCAAUCACGUGAGAAGAAAGACAGAGAGGGGAUAAUGAAAUGGGAUCAGGAAGUAUUUUCCAAGUCAGAUAAAUAGAUUGCAAAAGCAAAGUAAUUUCACUAAUGAAUUAUGAGCAAAACGGUACUUGUAAAUUAUGAACCUAAGAUUGAUGAUAGCAGCAGGUAAUUCUUAACCAGAAUUUGAGAGAGGAAGAGAGGAGGGGGAGGGAGUUUUAUAUCUGAACAACACAUCACAUAAUCAUAUAAAGUCAUGUGGCAUGGUCUCAAUACUAUCAUGUUUAACUCAAUAUUUGCUAGACCUAAUCAUAUCAAAACUUUGUCUUCUUAGCUACUUAACCGAGGCAUAAUUGUCUCCCACUUUAAUCAACAGAGCACGACUCUUGGUUAAAUGUCAAAACCUUCACAUGUUCAAAUGAUUGAUUACUAGCAAUGCAAUCAUCCACUUUUGUUAUCGUUUUGGGUGCUUCUUCUUCUGCAUAUACCUUUUCCAAUUUUGUUCCUUGUCUCCCCUUCCCAAAUUGGCUAAGUUUCAGCUCAAACAGUACCAAUUUGAAUAUCAGCAAAAGCAGAAACAUCUAUAUAAAGGUUAAACAGAUGAUGAUCCAUCGAUUACAUAUUGGGCCAGCAAUGGGAGAAGGGCUUCUCGCAGGCCUAGUAACACUAGCUAUAUCUCCCACAAUCUUGUAUCAAACAAGUAAAUAAAUAAAUACAUAAUGUCGUAAAUAUGAAUUAGUUAAAACAGAGGGUGAACAAUAUUAUUGAAGUUAAAGUUGAACCCUAUUCACAACAAAAACUAAGAACCAAAUCUUUAAUUUAAUAAACUAAAUAGCACCCGCAAACUAAGAAACCACAUCUUCAUUUAAUCCUAAUUACAAUAUAAUUUUAUUUUCCAGAACAUAAUACCUUUUUUGUAGAAAAAAAUUAUGACAGAAGUAUCAGUAACCAAACUUAAUUCAAAUCAAACACAACAACUAUACUGAGUCUAAUAAAACAAUCAAGCAAACACGAGUGACUAAUACUCAGCUGUCAAUUAGCUAGCACCCAAAAAUAAGGAAGGUUACUACUAAAACAAAGAACAGCAAGAUGUAGCAACGAGGGAAGGAUGAGUUUCCAACAAGGACCAUGGUCAAGAAACAUAUCAGAAAGAAGAGACAUCACAAUAGCUAGGGAAGAUCUAAAAGAUUAAGGAUGAAUUAACUACACAUCUCACACAAAAAGAACAAUGACGACAUCAUCAUCACACACCACUCUUUCAAAUUGAUACACUUUUCAAUUGAAGCAAUUAAAGGUAAAGAGGACUUCGUACUAUUUCUCGUGUACAACUAUAACAAGCAAAUUCACCAUUUCUAUAGGAAGUAGAGAUUCAGCUUAGCUAAGAAUCAAAAGAUUCCAAUUCGACAACUCAAUCAAGGGAUCACCAAUUUGAAUUUUGAAAGCACCAUACCUUUAGUUGUCUCAUUGCGCUACCUACCAUACUAAUGCACGUUAGAGACGAAGGGUGGAUGCCCAUUGGCGAAUAAAGAGAGUGCAAACUAAACAAUAAAUUCCACCAUCUAUACUGGUGAGGACAUUUGACCAUCUGGUUGACUACUUGUCUUCUCGGAGCACCGUCCGACCAAUCUAACUGCCAGAAUGGAAUACCAGGAUGUUAUCUGAUAUGCUGGCAGAUGGGCAAGUAGAUGGUUGAGAAUACAACUUUAAAGUCAACACAGAUACACUAUCAAUCCCUAGAGACCUCAAAAGAAAUCCUAUGUGAGUCUAAUAUUUUACUGUACUGAACUAUGGAACCACUUCAAAGCACAACCAUGUCACGAAGACAAGCAUUCUUUAGUCCAGCAAGCAUCAGACCAGCGCAAAGCAAAUAGUAUCUUGAUUUGUCUUUUGCGAUACUCAUUAGAGCCUAUAUCAUCUACAAAAGAAAAACGAGCAUAACAUACCACAGGGGACCGAAUGGAACUUCUGUUAAAUGUGAUGUUCCAUUGAACUGUAUGUUGACACGAGGUUGUCAACCCCUUGAACAUUGAUAAGUGCAUUAACAUUUCGACUGACAUAAGAGCAUCAACAACCAAUUCAGAAAAACCAGAAAGCACCAAAAGAACACUGAAUCAAACAAGGAUACAACAGCAAAACAAAAUCUUGAAACUACCAUGAAAGCUAGCAUUGGGACAAAAGUAAAUAUAGCUAAUAACUCAAUUAAUGUCUUAUAUGCUACUAAGAGAAGUAAAACGAAGCUUGAGCAUAUAAUCUAAAAUGAUAAAGAUUUUAAACCAAAUGAUCCAUGUGUAGCCUAGAUAUCUAGCCUGAUGCACCAACCUAGGAAUGAAUCAAAUCUGAUAGAAAUGCAGGUACUAACAGUUAGGAUACUUUGUAAUGCUAAUAUUGUGACUCUAUCCACAAAACUGAUUUGAAAGCAUAACUUGCAUCUCAAACAAUCAGUAACUGCUGUAUAUCUUAAAGUUCAGAAAAAUGGAAAACUAAGUCAGACAAAAUCUAGAAACCUGGAGGAACCUUAGGAUAGUAACAGAAAGAGAAAUCCUAAUGGAUGUGAUCUAUCAGCAAGAUUAUCUUUCAUAUAACCUUAUGAUGCCUACACCGAAAGUAAGAGAGUACAAAAAUUAGCACUUACCGACACUCUAGGUAACACUGAAAACAUGAAAAUUGUGGGAAAACAUCCGUGCAUAUGGUUAGAACUGUAGCACUUAUAAACCAUACGCACAAUCAUCUGCGAAGGAAGCAUGCACUCUUCAACCAUACUAAGACGACGACUGCUAUAUAACUAAGAGAAUGAAUACGCUAUAAACAUCUAUUCAAACCAAAUAUAUGAAUACAUUUGAUCAGAAAAAUGAGAUUGUUGAUUGUUAAUCCCAAAGUGUAAUGUAUCUUAUUGUAAACUUAACAAUUCUCAUAUUCUAUAAUUUAAGCAAAACAAGCCGAUAAUUCCAUUAAAAUUUCUCAGACAAUGCAUAAUACUUCUAAAAGUAAACCUGAGUGAAGAAAUUAGAGUUCAGAAUCUUCUGAGAACACAAAAGUCUAAUCCUAAACCCUCACUACCACAUCAAGCCCUGGACUUUCGACGAAGACGCUUCCUGAGCUUCUUAUACUUGUGUUUGUUCAUCUUCUUCUUCCUCUUCUUCUUAACACUGUCUGCCCAAAUCGUCCGUGCAUCAUCAGAUUCGACCUCAACAGCCUCAAAAGCACCCAACUGCUCGAACCCAGUUGAGGACAUUGGAUUCAUGCAAUACCCAAAUGGAAAAUUGGGGAAAAUGGGAAAGGAGUUGGAAGUUUCAACAUUGUGAAAGCUUGAAGGACCCAAAUGGGGAACUGAGUUUUCUGAGCACUCGGGUUUGGGAUGGCCGAGAUGGCUGUGAUGGGAAAUGACAGAAGGUGUGGGCUUGGGAAAAAGAUGGGUUUUGAGUGAUGUUACUGUUCGUAGGGAUGGUGUAUUUUUGUUGAGUUUGUGAAGAAAGCUGGCCAUUUGGGGGCAGAGAGAAGUAUUGAAAUCGAUGAAGAAGAAGUUACAGUGUUACAGAGUAACUCACUCCUUGGAGUUUGCUUAUGCCGAAAAGGGUUUCAUUUCGAAGAGGAGAAUGGCGAUGUUGGCUGUGAAUCGCUACAAGAAGAGAGAGACGACGACGUCGUUUCGCUAAUAGACUUUGUAAACGACAGCAGUGUGAGUAAAACGACACUGUCUUCUUCAAGAUAAAAAGAGCGCCAGCAACUCAUACAAAAAGAAAAAAAAGAAAAAAAAGAAAAAAGGGCGUCUGAAUCUCUCACUCGUCUCUCCCAUGGAGGAAAAUACUUUCGAACCUGUAAAACCCUAAUUUAUUCUCUCAAUUUUACUUCUGAAUGUUUAUUUAUACUUCUUACAUUUUGUUUUAUAUAUUUUUCAGGAUCUUGUUCAUGCCAUUUUCAAGCUCGUCUGGUCCAGUAGAGCUCUCGGUUUGAAUUCCGCGCCAUUUUUGUUCAUUUUGCUCCAUUAAUUUACAACCUCUUCUUCUUUCUCAUAUGUCUUGUCCGUUUCUAUUUCGAUUUCCAGAGCGUCAAAUGAUUGAAGGCACCGAUGCUUUGGACUGCGAGGUACUUAUUGUUCUUUCUCAUUUUCACAAAUUGAUUGCUAUUAAGCUUUAUGGAACUGAUUUAGGGCAAGGGAGAAAAUCCUAAUCUUCAGCUUUACUGAUCAGCUAAUUUUGGGCUGCUAAUUGGGGCAGGUAGGAGCUGGAACAUCUAAGAAAAAUCGCCCCACAUCAGGUUUCUCACAUUAUAGUUUUUACAAUUUUGAUGGGAUUCUUUUUUAUAUGUAAUGGAAUUUUUUCUUAUUCAUGUUAUUUUUGUUGUUGUUUCUCCGCUCCAAAUUUGUUAUGCAGCUAAUGGGAAUGCCGUAAAACUGAGUUGUGAACUUCUCCGUAACUUUGUCAUAGGUUUUUACACAAACUUUUGGUUGCUUAAUUGAGACUAUGUGCUCAUACUUUGUGUGUGUUUAUUGUGACAUUUUAAGAAAGCAAUUUGUGUUGAGGCAGAGGCUGUGCAGCGCGCUGCUACAAUUGCUGAAGCAGAGGGUGUGAGUAAGAUUGAAGCAACUCACUUGGAGCGGGUUCUCCCACAAUUGCUUUUGGAUUUUUGAGGUAUUGAAAAGGAUCUUUUUCUUUUUUUCUUUCCGUUGCUUUUAUUUUGUUUUUCUUAUGCUUACAAUUUGAAUCCUUAAGAAUAUGAUUUCUUUGGAAAGUAAUACACUUGCGAUAAACUGGAGCCCUCAUAGGCCUCUAUAUGUCCACGAGACACAAAAACAAUGUUUGCUUUGCUUAAGAAAACCCUCACAUCAGUUUUAAUGUACUUGCCAUUGAAACUGAAGCUUGAUGUUUAUUUUCUGUAUCUGUGCUUCCAUAUAAUUCACAUGGUGAAACCAAUAAAUUUUUUUCUCUCUCUUUCUGUUGGUUGAAAACUAGAGAUAUAAACAAGGUAAGUGGACUUGAUUACUGCCUACGCAUAAGGUGAAAUCUAUACUUAUAUUCAUAAUUUCAUACUGCUCAAAAUGUUUUUUCUUUUGUCCAUGAGACACAAAAACAUGUCUUCUUUACUCGAGUGAACCCUUAGGUCAACUUUAAUUUACUUGUUGAAAUUGAAGUCUUGAUGUUUGUUUUCAAUUUUCUCUGCUACCACGUGAUUCACAUGGUGAAUCUGAGAAAAUUCUUCUUUGGUUUUCUUCUCGUUACGGUAAAUAUUUUGAAUUAUUAAACAGGAUAGUGGACCUGAUUACUGCUCUGUGCAUUUAAGGUGUUGACAUCACCAGUGAUUUUCAUAAUGCUUUGAUAAAUUUUUCUUAUGAAGGACAAAUGAGAUAAAGAGAAAAAUAUUUUCCAAAAGAAUAGGUGAAAAUGCACUAGGCAUGAAAAGCACUUGCCGGAGAAGUUGAUUUUUUUCUUCACAAAAGGCACUUUUAUUGUCUUUAGGGAUAGUAAUGGAAUGCACUUAUGUGGAACCUUCCUUUCUGUGGGCUGCACUUGCAUGGAAAUUUCAUUUUCUCAGUGGAAAUUUCAUUUUGUUUUGAAGCAUGAAUUCUUUCGAGGCAUGUCUUUUGGUAAUUUGACAGACUGUUUUGGUUCAGGUUUCAAAACUUGCCCGACUUGGAAGCAUCUACAAUAAGAAUGUUUCUUAGGAACCACAUCUUGUAUGAGACUGUUGUUUCACUAAUACGGGCUCACUUUGUCAUUUUUAAGCUAGAGUACUCCCUUCUAUUUCUGUUGAAAAUCUUGAGAAAUGGGAGUUGCAAGGUUUACGGCGUAUACGAGCAGGCCAUUUUGUUUUCUUUUCCUUUCUGUUAUAUAUGAGUAAACCGAAUUCGAUAUGUAGAUUUGCUAAUGACUCACUCUUGAUUGAAUGUAUACAUUCUUCCUUAUCUAUACCCACAGGCUAUAAUUACAUAGAUGAUUAUUGUAAGCCUUCCUUUAAUUAGUAUUAGGGUACAUGAUGAAAUUGACUCUCAUUCCACCCUUAUUCCACUCACUCAAUUAGCUCCACUAGGUGACCGGAGACUGGAUUAGUAAAGAUGAGCUCUGUGAAAGAUAAGUCAGGGAUAAAACUUGAACCAAAUUGUCUGAAUACAAAUCUAUACAAAUCUCUGUGCUGUAUUUAACUGCUAAUAUCGUUCAAAGUGAAACACAAUGGUUUCUUAUUCAUCAUACUAUCUCAUUACAUAACAUACGAUGCUAUUUGAUCAUAUAACAUAUGAAAAGAGGGAAACAGAGACAAUCUAUCUAGUAGGAUUCCCAUUGAUUUCAAACACAUGCUUGGGUGCUUAGUGCUUGAUUUGAGACAACAUACACCUAACGUCCUUGCUAUUAGGCCUCUCCUUGGGGUUCUCCAGAGUGCAAAAGCAAGCAAUCUUGAGAACCAAGAGCAUUUGCUCCUCAUAUCCAUUUCCCAACAAUUUUGAGUCAAUUGCCUGCUUAGGGUCGUCUGAAGUCAUCACAUUCUUCAGCCACUUAACCAAACUCAUCUCAUUAGUGUUCUGGAAAAACUCAUCAGAUGGAAGCCUUCCCAUCACCAGAACCGCCAACAACACUCCGAAACUGUAUAUAUCGCACCUGUCUGUGAACUUGAGUGUUUGAUGGUAUUCUGGUGCAAUGUAGCCAACAGUUCCCGCCACAUUCGAAGUUGUGAUAUGCGUGUGGUAUUCCGGCACUGCUUUUGCAAGCCCAAAAUCUGCAAUUCGAGCUUCCAUAUCAUCAUCAAGCAGGACAUUUGCUGGCUUGAGAUCUCUAUGAAUGAUGUGAGGUUUGUGGUUCAUGUGAAGGUAUUCAAGCCCUGCAGCCACUCCCAGUGCAAUCUUGUGCCUAGUAAGCCAAUCCAACUCUCUCGUUCCCUCCGACACUUGAUUCAAUAUGUCUUGCAAGCUUCCAUUCUUCAUGAACUCAUAGAUCAGGUAAUGACAAUCCGGUCGAGACACAUGAGCCAACAGAGGAAGAAGAUUUCGGUGCCUAAUUUGACCCACAGUGUUGAUUUCUGAUCGGAUUUGGCGCAUUUUCUUGUUCAUCAGCUUACUGUCUUCAUCAGCAGUCAGCUCUUCAGCAUCUUUAGGGGGUUGAAUAAUCUUCUUUAUAGCAAUCAUUCUGCCAUUGCUUCCAGGUAAUUCAGCUUUAUAAACCUCUCCACAUCCACCUCUUCCUAUAAGUUCCAGAGAAGCCAACCCAUCUUCUUUUUCCAGGAAAGCCAAGUCCUCCUUCCUUUUAAUCAGAGAACUGAAAAUUGCUGGGCCUGAGUCUUUGCCUCCACCUCUUACCACAGCUAAGAGCAGCUUAAAAAGCAGAGAGAAGAUGAACCCGGAUAUGCUCCCAGCCAGAGCGCCAGCGAAAAAUCCGAGCAGCCACCCUCCUAGCUUCUUCUUGUUGUUCUUAUGCUUCUUGUGCUUUGGUGCUGGAGAUGGACCUGGAGCAUUAGAAGCUCCGCUCCCAGAGGGUGCAAGAGCUGCACCUGAAGUAUUGUUGUGCCUUUUUGUGCUCGAAUUCUCAGCCAAGAUGUAACGUUUUGGCACUUCAGAUGCUGAAAUCUCGACCCUUUUCAUUGUAGGCACUGAGCCUUCAAGGAGUUCAUUUCCAGCAAAGUUGAAGAUCCGAAGAUUGCGAAAGGAACGAAUGGAAGCUGGGAUUUUGCCAGAGAAGAAAUUGUCAGCAAUGGAAAGUUUUUCCAGGUUGGGAAAAAGCUUGAGGAAACUCAAGUUCCCGGAAAACUUGUUGGACGAGAGGUCGAGGAUUCGAAGGCGAACGAGCUUGGACAACUGGGCUGGAACUUCCCCGGAGAACUGGUUGUUUCUGAGGUUGAGAAUCUCAAGUUUCCGGCAGUCAACGAUUUGAGACGGGAUUUGGUCAACAAGGCUGUUGUCUGCAAGAGCUAUCUCUUUGAGCUCGGAGAGCCGCCCAAUUGCCGGAGGCAGAAACCCGUGAAGCCGCUGGGAUUGAAAGACCAGCCUGGUGAUUUUGAGGACGUAAGUGUUGUUGUUUGAGAGCCUUCGCUCACAGAAAACACCAGGGGUGUUGCAUGGUGUUGUUUGAGGUUUACUUAUUUGGAGGCCCAAGUUUUUUUGGAUGAUGGAGAGGGCUUGGAGAUCUGAAGGGUCGAGAUUGAGCCUUGCAUGGAUGAGGAGGAGGAGGGAAAGGAAGGUGAGGACGCAGAGGUGGGCUUUGCCUGAGAAGGCUUCCAUUUUUUGGCCGGAAAAGCUGUGUUUGAAGUUUGAACUAAUGCUAGCUCAUACUCGUGUUGGUUGGCUUGGUUGUUUGUUUUUUUGGUUCUUUAUAGCCGGAGGCUGUUGAAUUAUGAAUGGUAUGUGGAGCCCAUUCACAGUAAAUCCAAGUCUCAAAUCAGACAAACCUACUCUAGUUUUGUAAUAUAAUUAAAUUAACCAUCACAUUUCUAACCCUAUUUAAAUUAAAUUAAGCUAGUUUAAUAAUGUAUCUUUGAAAAAAUAACAUAAGAGUGUCCCUUCGGAGACAUAUGAUAAAAUUGAAACGAUACAGAGAAAAAAUAAAAUAAGAGUAAAAGUGAUACCCAACCCAAACUGAGUUACCAUUAGUCUACUUUUUCUUGAUCUCUUAUUGUAAAUUCCAUCAUUUACAUGGUAUCUUGUGUUUGCAUGAUCUUUAGUAGUUGUUUGUAAAAAUCUAAAUCCCUAAGGUGUUUUUUCUUCCAGAAUAAUUAAAAUAUACUAACUAUUAGUUCUUCUUUCGGUUACAUGGAAUGCCAUAGUCAAAGAGAGAGGAGAAUAUGGCCUUGAAAGUAGGGUUAAGUGCUGACCACCCUGGAGUUAAUGGCCUCACAAUACUAACUUCAUAAAUUGAUUGAAGAGGUAAUAUGACUCAACUCAUAAAUUAGGACAUUUAGGAGGGUUAAUUAGUACUGUUUUGUUCGAUACAAGCAAUAUAAGGAGAUGAUAAAUCGAAUAUAGAACUUCAAGUGUAUGGAUGAACACUUUUAGUCUUAGCCAACUAAACCCUAUUUAUCUUUCGUGUGAAGAAACGUUUAACUCAUGAUUAAAAAAAUAAAAAAAAACAAAAAAAAACAAGAUUCACAAUUGUAAUGGUCUUCGAGCCCCCAUAUACACGCUAACAGGUGAAUGCCAAAUGGAUGCAUAGUCUGCAAACUCAAUUCUAAUUCCUAUUCCCCCUUUCAUCGGGCAAAACUAAUUAGCUUGACUUGGAAACUUCCCAUAGUCUUUUAGUCUUCGGGUCAUCGCCUCUCAAAUCACCAUCGGUCAAGUCAACGGAAAAAACAAGGCAAGUCUUUGGGAAAUUUCUGGCCGUUGGAUCAAAUAUUUUAAAUACGUAUUUGAUAUUGACCCGAAAAGGAUUAAGAUUAAAGAUUCCCACCCGCUUCAUUGGUGGGCCAGAAGUUGCUCACAAAAGUCACCACUAGCCCAGUCGCCAAGCCUCUCCCAUUAUUUGUGUAUUUGUCAUCACUCCGUGUUGAAUUCCAAGGACGGGCUCCAAGAAAAUGAAGCACAAGAAGAAGUUAUGGUUGGUUUUUUAUUAUGUCUAUCGACGCAAAUAUGUUUCACCUACCAGUCUCUAGUGAUAAGGUUUGGAAAAAUAGUAUUAUGAGUCCGUUUGAUAACAAUUUUAAUUUUAACUUUUUGUUUUCAUUUUUAAAUGUUACUAAACGAACUCUAUAAUUAACUGAAUACAUCUAAUGAUCUAAAUACACCUUAAUAUUUUAAUUAAAAUGAAAAAUUAACUAAGUACAUCCUAUUUAACUACCAAAAAUACUUCGACAUCCUAAUACACUUUAUCACACAAUACCCUAAUGCCAAUCCUAAGUAGUUAAUUAUGAGUACAACAAAUGAAACAGACCUAGAUCAUAAUAGGCCAAGAAAUUGACAAAUUCCUUAUAAUCUUUGGAAAAACCAAAUCAGACACAAAUCAAAAUACACAGAGAUAGCACAGGAAGCAACAAGAGGCCAAGAAAUGAAUAUGGGGUGAGCCCAAGACAAAGAUCAAAGAGGCCAAGAAAUCACACUUUCCUCUGCUUCUUUUUGGUUCUUCUGUGACCCCCCAAAAAAGACCAAGAUUACUCCUGUAGUAUCAUUGGAAUUCCACCCUUUUUAAAUAUCAAUAAUUAUAUUGCUUGAAUUCAUUAGCAAUCAUAAUCAGCCGAUAAAGAGAAAAGUAGCCUUCCGGAUUAAUAGAUCAGUGGAUCUAGGGAUAAAAUGAUCGAACCAUUGAAGUCUACAACAAUAAAGGGUAUCGCAAAAUAAUGGGCUUGAUUAUCAGAUUUUCUCUUUCUCUGUUCUUCUUUGUGACUCUUGCAUACUUAAAUACUUCCAAUCCAAUCCAAUCCCAUUCUCCUCUGUCCUCCCUUCUUUCUUUUUCUUUUAUGUUUGAUUAUAGUCGAAUAUGGUGAGUAUGGUGUACUUAUUAAAUUUAUAUUUAUUUUACAAUUCAAUAUAUCUUUUUUGUUUUCAUUUUUGUUACUCAUUCUUUAGUGGCGGACCUACAGAAGCGCAAGGAGGUGCACCUGCACAUCUCCUCGUCGGAAAAAAGCCAUGGAUGUGUUAGAUUUGCCCCUCUGCGCUAGCGCCCAAGGUUUGAAAGCGUUAAAUAAGGGUUCUGGAAAUCACCUCCUGGAGCUAAUCAUUUGGCAAGUUACACAUACUAGCAUAGUUCAAGGCGAUGCGAGGUGCACGAUGUGUUGUAGAGGUGUCUCUAAUGGAGGCUGGGGCAUCUCUAAUGGAGGCUGAGGAGAUGGUUCACAAAGGAGGAAGAUAAAUCUACACCCUAAUUUUCUUUUUCACAUACAGACGUCGUCUUUUAGUUUUGUUUAAUGAAACGCACGUUUCAUUGAAGCUUUUAAAGUCAACCUCUACUGUUUUUGGUGAAAUAAAACUCCUUUUUCUGCCCAAACUUUGACAAAAUUAAUAAAUAAACAAUAAAUGAAUAAAAACCUUACUUACAGCCCAACUAGUUAAAGUGAAACGUUGAAUCUUGACCGCUCUGUUGAAACCAAAUCGUUAUCAGUACAACAUAUAUGUAUGUAUAAUUCCACAAACCUCCCCUAGCUUGUUCUUAUUUCUUUAGCAAGUCAGUCUAGAUAAAAAUUGUUUUAAGAUUGAUUAUUUUGCUUCAAUUACUUAAUUAUAGCUAUUGUAAUAUAUAUAUAUAUAUAUAUAUAUAUUAUAAUAAUAAUUUUAAUAUAUUCUUUAAUUUUUUUAAAUUCCGUCCUAUCAAACUGUUACUGCGCCUUCCUUGAAAACUUCCUGGAUCCGCCACUGUCCUUCCUCCAAUCUCAUCUUCCCUCUCACUUUCAUUCUCCCUCUUUUUUACUUUAUACUCUAGCACAAAAAAUGAAAACUAAGAACUAAAAUUAAAAUAAUUAUCAAACGGGCCUUAUACACCGAAAUCUCUCUUUUCUUUUGACUAUUCUGUCAAUAUCACCUUAAACUUUAUAAUGCAUUGUUUGAUCGGGCGGAAUAUUUUGUUGAAUGCUAUUGCAACUUAUAUUGGUGUCUCUUUCGUACAACUUUCCUUAGAACACGAACCCAUGUCGUAUAAAGUCAUAAAAAAGAAAAGUAGACCAAAAUGAAUUAACAAGUGAACAGAUACAUAAAACCUUAACAACGUGCACCCUGCACUCUCCUAAUCAAUAAUCAAAAUCUAAUCAGACUCUAAGUUAUAGAAGCUGAAGGAGUUAUAGGCAUCUAAGCCUUACAUAUAAUAAGUGAUGAAGAAGGUAUCAAAUUUAAAGCCAUGUGAACAAGUACAUACCUUGCUUGCUUGCAAGAAGUUCUCUAGUUAAAGUUAAAGCCAGAGCCAGGGAUGCAUUUUGUAAUGAUUAGUUUCUUUUUUAAACUAGGGCAUAUAUCCCUCGUCAUGUCAUUUUGACAGCUGCUUACUUUUUAACCGGUGCGAAACACAUGCAUGAUCAAUUUUUUAACUUCCGUUCAUGAUCAAGAAAGAAAUUAUGACGCAACUAGGCCAUGCAUAAAAUCCUUGCGUAAGCUAUGCUUGCUUCGGCUACACGGGGGAUGUGUGAAAUAGGAUCCUCUACUAUAGCCAAUUAGGAAGGCUAUCACGUUGACUGCAUGUAAUGUUUUUGUCUUCAUUGCAGUCAUUGUAAUUAUAAAGCUUAAUAUGGAAGAUCAGAUUGACUUGUACUUGGCAAGCAAUGAAAAGCUAUAGAAACAGAGGAACCGAGAGAUGAAGAAGACGACUCUUUAUUUCAUUGCUUUUCUGAACAGAAUGAAUUGCACAUUUUUAUAUGUAAGAGAAAGCUCAUCUUUCUGACAGAAUUGGGACAACUGACAUGGACCGAGUUUUCAUUGGCAAGGCGGCAGGCUUCUCCGCUCUCUUGCGGCCCCGAAAUGCUCUUUGUGGGUUUAUAACUGCCAAUUCUUUCAACUGCAGCAUCUGAGAGUCAGUCAAAUUGUUGAGAUCGAUUCCCUUGGUAAAUUGCCACCAGAAAUAUCUAAGGAGCACAUGAUUCUUUAAGUCCUCGGCCGUGAGAGCAAAUGCUUCAACCCUUGUAAUGGACCUAACAUUUUUAUCCGAGAUGGGUAACUCAGUGGAGGGGGGAAAUUUUGAUGCCCAACUUAUCAGUUCUUCUCCAUAGAAAUCACCUUGCUUAAUAUGCUUAGGUGUUGUGGGAUCCUUUUUUACUCCGUUACUAGUUGUGUAGCUGCGAACAGUCCCUUGCGUGACCAAGAGGAUCAUAUCAAGGGCCUCGCCCUCUCGAAUAAUAAAACUAUCCUUAGCAUAGAUCACUGGCUUAAAAUGAUCACAGAUUCCUUUCAACUCUUCCAAUCCAUCUAUGUCUUUAAGCUUCGGAACCUAAAUAUGUAACGAGUUAUUCCUCCUUACAAGUCAUAGUAUACACCAGAAACGAUUGCUCAUUAAACCAAAAAGUAUAUAGAAAGAAAAGAGAAAUCACAGGGGAGUACAUAUGUAACUUACUUUCCUUAGCGUAGCCAAGCAGAGACAGCGCUUGACAUAGCUUAAAUAGUCCGGGGGAAGAACAAAGAGGAUCUCCACAUGAACAUUUUUGUUUUCUUCAAGUUUUCGAUGUACAUUUUCCAUGAUCCGUGUCUUCAUCGUGUUAGGGAGGCGAUUUUCCGACAACCACAACUCAACCUCAAGACCUUUCAUUUUCAUGUUCCGUCUUUGCUUUUCUGAUGUUGUGGUUGAAAACUGCAUGUAUGUCUGCUCCACACACAAGUUAGUAGGAGACAAAUACAAAUACAAAUAGAAAGAAAAAAAAAGUUUUAACUAGGGGCUUAAGCUUAAAAAAAGAAACAAAUUUAUAUAUAUAUUCAGAACGUACCAACCUGUAUAUUUCCAAUGAGAUAUAAAAAUAGUAGGAGACCAAUUAUAGAAAUGAAAACUGCAAAUAGGUUUUCCCAUGCGUAAGUGCUAGUCUGCAGGUUUUGACCAAAAGAACUGCAGUAAUGAAAUGAUGAAACUUUUUAGAAUAAGUAGCAACGAUAUUUUACUUUAAUCUAAUUUAAUGUACGAGAUUAUAUCAAACUAUAUUUAUACAUACGAACCUCAGAUGUCGUAGACCCCACCAAAAGCAAUUCAAAAACCUGUCUGGAAAAUUUGUCGACUGUAGCACGCUGUACUGAAGGGCAUCAACAAAUAUACCGAAAUUGAAAAGAGUUGCAUUUGGUGGAUUUAUAGGGCAUAAUUCAUUUAAAACUGUGACAUUUCUGACUGAAGAGUCGUCACAACGAAAAGUAUUAGGUUCACAUCCAUUUUCACUUUGACAUGCAUAUUGCCAGCAAGCUAUCUCUCGUUGAAUAGCAAAAAUAUACCAAAGUGCUCCUAUUACCUGUAAUAGCAAACAAGUUAGUCAAUGAAAUUUCGAGUUCAGAGAAAAGUAUGUUUGAGCCAAAUUUAAACUAAGAAUGUAACUCCAUUUUAUUUUAUUAUUAUUAUUUUUAAGUGCCAAACUGUGUGUAUAAUUUUUAUUUUUGGGGAAGCAGAUUCGAAGGCCUACACAUAUCAUUGUGCGCAUAUUUAAAGUUAACUAGGAUAGUAUUGAAACUUACAUGACUUGCAAGGAUGUACAAGAAGAAAUUUAAAAAACUUUUGACCCAUAUGCCUGCCUUCUUAUGAGUCUUCUCACGUUCAUGACACAAUAGGUAGAUGGGAAGAACUCGUGGGACAUAUUGCAACAAAACAAGAGAAUUUAGAAACUUCAUUGUUUUCAAUGAUUUUGAGCCCCUCAUUUUCGAAAGGAAAAUGGAAAGUGCUACCUGGACAAAAAUAACAAAGAUUCUUAAGCCAAAUUUUAAAUCUACUAUCUAAGCUCGGACAACCUAAAGUAGUCAACCAUGACAAAUGGAGAAAUUGGGAAAUCAAUCUACUUCAUAGACCUUUUAAACUUACCUGUGGGACGGGCAGAACAGCUAAAAUAUCAAGUAGGAUGUAAAAUUGCAAAGUCGUCCGUGAAUUCACUGAGUUACUUGCUUUCAAAGGAACUGCCUCCUUUGCUUUAGGUCUAGUUAAAAUUCGAUACACCACAUCGGCCAUAUAGAAGAGAUCUGCUAAUAAUCGUAGACCAAAAGAUAUUGCCUUCAACCUUUUGUCGUAUUUGAGGCACUUCCUAUCCUCGUUAAUGAUGGGAAUGUAUAAGAACAAAGGAUCCAGUGAGACAGCCAACACACAUGAUACUAAAAAGACGGUGUUCCAUUCUGGAAAGAACCUAUUUGGUUGAGCAUGAUUUUGUUCAUGUCCAACAAUAUUGUUCCUUAGUUUGGUCCAUUUAUCGGAUUUUUUCUUCCAAUGCUGGACAACUCCCAUUGAGAUUGAACGUUGUACACUGAAAAAGACAAAGCAAAUAACAAAUUGCGGCCAUUAGAUAGAAACAAAGAAACAUGAGAAGAUAGCCGUUCAUGCUUCUUCUCUCUUAUAUAACUAUGUCACGCGAUAAGAGAGAAAGACACAAUGUUAUAGGAUCGCCUUAUGUGAUGGUUUAAAGCUUUAACGUAAGUUAAAUAAACUAACCUGGCAGUGGCGGGUUUCUCUUCCGAGUUCUCCAUAUCUAAAUGUAUUUCGCCCUUCCGAUUAGCCAUAACUUAACCACUCAAGCUUGCUUUUUUUCUGAAUGUUGAACCCCCCCUGCAAAAAUGGACAACGGGAAAGUUAAACCAAUUAUCAUGUUUGUACUAGAAAAUGUGAUGAGAGAGAGAGAGAGAGAGUUGAAAAACCUUAAAGCUUUGCACUCAGUUUAGGAAGCUUUCCAGUAGGUAGAGCAGAGAGCAGGGGGGAGGCAUUAGAAUUUAUAUAAUGACAUGUUUGACCUGAACAGGCUGAACUAAGGCAAUAUUGACAAUGGGUCUUCUCCUCAUCGCAGAGUCUUUUUUUAAUAAUAAUAAAAAAAACAAAUAUUAUUGCAACUCGUGUUCCCAUUUAACCAAAAAGAAACCAAAGACCUCGGAAAGGAUGAGUCUGGACUGGAAACAUUAAUAAACAUUAUGUCAUGACUCAUGCCUAAACAUGCAAUUGAAAAUUGCAUGUGAAGUCAAUCGAACCGCUAGACUUUGAUCUAAGCAUUAUGGCAUCAUGAAAAAAUCUUUAUAGCGAGAUUUCUCUCUGCUGUCCUAAACAUUAACUUAAUGACCCCUUAACAUAAAUAAAUCUAAACACAAAACGCGUGACUGUUUUUUUGUAAUUUUAUUUACUAGAAAUAAAGUAAGUUACGAAGAUCGGGUCAACUGUAUAUAAAAGUCAAAGCUUGCAGAACUGUAAGUAGAGUCAACCGUGUAAGCACGAUGACGUGGUAUGACCACUGUUGGUGAACAAAGGUUCAUUGCAUCUGUCACAGGGAAGUCUCUCUGUGUGUAAGCACUCAAAACUACCACCCUUUUAUUUCUAGAAUUGGUCUCCUACUAUUUUUUAUAUGAGAUAUUUAGUUACAUACCCAUUUUUAGCACUCGUGAUAUAAAUAAACUCUACACCAUUUAAUUUCUAUAAACAAAAAAAGAAAAAGAAAAAAAAGACAGCUGAAUCUAUUGAAUAUAAUUUUGAUUAUUAAAUUACUUUGAUACCCAAUUAAAUGUUUUGGGUUUUUUUUAUAAUGAAGUUUUUGGAUUGGGCUUGUUUUAAGGAAUCGAUGGCAAUUUUGAAAUUUAUAGGAAAUUUGAAGCCUCUUUGUUAUGUUGUAAAUGAGUUUUGAAUAUGUUCCUAAAUUCUAUUUCAUGUGAGGUUUUUUAUAGUGAAUGUGCCCCACAUGUAAUAAUAUUGUGAACUUUUUGUUAACAAUAAGAAUAUUGUGAACUUUUUGUAAAUAAUAAGAAUAUUAGUUCAACUUAUUAGGUGAAAUAAUUCGGAUUGGAUUAUUGGAUCCGAUGUCCGAUAAUCAAACAAAUCAAAUAUGGAUCUAGUUGUGAAUGAUCCGUCAGAUUAUCAAAUCAGAUUGGGUCGGCUCUAUGCUAUAAAUAAAAUAUUUUUUUAACGUAUAGCCGCACGGCUAUACCCAUUAAAUAGCACAAUUUGAAUUUCUCUUUUUUAAUUAUUUUAAUUAGUAGUUAUGUUUUACUUAUUAUUUACUAAGUGAACAAUUAGUAUUUAUUUUUAUUCGAUAAUAUGUGAGUAUUUGUAUUAUACGUGUAUUAUACAUUUGCUUUUUUAAAAAAAUUUGCAUUUUACCAAGUCUUUAAGACGUUUACGAAAAACGAAAGUAUUAUUGAAAAAUACAUACGUACAUGUAUAAUACAAGUACUAAAUGGGAAACUGCUAAAUUCUUUAUACGGGUAAUAACUCUAGAAAAGUAAAAAAUAAAAAAUGGACAAUAGAGACUCAUGUAAUGGCCUAAUAAUAAUGGAUAAUGCUACUAACUAUUCUUAUCGAUAAACGAAAAUCAAGGAAAAAGAAUUAUAUGUAUAAAAAAAAAAAAGGAUUUUAGUAGAUAUUUAAAAUAAAUAAUUAUAUUAAAAUUUUUUUAAAAAAAAGGAAGCAGUAUAGCCCCGCGGCUUUACUAUUAAUUUUUUUUAUAUAAAAAAAUUGAGUGUUUUUAGGAGAUAUUUUUUAAAAAGAACUCACGUGUUUUUUUAAAAGAGUAUAGCCGUACGGAUAUAACCCAUAAAUAGAAUAUUUCAAACGUAUAGCCGCAUGGCUAUACUUUAUAAAUAGAAUUUAGUAUAGCCUGGCGGGUCUUAGUUGUUAUGUUUAAGUUAGGGGUUUUUUUAAGGACAAUGUCUUGAAUAAUUGUAGGUUUUUGGGAUAUUUACUAUUAAGCAAAACAUGGUGAGAUUAUGACUCAACUUGGCCAUGUAAAAUUCCUCGCUUCAGCUAGACAAGUGUGAUGUGUAAAAUAUCUUUUAAUGCAUACAAACUACAUAGGCUUUCAACAUAAUUAACAACAGCACAUAUAUUACAGCAAUCCUAAAGCUGUCUGUUAGACAAUCAUCUAAACAGAUGGUUAACGUUGCCUGGUUGGUUUUGAUUAUCCUCAUUUACACAUAUAAUCUUUGAUCUCCCAGUCUCUGGCGGUUAAUACUUCGAACAAAUUAUCUUAAGUGUAGAAGUAAAUGCUCUUAACCUCUUGAGCUAGUAACUCCUAUCCGAGUGCUAGAAAUCUUAAAUGUAGUACUCUUGUAUAUGGAAAAUCAGUUUGACUUUGUACAUAUAUAUUAUAGCCAAUUGAGUGAUAACAAGCAAUGAAAAGCUAUAGAAACAGAGCGACGAAAACAUGAAGAAGACUGUUAUUUCAUUGCUUUUCUGAAUCGAAUGACUUGUACAUCAGUUAUCUGAUUUUAUAUGUUACAGAAAGCAACUUUCUUACAGAACUGGUUCAGACAAUCUUAUUUCUAUUAACAACUCCAACUAAUUCUAAACAGCUGUUAACAGAAUUACUCCUUUGCAAACUUCCUUGGACAUGCUCUUAUCCUUGAGGAGGCUCAAUGCUUCUUCGCUUUCUUGAGCGACGAAAUGCUGUUUGUAAGGUUAUAACUGCAAAUAAUUGCUUCAACUGCAGCAUUUGAGAGUCAGUCAAAUUCUCGAGAUCAAUUCUCUUGGUAAAUUGCCACCGGAAAUAUCUAAGGAUGACAUGAUUCUUUAAGUAAUCAGCCGUGAGAGCAAAUGCUUCAACUCUUGUUUUGGACCGAACAUUUUCAUACGAGAUGGGUAAUUCAGUGGAGGGUGGAAAUUUUGAUGCCCAAGUUAUAAGUUCUUCUCCGUAAAAAUCACCUUUCUCAAUACACUUAGGUUUUGAGGGGUGGUUUUUCCCUCCACUGCUAGUUGUGUAGGUCCGAACAGUCCCUUGCGUGAUCAAGAGUAUCAUUUCAAGGGGCUCCCCCUCUCGAAUGAUAAAGCUGUCCUUAGCAUAGAUCACUGGCUUAAAAUGCUCACAGAUUUCCUUCAACUCAUCCAACCCUUCGAUCUCUUUAAGCUUCGGAACCUACAUAUAUAUAUAUAUAUAUAUAUAUUUAUCACGAGUUUAAUUACAUGUAACGAGUAAUUCUUCCUUAUAAGUCAUAUAAAAAAAGAAUGACAAGAGAGUAUGUAUGACUUACUUUCCUUAGUAUGGGCAAGCAAAUACAGCGCGUGACAUAGGUUAAAUAUUCCGGGGGAAGAGCAUAGAGUAUCUCCACAUGACCAUUUUUGUUUUGUUCAAGUAGUCGCUGUACAUGUUCCAUGAUCCUUGCUUUCAUGGUCUUAGGCAAGCCAUUUUCAGAUAACCACAAUUCUACCUCAAGACCUUUCAUUUUCAUCUUCCGUCUAAGCUUUUCUGACGUUGUGGUUGACAACUGCAUAUAUGUCUGCUCUACACAAUAAAUUUGUUCAUCACAUUUUGAUCAUAAAACCCCACAUAAACUACUCAUUUAUGAUCACUUGAAGGAAAUUUAACCAGAGUCUGAGAUCCCAGGAAACCUAAACAAUGUAUACAUGUAUAGAUUAUACUGAGAAAGAAAAAAGAAAAAAGAAAAAUAAGGCUAAUUAAAGAAACAGAUUUAUAUAUUCAGUACAUAUGCUAACCUGUAAAUUCCCAAUGAGAUAUAAAAAUAGUAGGAGACCAAUUAUAGAAAUAAAAACUGCAAAUAGAUUUUCCCAUGCGUAGGUGCUAGUCUGGAGGUUUUGACCAAGAGAACUGCAGUAAUGAAAUGAUCAAACUUUUUAGAAUAAGAUAUAACACAUAUAUAUAUACAUAUUUUAUUUAUCCAAACAAUAUUGUACUUUAAUCUAAUCUAAACUAUGGACAGGGGGAUUCAAACUCGGGUGCAAAGAGAGAGCAUAUCCGCUCUAGCAAACUUGGCUCAGCCCAUACCAUAUGUAUGCAAGAUAACAUAUUUGUUCAUGAAAUCAGAACUAUUUGUUAAUUUUCGAUGACUUUCAGUUGAGGGUAAAUUCUUUUUUCUCUUUAAUUACUACUCAAAAGCAAGAAUUAAGAUUAUAUCAAACGAUUACAAACCUCAGAUUUAGUAGACCCCACCAAAAGCAAUACAAAAAUUUCUCUGGAAAAUCUGUCGACAGUAACACGCCAGACUGAAUGGCAUGUUUAAAUAUACCAAAAUCGAAAAAAGUUGCAUUUGAUGGCUUUAUAGGACAUAAAUCAUAUAAAACUGUGAUAUUUCUCGGUGAAGGGUCAUCACAUUCACAGCUAAAAGUAUUAGGUUCACAUCCUUUUUCACUUCGACAUGCAUAUUGCCAACAAACUGUCUCUCGUUGAAUUGCAAAAAAAUACCAAAGCGCUCCGAUUACCUAUAUAAGACCAAAAAAAUUAGUCAAUGAUUAUUGGAUUUGGAGGUGAGAGAAAACUACAUUUGAAUUGAAAGAUAUUUAAACAAAAAAUGUAACUUCAUUUUUUUUUUCAAUUUUUUGAGCAUUUAAAAUUAAUUAAGAUAAUAUUGAAACUUACAUGACUGGCAAGAAUGUACAAGAAGAAAUUGAAAAAACUUUUGACCCAUAUGCCCGGCUUUUUAGCAGCCUUCUUACGUUCAUAACACAAUCUGUAAAUGAGAAGAACUCGUGGCACAUAUUGCAACACAAUAAGAAAAUUUAGAAACUUCAUUGUUUUCGAUGAUCUUGAGCCCCUCAUUUUUGAAAAGAUGGAAAGGACUACCUGGAAAUAAAUAAGGGGGACCAUUAAGGCAAUUGUUAAAUCUAAUUAUUGUAUGACAAAUGUUUGAUUAAUGAGUAUAUAUGAGAGUUAAAACUUAAAAUCUAAGCUCAUACGGCUCUAAAGUAAUCAACCAUGACAAAUAGAGAAAUUGGGAAAUAAAUCUACCUCACAUAUAAAACUUAAUCUUACCUGGGGGACGGGUAGAAUAGCUAAAAUGUCAAUUAGGAUGUAAGAUUGCAAAAUCCUCUUAGCUUUUGCAAGAACAUUCAUACUCAUGGAUUUACUUCUUUUCAAAGGAACUGCCUCCUCUGCUUUUGUUGUCCUAGCUUUAGGUCUAGCUAAAAUUCGAAGCACCAGGUCGGCAAUGUAGAAGAGAUCUGUUAACGAUCGUAAAGCAAAGGAUAUUGCCUUCAACCUUUUGUCCAAUUUGAGGCACUUCCUAUCCUCCUCAACGAUAGGGAUGUAAAAGAACAAAGGAUCCAGUAAGACAGCCAACACACAUGAUACUACAAAUAUGGUGUUCCACCAUUCUUGAAGGAAUGACUUUGGUUGAUCAGGAUAUUCGAUGACAGAUUUCAAAAACGGAACUAGUGCUUUUCUCCAAUGCUGGAUAGGUGUUUGUUGGAUUGAAUGUUGUUCACCACUGAAAAAAGACAUAGCAAAUAAUGUAUUGCUCCCACUAGGUAGAAGAAACAUGAAAAAAUCGUCAUUGAGGCUUUUCUCUUAUGUAGCUAUAUGUUGCUCAAUGAGAGAGAGAGAGAGAGAUACAUAAAUGUCAUGGAAUCGUCCCAUAAAAGUUUUUCUCGUGAAGAAAAGAGUUGCACUAGGACUGCCCGUAUUCAAGAGUUUCUUGUUGUUAGUAGGCAAAUCAAGUACAAAACGAAAAAGGGAUAUGGUAUAGCGCACUGUACAUUGUGAACGUUAUGGAUAAAAUCCUGGAAUAUGUUCACAGUGUGAUGGUUUAAAGUUAAAUAAACUAACCUGGCAGUGGCAGGUUUCUCUUCCACAACUAAACGUGUUUCUUCUUUCCCAUUCGCCAUAACUCAACCGCUCAAGCUUGUUUAUGAUGCAACUAAGGAGCUUUUCAAAAUCCCACAAAGUUCCCUGCAAAAAUGGACAACUAAAAGUUAUAGUAUUUAUAUUGGAACCUGGCAGCUUUCAUUUAAGCACUCUUAAUUGCUACAACGAUAAAGUAGAGCCUAUUACGUAAGCACGAUGACGAAUUUCUUUAUAGGAACAUAGGUGCAUUAAUGCACCCGUGACAUGGAGAUGGUAUCAAAUUCAAAGCCCUGUGUACGAACAAGUUCGUAUACCUUGCUUUCUUGCAAGUUGAAGCCAGGUAUUCACUGUGUAAUUAUUAUUUCUUUUUUAAACUAGGGCAUAUAUCCCUCAUCAUGUAACUUUGACUGUAAUUAUUCCAGCUGCUUACUUUUUUUACCAGUGUGAAACACAUGAUCAACUGUUUAAAUUCCCUCUCAUAACACUACAAGAAAAAGGGUCAGUAAUAGCAUCAACCACAAAAAUCAAGCCAUCCCUGAACACUGCCAAACAAAAACCGCACAAAAUUCAAUCAGACAUAAAAUUAUUUAGAAGAAAGUUGAUACCUUAGGCCUGAGGAACAUCGCAGCCCAAAUGCGCCCUCUUUCGAGGGCGAUGAUCCAAGUGAAUGAAAGGAAACUCCGUCACACGCUCAAUCUCCAUGAUCGUAGAGGGCCAUACUUCUUCGAGAGACCACGAAGGGAGGGUGCAGGAAGGCGCCUAGCUGGCGAAGGUUUCCAAUAAUAGGUAGUUUUGGUGGGGAAGGUGGUAGUUUGAGUGUUUUCCCACUUGAUCUAGCAAGUGAAAGCAAAAUGUACAGAGAAAGGAAGAAAAUGGGAAGCAGGAAAAGGUUGCUUUGUAGAUGUUGCCAUGUUUGAUUUAAAAGUGAUAAUAGAAGAGCUGGUGCUCUACUUUUUUGGCUUGGGUAAUCUACCGUUUUGCCACUGAAUUAUACCAUAAUUAUUAAUUUAUUCUAUUACUUUUUUUUCCCCGUAAAUUAAGAACUUACACUAUAUGAAAAUAAGUUCUAAUUUUUUUUCCUUGUUUAGUCAUUAAUAUUGACAAAAAUUUGGAUAGACAAUGUGCAAGUCACAUGAUAAAAAUUUAAAUAGACAUCCAAAAAAUUGACAACAAGUCUCAAAUCGGUCUAUCUCUAUUUCAUUUUUUAAAAAAAAAAAAUUUAAAAAAAAUUUAAAUUUAAAAAAAAAAAAAAGGUUCUAUGAUCAUCGCUCUUUUUUCAACAAAAAAAAUUGUGUCUAUGGGUAAUUUGAAAAUUAUAAUAUAGUUCAUGGAACAAAACGGUAGAUUACCCUUUACCUUAUGGUUUUGAUUACACACUAAAAAUCUGAGUUCUUGUUUAAUCUUAUAGAGAAAUUGUCUAGGCUUGGAAGGCCACAAUGAUUGAAGCUUACAAUCAAACCUGUGCCAAGGGACAACAUAUUGACGUUUGGGAUCCACAAGGAUGUCCUCUUGCACCAACCCUAAUUAAAUAAUGCACGCCAAGUAUACAACAUGAAAAACGUUUGAGUCGGUGAGUAGGACAAUAAUUUAUGUGUGGAAUGCUUUUGUACCAACCAAUACUGUGGGGGAAGCUAGCCCAUCCUCCAUCGCCAUUAAAGCCUUGUUCCAAAGGAGGGAGCUAAGCCUUGCGAAAAAUUUACUACCAACGCAUAGCAUUCCAAAUGGCACACUAAUUCAUUCAUCUUAUGGUACAUUCACGUGGAAAUACAUACUUGUUGGUUCCGAAUGACACAUUAAUUUAUCUCAGAGUACAUUUAUGUGGAAAUGCAUAUUCAUUGGGUCAUCAUGGUCCAUUAAGUGAUACACUUAAGUAGAUCAUGAUGACUCAACAAACGUGAUAUUUCUAUAUUAAAUACGUGUAAUAAUAUGCACAUGUAAUAAUUUUGUGAACUUUUUGUUAACAAUAAGAAUAUUGUGAACUUUUUGUAAAUAAUAAGAAUAUUGUUCAACUUAUUAGGAAAAAUAAUUCGGAUCGUAUUAUUGGAUUCGAUAUCCGAUAAUCCAACAUAUCGAAUAUGAAUCUAGUUGUGAAUGAUUUGUCAGGUUAUCGGAUUAGAUUGGGUGGAUAUUUUUUUUCUACCUGAUCGGAUCAGAUAUAUAGUGAUAUGAUCCAUCUCCGACCUAUUUACAACUCUAAACUCAUCACAUAUAUUACUCUAAAGACGAUAAUAACUCAAUGAAUGUGACAUUUUUUUAUCUAUUUAUACUAAGUAUGUAAAUACACCGUAACCCUUCGUCAUGAUAAAUGAAUGUAAAGUUAGGUUUUGAAAACUAAAAACAAUUUCAAGUUGUUUUAAAAAAUAAGGUUGAUUUUGAAAACUACAUUUUAUUUUUUUAGAAAAUUAAAAACAAAAAUGGUUACCAAAAAUGUUUUUAAUUUCCAUUUAAAAAAUAAAAUAAAAUUUUAAAAAUGAGAACAAAAUGGUUAUCAAACACUCUUUAGUUUGUUGACAUUAUUGAUGAGCUCCUUCAUAAUUCUAAGCUUCAUAUAUUUUCAUUCACGAUUCUUCUACUAGAUAUGUUUAUAUCCCAAAUCAUGAGCAUUAUUUUUAAACAGGCAGGCCAUAGUUAUUGAAGCUACCAUUAAACUGCUAGACUUUGAUCUAAGCGAUAUUAUGGCAUCAUUAACAAAUAUUUAUAGCGAGAUUUCGCUCUGCUGUCCUAAACAUGAACUUAAUGAGCCCUUAACACCUUGUAGAAAAGUGAAGGAGAGAGAGAGAGAGAGAGAGAGAGAGAGAGAGAGAGAGAGAUUGUGAGAGUAAUUUUAGUACUGAAAAGUCUUUCAUGUACUAUUAUUUUUACUUUCUUAUACGCUUAUAUAUAUAUAUAUCAUCCGAAUUAGCGCCAGACUUAACAGCCCAAACUGGCGCUUAGAGUCCUAGCCAUUUCGCAAGUUCACACAAACAAACUUAUUCUUAAUGCAUACUAAAACAUUUAGCUCUCUCAAGAAAGAGCACCAUAAUUAAUAUAACAUAAGAUCCAAUAUGGAUUUUUCAUGCUUGACUCAACAUGUCUCAAUCGGUACAGCAGCGGAACAUGAAGAACUUCUCCAUCUCACUGCCACACUCUGCGCACUCCACUCUGUCCGGGAUGUCUGGACCGAACCCUGGAAUGAUCAAACGGGUGCAGUGCUGCGGUUUGUGGCGCCGCUUCAGUUCAUCACUGAGUGUAGGCACGAAGCCUGAUUCAGCAGCUUUAUUUUUCCAGGCUUCAAAUUCAUCCAAGGUGUGCAGAGUGAGCUGUCCAUUGGCUCUGGCCGUCUCAUUUGAGCCUCUCCACACCAUAACCCAACCUUGGUCACUUCCAUCAUAGCUCAGCAAAGUCAUGACCUCCUUCAGUAUCUCAUCAUUCUCUACAGUCCUGUGGUGUUUAGCCUUGGAGCAUCGCAUGCUAUCCAUUCGGGACCAAAAGAACCAAUUGGAUGUGUAAUCAGGCCAGAACCGGCUGAGGUUCUCUGUUUCAAUGACUUUGUUCACUUUCCUGAUCCGCUCCCUGGUUGCUGUACUUCUUCCUACAUAAAGCAGUUCCAAGGAGAUACCAGCAAGUCCUGCAACAACUUUUGCUCUCACCGUGAACUUCCGAAUCCAUUCCAAAUCAUCACCUCCAUACAAGCAUAUAUAUUUUCCUUUCUCGAUCUGGUAAAGCAAAAAAGUUUCCACAUUAUCUUUAGUUCUUCAUGAAUUUUGACUUAAUAAAUGGAUACAUAUGAAUGUACGAAAAUGUUAUCUAACUUUAGUACUCUCGAUUGAAUGUAAUAUAUGGUUCAGAGUCACAGUCUGUCAACAUAUUAUGCCGAAGUUUCUAGCACUUACCCAGUCCAGUAUGAUUGGAUCAAUGCCAUUGGCAACGAGCUGGAGUCUCCAGCUCUCUGCAUUCCACAGUACCUGCUCUUUCUCAUCAGUGAAAGGGAAAGCCACAUUGCCCCAUACCCACAGCAUGUGAACAGCAUUCAGGGAGGACACCCUUCCUUGUGGAUCCAAGGACACUAUAAUCAUCUUCUUGUCAAAAUGCCAAUCGUUUCUGAUGAACUUGAUCACCGGUGGCUCAAUUAUUUGAGGGUCGUGCACCGCGUACCACGGCAUCUUUGACUUUAGCUCCUCAAAUCUAAACCGUUUUGCUUCAUCCCAAGUGGUUGCGUCCACAACGGGGAGCCAAACAAUCCCAUACUCAACUUCUGCCCUGUUCUGCUGUUGUUUGUAGAUGUGAUCAAGAAUCACAAUCUCUUCAUUGCUCAGACUAAGAUCCGUUAUCAACAGCAACACAUGCCUUCUCCUCAACACUUCAAGACUGUACUGCUUGUGGCAAUGGAAACAUAUAAAAUGAUUCAGUUUUAUGGCUCAUUAGGAAUACGAAACUGGGAAAUGCAAGGUACAAGAUAUAAGUAGACAGUACCCUGGUUGUACCAAUUUGGAGUGGUUGUGCAUCAUCCUUGUGGGAAAUCAGUGCCCUUAAGUUCUUCAGGUUGUCCAGGUGGAGGCCCUGGAAGAGGCGUCUCAGCGUCUCAUAAUCUUCAUCAUAUCUCUUUGCCACUGGAUCCCAUAUGGUGAAUUUUGUUCAAUACUUCAUUAAAUUUAAGGUGAAAUUUGAAAGAAAAACCAGCCAAGAGAUAUGUUUAACUUCUAAGUUAAACUUUCAUCAUUUUUAGACUAGGUUUAAGAGGUACAUGUCCACAGUUCUAAAGUUUGCAAAUCCAAGAGCUUACCAAUAUAUUGACGGCAAUUCUCAAGUUCACUGGUGAGGUGGUCAUGUAUGUUCUUCAGCUUAUGAGCCAAGCUUGAGAGUUCCCAAACCUCUGUGGUUGAUGCAAUGUACCUAGAAUGAGUAGAAAAAAGGAGCUGCUAUUAGCUUAGGUAUAGUUUGAAAUGAAUUUGAUGCAUUGUGGUUUCCAAUGGCUUACUCAUGUCUGCUGCCUGCGAGGAUGGCAAUAUGGGAGGCACUAGCCAGGAUGCCUCUAAUGACCCAAUAGGCAGCAGCAGGAAUAUGUGCCAGGGCAAUUGACAGUGGAGGUGUGUCUUCUGAAAUGUAGUGAGACUGCAGCUUGACCAUCUCACUGCACACCACAAUGCUCUUGGUAACGUUGGUAACAGCCGUGAUGAGGUUGUCAAUUGCCUCAAUUUGAGGCUUGACUGAGGCGGCAUGCUCUACCAUGUCCGACAGUUGCUUCAGGAUGGCCACGGACUUGGCUAAUGGAUCGGUAGUGCAAAGCUGAGCCACAAGCCAGAAUUCUCCAUGGUACACAGCAAAAGCAGCCAGGGUCAGCACCACUUUUGCUUCCCAUGAAUAGUUUGAAAGAGUCCUGAGUAACUCCAUUGUGGUCGCGUGAACAUCGCCGCCUCCUGAGCAUUGGCAACUUAUCUGCCGUUACAUGGACACUGUGCUUAAUUGCUAAUUUGUAUUUUGCAUAGAAAGGAUGUAAUAGAAAAUAGGAGACCUACAUGCAUAGUCCUCAGACAUUAAAUUAUGGUUUCUAGGAUUAAUUUGAAUAAAAGAGACUCAUUCGAAACUUCUAUUUGCAGCAUACAUGUUCCUAUAUAUCCAUCCCAUAUGCAGAAACAGUAUAGGAGAAGUGCCAUGCCAUAUGCUUUAUAAAAGAAACAGAAAUUUAUAUGUUUUUCUUUGAGUAAAAGCAUUUAGCUUUAGCAAAAAAGAUUGUACCUCGCAAUAGAUCUUUUGUAUGAGAUAAGACAAUCCGUGGAACAAGACAUCAACACUAGGCAAAGUGGUCCUGUCCUCCACCGUAUCUGCAAGUUCUCGUGUACCCUACACAGCAAGUAAAGCAAUUGGUGACCAAAAUAAACAGAACUGUUACAAAGUGUUCUUCUUUUUAAUUUCAAAAUUUUAUAACAAAAGCAAAUGGGAUAAGGAAAUACAGCUAGAACGACAGCAGUGCUGUGAGUAGCACGAUGAAAUAUUUCCUCAAUGACUUGGAGAAUUUGGUUGACAUCGACGCUGUGGGAUCGUCCCGGAGAAUGAGUCUCCCGAAUUUGCCUCAGCAAUGCACUAUCAUCAGAUUGGGGGGAUGUUCUUUUAUCCCUCAUAUUCACAUUUUUCAGCUUAGGAGCUACCAGCUGUUGGCUUGCCAUAUCUUGGAACUUCAAAUGCUUAAGAAAGUGAGAAAAUGCUAGGUUUGAGUGGUUUUACAGUUUCAGAAGCUAAGCCUUAUAUAAUAGCAAGAAGAAUGGAAUAAAAGUUAAAGCCUUAUGAACAAGUACCUUGCUUGCAAGGUGAGUCUAAUUAAAGUUAAAGCCAGACAUAUACUGGAUAAGGAUAUAAGGUUUGUUACACAGCUGUGGUGGCCCUAAGGUAUAAGUGUCACAUUCCGGGAUCGGCUCCGCCGUAGCACGAUAUUGUCCGCUUUGGGCCCCCCUCUCUGCCCUCACGGUUUUGUUUCUGGGAGCUCACGAGCAACUUCCCAGUGGGUCACCCAUCCUGGGAUUACUCUGGCCCCCAACUCGCUUAACUUCGGAGUUCCUACGACUCCGAAGCCAGUGAGUUCCCAAAAGGCCUCGUGCUAAAUGGAUGCGGGUGUGCACAUAUAAAGCACAUCACCCCCUCUCCGUUGGUUAAUGUGGGAUCUUACAUAAGUCUCCAGCAUUCUCUUGGAUUUGGGGUUUUCAGUAAAUACAUAAGUAAUAUUUGGAAAUUAAUAGAGCUAAUAGACGAAUCUAUCAAACACUCCAAUGAAGGAAAAAACUAAUUUCGCACGUACAGGGCGUGGACGAUUAUCAACUGUUGAUAUAUUUAAAACACAAGCAUAUAUAGCUCGAACUCCAAAGCUCAAAAAAUUUCUUGUACAUAGAGGAGGCCAUGCCAACGUGUAUAAUUUAGUCAUUUUAGUAAAUUUUAAUCAUUCAGAUUAUCGUAAUCCAGAUCUUUUAGGACAUUGAUUCCCAAGCAACAACCAUAAACAAGAAUUUAAUGCUUGGGAAAUCAAACUUUUGCCAAGCAUCCAAACCCCAGUACUAUUCUUUAAUCAUUUAUAUGUAACUUCUUUACUCUUUUUCCCCUUUUUCUUUUCUCUUUUGGAAAUUGUACACAUACUAAGAUAUACAUAGGCAGGAAAAUCUGCUCCCAUGAGCAGUCAUUUGUGAAAGGAUUUCCUAUUCCAGGCAAGAAUCAAGUGCUUGAGAGAAACUAAAUCCUUGUAGGAUCAUGUCUCAUUAUUUUGUGCAUACUUUUGUACUGGUGCGUGAAUCAUAUGAACUUUUUUAUCAAGUCAUAAACAAUAAACUCUUCGACCAAAAAAAAAAAACAAACAGUAAACUCUGAGCUUCAACCCCACACUGAUAUGUAUUUCCUUGAAGAAAGGAAUUAUGUGAAGGGACAACUCUCGACAAAAGGGGAAAAGAAAGGGACAUCAGACAGUUGAUGUGCUUGUGAUGCUUAAGGCAUCUAAAUGCUUUCGUCAGCAAUGCUUGCUUCACCUGGACUAGUAAUCAAGAAGCUAAGACUCUUUAUUGAUCGAAAAUUAAGAAGCUAAGACUGGUCCUUGAGUUUUGUAUAAUUAACAUCUGAGGGAACAAAAUGGAUGAGAGAAAAGAGAAUUACUGUGCUAUCUUGGUGGUAAACAGAAAGCGGAAGCCUCAGCUCCCCUCUUUGGCCCAAGAACCAAAUGAGGCAGGAUCAGCUUGCAACAGGGGACAAUGUAAAACAAGUUUUAUUGGGCUGGCCCAUGCUCAAAAUUUCUCUUAGGUCAAGUCGAGUCGAGCAUGACCUAAGAGAAGAGAAAAGAGAACCUAUACCUGAUCGUAUGGGUAUUGGGUAUGACUUUUUGGCUUAACCUUUGUUCAAUUAGGCAUUGAUCCUAACAUCUCGUUCUUUCGGGUAAGUUUUAAGUUUAAAACUAAACUUGCCUUCGAAUUGAGCGCGUUUCGAAAAACCUUAAGUCCCGACGGGUUUGGGCUUCACCAGAUUCGAACCCGGGUUUGUAAUUGUAUCAAACUUUUCUUGGACUGUCUGUCAAACUUUAGACCGGGAAAUCCUAUCAACAUCUUGGGCUUUAACAAGUGCAGCCUCAAAACAAAAAGAUAAAAUGGCCCAACUAGCUUGACCCAAAUGUGUGGGGUACGCAUGAGUCGGCGGGUGAGGGUGUAAGAAGCAAGGGCAGGGCAAAGACAAGUGUAAAGUAAAGCAGUGAAAAAUGGAAAAUUGGAGAAAGGUGUAGAGAAAGCGUGGCAAAUGCAUAAGCUACUCUCCCCAGCGAGAGCAACAAGUGCUAUAGUAGGCCUAGACCGGUUAGCGUAUGGUUCCCGCUAUCCAGCGCCCACUGUGCAACACCUCUUAACCUUUACCACUCUCUCUUUCUUUCCUCACUCGCAUCAUCGUCAUCGCCAUCGUCCUCGCACACUCACACUUCUCCCCACCACCUCUCUCUCCUUCUGUCCUCUCCUCCAAAACCCUAAUUUCCUCACGGGUAACUCCCUCUUCCGCGGAAUGGAGGUAUUUCUCUUUCUCUCUCCUUAUAUCCAAACAAAGCAUUUGUUUUUUCAGCUUAUAGAUAGAUAACUAUGUAAAAAUUUAAUCUUUUGUCUUAUUAAUCUGUUACUUCUACUUUCUUAUCAACCCAUUGGAGCUUAAGUUCAUUUGUUUUUGGUAAUGAUGUACUUUUAGUGAUUGCUUAUUAUGCUAGGAUCUGAUUCUUGUAGUUAUGUUCCCUAAUAAUAGGGAUUUGUAGUAAUUUUAGUCUUCAUUUUAAUCGGGGUUCAUUCUACCCUGGUUAAUGGUGGUAUUCAAUUGUAUUGUUGUCCGAGGGCCUUGGAUGGACCAAUUCAACCCAUAACUGAUCCUAGUGUCGAGGAUUUGGAUUUGCAACCAGACAAGGUAUUAAUGAUGGUUGUGAUCAUUCAUGGGCAAAAUUCCAAUAGGGGUUCUGCUUGUUUGUGUUUCAUUUAAAUUACUUUGUUGCUUAAUUUAAUUUGGGCUUUACUGUUAUAUGUUAGUGUUGAACAACAUUGAAUUCGAGCUUUGUUUUUCGUAAUUAUUUUCUAUCAUUUACAGCAAUUCUGGUCCCAUAGUAGCGUUAAGAAGAACAAGGCGAUGGUGGAGAAUUUGCAGAGUUAUGGAGUGAUUAGCUCCAAAAAGGUUGUUGAAGUGAUGGGGACUAUUGAUAGAGCUUUAUUUGUGCCUGAUGGGACCCCACCUUAUGUUGACUCCCCCAUGGCAAUAGGUUAUAAUGCCACCAUUUCUGCACCUCAUAUGCAUGCAACAUGCCUUCAGUUGUUGGAAGAGAAUUUGCAGCCUAAUAUGCGUGCUUUGGAUAUUGGUUCAGGUGCUUAUCUACGGAAUUUUUAUUAUAACAUGUUAAUAUCAUGUGUUUAUGUCUUUAUAGCUAGCACAUUCUUGGAAGUGAAAUGUCACACUGACAUUUGACCAUUUGAAUCUAUGGAAACCUGAAUUCUUUGCACUAGCUGUGCUGCAUCUUGAAGGCAGUACUAGAGAUCCUGAAUUUCCUUUACUGUAUUUUGCUUUGCAGGGACGGGAUAUUUGACAGCUUGUUUUGCCUUGAUGGUUGGGCCACAAGGCCGUGCAGUUGGUGUAGAGCACAUUCCUGAGUUGGCUUCUUCCUCAAUCGAGAAUAUUAAAAAAAGUGCAGCAGCACCAUUAUUGAAAGAAGGUUCUCUCUCAGUGCAUGUCGGUGGUAUGUUUCCUGAAACCCAGGGUUACACUUUUGAAAUUGAAACUAAGAAAAAGAAAAUCAUUUUUCUAUUGAAGCUAAAUGAAAAGAGUGUAUACCACCCUGAUUAGUCUUAGAAAUUACUUGCAUGAAUAUGGUGUGUACCCAUGCGGGCUGGUUCCAUGAUAUGAGUUGAGGGUUGUUGUUUUAGAAAUUCAUAAAAUGGAUUCAAUUCUUGUUGGGCUUCAAGGAAAGUUGGAAAGAUAUUUAAAAUGUUUGAAAGCUUGUAGAAUUAUUCUUUGCUGUUAUGUUUUGGAGAUGAAAAACCGUUGGGUGUUCUCCUCCCAUUCAAUUUCCCUGUCUCUCUGGACUUCUUUCUUUAAUCAUGUUCUGUUCAUGAAAUCUAUAUUCUAGGACUUCCUCUGAUAAUUUCUUUUUGUUGGAGUGAAAUAGCUUAGUCCUUUUUGGGUGCUGAGAGGAAUCAUACUUAUCAUGCCUUGAUUCUAGUGUAAUCUCCAUCUUGUCAGUUUGUAAUGAAAACUCACUCAGCUUAGUUUGCGCACCAGCAACAAAACACCAGUUUUUCAUCCAAUAUGAUUCAAGGAAUUGCCAGUCAAGGCCUAUAACACUUUUACUAAACAUAUUUGAGCUCCAUACACUGGUUGCCAAAGUUUUGCUGCCAUUCACCUGAACUAUAUGCUCAAGUAUUUCCACCCAUGAUACCGGUCUUUUUCUAGAAAAAAAAAAUGCAUCAGCUUAAGACACGAUUUUACUACUGCCAAAUGCUAAUUACUCGUUUUAUUGAUUUGAUAAAUUAUUGUUGCAGAUGGAAGGCUAGGUUGGCCAGAAUUUGCACCUUAUGAUGCCAUUCAUGUUGGUGCAGCUGCACCAGAAAUCCCACAACCGCUUAUUGACCAGUUGAAGCCUGGAGGCAGAAUGGUGAUUCCAGUGGGAAACAUAUUCCAGGAUUUGAAGGUUGUGGACAAGAACUUGGAUGGUUCUAUCAGUGUCCGGACUGAAACUUCAGUUCGUUAUGUUCCUCUCACAAGCAAAGAUGCUCAGUUGCGAGGCUCUUGAGGCCUGCUACUGGCUCACUAUUUGUGCGUAGAUGAUUUUCUGGUUUCUCUUCGCAGUAAUGGUUUGCUUUGGUAUAGUAGUUUGUUCCCUUGCCACUGUAAAUUCGCUUAAUCUCAAAGGGUGUUCAAACCUGUUGCCUGUUUAUGGCUAAAUGACUUAAAUAUACGGCAUGUAGUUUCUGCUAUAUCUGAAAUGUUCGUUCUGAUUUUCAGUUCCUGAAUGUUUAAACCCGCAUUGCACCAUGCGUUUUUCAUGCUACAAAAGAAUCUAAAAGUACAAGGCUUUACAUCCACUGACAUACAAUACAAAUGAAACUAUUUCAUUAUAAUGACGUUCAAAUGCUCCAUUAGCUGAUCAAAAUAAAAUAGCAACCACAUCAGUAGUGCCCCAAAAUUAACGGAGUCAAACUUGGACGCUAUAUAUCGUUUCCAACUAGAACAACACCUGUAAAGUAGAAAUCAUAAAAACCUCGCUGAAAAACAGCUGACACAAAAUCUCAUCUAAAGAAAAAGGAACCAAAACCAGAACUUAGGUUUCAUCCCUGUUAAGUCAGUAGGGGCUGCGCCUUUGUCUUUCUUCCGCAACAUUUACUCUGAUCGCCCUUCCAUCCAGACUCUGCAGCACAAGACAACUCAAGUAAGAUAGUUUAUAUCGUAUCCAAGAUGCACCGAUGAAUCCAUACAACAUUUCCAUCAACUAUGUUUUUCACCCCUUUAUCAAUCAAGUCCAUUAGGCAAAAUUAGACAAACCAUAUAAAGCAUAAUUAACUUAAAGCAUGUCAAUUCAACCUAAGAAUUUGGUCCAUCAUUACACGAAUGAUGGAUCCCCUUUUCCUAAUGAAUCAUCAAGGCUGAAAAUGUAAACGCUUAAUACCUGUCCAUCUAGAGCAGCAAUGGCAUCAUUCAUUUCGUUUUCACUGGCCAUUGUUACAAAGCCAAAACCACGCGACCGUCCAGUUUCUCUGUCAAAGACUACUCGUGCCUCCACCACGCUACCAUGCUCACUGAAGACCUGCUCCAGUUGACCAUUAUCCACAUUCCAUGGAAGGUUACCAACAUAGAUUCUAAAAGAAGGUUCAAAUGAACGGGGUGUGCGUUCUUGGCGUGUUCCUCUUGGAGCAGCCCUAUUGACAGUCAAGAGCCUUCCAUUUAAAUCCUAUCGCAGCAGUAAACACAAAAAACUUAGAAGCAAUCAACACAAUCCUUAAAAUAUGACAUAAAAUGCUUUUAUAAAAAUGAAAAAUAGUAUGGAACAUUGCGUGCGGUACACUUGAAUAAUAUUCUAUUCAUAUGCACCAAAAGUUGAAUAAGCGAUGCACAUUACAUAUGGGCAGUAUGCUUUACUACAAAAGACAUUCCAGGAACCUACUGAGCACUUCUCACGACAUAUUCUCCUAUAAUCAGAAGCUCUAUACUAAAUCUCAGGGCCAUUCCAAGAACCUAUUGAGCACUUCUUAGGACACAUUCUCCUAUAAUCAGAAGUUCUAUACUAAUUUUGAGAACUAACUUCAAAGUUACCCCCAUACUAGAUAUAUGAAUAUAGAACCCAUUGCUCAUGGCUACACUCAACUUUCGAGUUAAACCACCAGCACCCUAAUACAAUGUAUUAUCGGUUACCCUCCACAAACAUAGCCCAUGCUGUUCAGCCAUCAAUUCACAUCAUUUGUCCUAAUUUUCUUUAAUCUUUCAAAAUAUUGUAAUUACUCAUAUUGAGUUUAUUCCAUCUUAUGCAUGCCAUAAAUUUACAGAAAUCAAAAUCACCAAAAGAGCACUAAAAACAAACCACUUAAAGAAACGAAAUUUAGAAACAACUUACAUAACGACUGAACAGUUCCACAGCCUUAUCAGCUUCUUCAACAGUGCUCAUAGUCACAAAUCCAAAUCCACGACUCUGCUCAGUAUCCCUGUUGUAAAUGACCUACAACAACAAAAGAGAAAUAAAAAAUUUCACCCACAUAUCUAAACCUCACAAAUUUCACAACAACAUCGAAACCCAAAGACACAAACUUUAUGAAACAAAGCAAUUAAAACUCACCUCUGCAAUCUCCACAACUCCAGCCCUCUCAAAGAGCUCAGCCAAUUUCUGACUAUCAACAUCAUAAGGCAAAUUCCCAACAAAUACCUUGGCUUCCUCAGGUGGCUCAACAUUCGCCUCCUCUUCCCUCUCUGCAAAGACCCCUUCUUCACCACUCUCUGCUCCUUCGUCUUGGUCAAUGGUAAGUGUGCUGUCUUCUUCUUGCUGAGCCCAGUCUGAGGUCUGGGCCACAAAAGAGACUAUGGAUGAGAACUGGGUUUUGUUCUUGAGGGACAGAGGUGGUGAAAAGUGUGAAGCAUGAGUGUACGUGAGGUGGAGUUUAAUGGGUUUGGAUGGGAUUGAGAGAAACGAGUUGGCGGUUUUGGUCGAGGAGAGGUAGGGUAAAGAGACUAGACAUGAGUCUGCUAUUGACAAGGUCUUGAACAAAUUUGAGGUUGCAGAAGCCAUUUUCUGUGUUGAGCGGAGAAGAUGGAGGAGCGAAGGGUUUUAGAAAAGGGGGGUGAGGAUAAGGGUGGAGGAGAGGUCCUAGAGGAGUAGAAGGAAGGGGGUUAUUGGGACAGAGAGAGAGAGAGAGAGAAGGAGAUUUUCUUUUUUAUGGGCACAUAAAAGCAUGUAUGGGCUUUCAGAUUUAGAAUUAUCAUAUAGGAGCCCAAAUCUAACUCAUGGCUUCAUGGAAGUCCAGCCCAACUGCUUUUCUACUUUUACAAAUUUUACAAUUUAAAAAAUAAAAUAAAAAUCUUUUUUGGGAUCUAAUAGCGUCAAUAAAAUUUUCAGUAUUAUCAUGUGUAUAUAAUUUUUUUGUGCACUUAUAUUAUAAUAUGUGAGUAAUUAGGGUUACACCCAAACAUUCUUUUUGCUUUUAUAUUAUAACACGUGAGUAAUUCGGAUUACACCUAAACACUCUUCAUAACUAAUAACAUUCACUUCAUUUUUAGUGAAUAAAAAGAGAUUUAAUGGCAUAUUAAAGGGUAUAUCUGAGUUGAUUUGUUUUAGCAAUUCAUCUUGCAAGCUAUGACUGUAUGACUAUAGAAUGUUUUGGAGCAUCUAAAUGUAACACGAGACCAUAUCACAUGGGAUGAGCUGAAUUUUAUAUAAUGGAUCAGAAUAUGGAAAGAUAAAGCUUAUGUAAAAUACACGACACUUAAAUUGAUUCAAACAAAGUUUAGAGCCCCUCAGGAGGUGCAGACUUGCAGUCGCAAAACUCAAUACACAAUUUCAGUCUCUCUUACACUGCAUUGCCCAUGAAGUUUAAGUAGCAACAAACCAUUAUUAGCAUUGUAGACUAUAAACUCCUCUUUCUUGUCCACCAUACAAGACCUUGGUUUUUUGUUGGAGUAGGCUCCAAAUCGACCACAUCCUCGGAUUCGAACCUUCACGACACAUUCGGAAAGUUCAUUUUUGCAAUGUAGAGAUUCAAUGGUUCCUCCUGAGUUGUACAUAUACUGGACAUCCCCCCAAUGCCCUUGCUGCAGCAUGGAACUCAGCCGUGUAAUGGUCACUCUGAAAAUGCAGAAGAAAGACCAUUAGGAAUUAAUUUAGGUGCUGAUAUAUAUAUAUAUAUAUAUAUAUAUAUGAGUUGGAUAAGUAAAUCAAAGAUAUGUCAGCAGAAUUCAUCUUACAAAGAACGUGUCCCAAUCUGGAACAGCAAUCUCUCCCAUGAGAAGACUGUUAAAAGCUACAGCAGCAACAUGUAGGGUCUGAAAUGUUGGCUCCAUUUGCAUGAAAUCCUCUGAUAUCCUAGUAGCUGCACCCUGUUUUAGCUGAAAGCAACACAACACAACACAACACAACUCAUCUAAUUAAAACUGAUCAAUCACUUUUUCCUUUUUUUUCUUUGUUGAUGUCAAAGUUUCAACAAAUUAACCUGUAAAUGUGGUCAUUGCUAAGGCUCAUGCCCCAAAUAAGGUUAUUGCGAUGGAAGUUUCUUAUAACAGAUGCCUCAAGGGCUUCUUGGUACCGCCUCAUCAAUGCUUCACGGCCUCCAUAACAAGAGCCAAGAAGUUCCAGUACAUUCUGCACAUCCACCUUAACUCCAUCUACAUUGCAACUUGCAAGGUAGCUAUGAAGAUCGUCAUAAAACCUAUAAAUAUUUGAGGGGGCAAUCAUGCCAAUCCCAUAUUUCUCCAUGGGGCCAAGGGUUGUACAGAUAACGUGACUCACGUUUCCAGGGGACUGAACUAUGUGUUUGAUCCAGGGGUCGUAUUUCCUCAUUUCUUCAGAUGUUGGAAGUACCCCUCCCCACGAACCAAUUAAAGCGUGGCACGCAUAUACUAAUCUGCAUUUUAACUCAUAAUCUUUGAUUAAUCAUGUACAUUUUUCAAAAAUGACUCAAAACAAAUGUUAAAGCAAAGAGUGUACUUCAGUCCAUAUUCCUCUUCGAUGAACUUUACAAACUCACGGAGAUUAGCAUAUGACUUUCCUGACCGGAAGCCCUUGAACUUAUCAUUUUCUUCUAUGCUAGUCAAUCUGUCCACAGACCUAUAAAUUGGGAGCAAAUGAGAUCAUCUAACAAUUCAACAUGGUGCAGAACGUGAUCAGAGUCAGCAAAGAGGUAGAAUAUGAAUUAUUUAAAGAAGUCUCACGCGGCACGAUAAGAUGAAUCAGUCUCAUCAGCUUCAGCUUCAACUUCCAUUACUUUGUUCUGCCAUCCUUCAUCAAUGAUAAGAAAUUUUGUGGGGAAGCCUCCUUCUGAAAGACUGGAAAACAAAAACAUGAUGAUAUGUACUUAAGUUUUUUUUUUUUUCUAUAACCAAGUUGAACAAUCAAAGCUGUCUAUUUCAUUUGAAACUAAUUCACCUUUUAAGCCCCUUCUCAAUCCCUUCAGGAUCAACUUUAUGAUAAAAUGCAUCCCAGGUGCUCAACCAAACCAGUCCACAUGUGCUGGUAUCUGCCAUUUCAAGCACAACAGAUUUAGCAGGCUAUCUGUUUUCCAUAGUUUUUCAUGAAAUUGUAUGUGUGUGUGUAUAUAUAUAUAUAUAUAUCAAUUACCUUCUUGUUUUCUCAGUAUCUGGCACAUUAUAAUCACAAAUCUCAAAUCAAUUAAUUUUGAAAAUUUACUAAAUAUACUUUGUGGAAUUCCUAAUGAGCUUAAAAGGGUUGUCUCCUAAAUUCAUAAAAAUUGCUUCUGUUACUUGGGAGGUUUGGACGUUGGGAUCUCCUGAGGCAUAAAUAAACAAACCACAAAACUCAGAAAUAUUGAAUAGAAUCAAAAGGCAGAACAAAUUAAAACCGCAUUGAUCAACAUCCAAAAUAAAGUUGCAUAAAUUGAACGAACCGCUUUCGAUGCAAAAUUCAAGCUCAUUUACAGUGUUCCCUUGCAAACUAGCCCUGAAUGGUCCAUCCAAGACUGAUAAUAACAGAAUGUACAAACUGUUCUCAGUUGUUGGCUCAGAUAGCCCAUUUUGGACAGUGGAUUUUUCUCUUGUUUCCAAGAGGAGCAUUUGAGUUUCUGCUGGAACUUCACAGCCCGAAUCUCCGAAACUCGGUAUCAUCCACCAGAGCUUGAAUCUGAAGAGACACAUAAAAUUAUUCUUUAAAAAAAAAGCAAAUGUUUGACAUAUAUAUAGCCAACAAUACAAAAUUUGUUACACAUACUCAAGAACCCCAAAAGAGAAGACAUGACGAAAGCUAGAGUUUGAAGAAGCGGCUCCAAUGAAAGCAGCCUCAUCGGCAGCUGGUGCGACACUUAUGUUUCUUGGAACAUGAGACAGAACAACAUUGUCCCGGACCAUGAGGCAGUCAUCUUUGAUGCUUGGGACAAUCAUCUUUGCUAUAGUCGCUUCACAAACUUCAACUUUUCAAUUAUAUAUCAUGGAUGAUCUAGCAAGCUAGGGGGUUUUAUACAUCCAUAUAUGAAGAACAUGAGCUCAUAUCAGAUGACGUUGCAGCGCACCGAAACAAAGACCAGAAAAUUCUGAGACCGUCACACCGACCGAGUUUCAUGGUGACAUGUCUCUUGUAUAUUAAGUGCACCUAUAUAUAUAUAGUCUAAUUCUACAAAGAGCUUCCAUUGAGGGAUCCCUCAAAUAAGCUUAUUUGAGGGACACCCCUUGUAGGGCCCACUCCAGAUUGUAUUUCACUAAUCCAAACCGUCUACUUUGUAGAUACUCAUUCAAAGAUCAUCUAUACAAAAAAUCACUUGAAUCCGAUAUCAUUUGAUCAUUCAAUUGAGUUCUUGAAAUUUUGGUACUUUCUUGAAGCACCGUGUUCAUUGAUUUUGUAGGACACAAUUAGAUAUCGAAACGGUUUCCGAUUUGUCUAAUUUUUUGUAAGGAUGAUCUAUGAAUGAAGACCUAAAAAAUAGAUUGUUUGGAUCGUUGAAAAAAAAUUUAUAGGGUACCUUAAAGGGCGUCCCUCAAAUAAAAUUAUUUGAGGGAUCCCUCAAUAGAAGGGGACUGUUAAUUCUAUUGAGGGAUCUUUAUUUGAGGGACAUUUGGGGUCCCUUAUGAAUUUUUUUAAACAAUUUAAAUCAUUUAUGUUUUAAGUUUACAUUUAUAGAUGAUUUUUGCAAAAAAUUAGACAAAUUAGAGACCGUUUUGAUAUCCAGUUGUGUCCUACAAAAUCAAUAAAUACUGUGCUUUAUGAGAGUACUAAAAUUUCAAUAAUUCAAUUAAGUGGUUAAAUGAUAUCGGAUUGAAGUGAUUUUUUGUAGAGAUGAUCUUUGAAUGAGUAUCUACAAAAUAAACGGUUUAAAUUAGUGAAAUACAAUACGGAGUGGGCCUAUAUAACACAAUUUCAAGCAAAUUAAUGCUGUGAAAUUGAACCAAAUUUUGUUUUCUUCUUUCAAAUUCUCUCAUAUGAGGUGGCCCAACUUGACGAAAUUGUGGGGUGAGCUUACCUCAAUGGACCUACUAUGGCCACGGCAGGUUUAUAUUUUUCUUGUUAGGGCCUAAAUUGAACUACUAAAAAUCAAAAAGAAAAAUAUAAACCUUUCAUUUGAGUCAACAAGGUCUAGUCUAGUGAAAAAUGACAUUAACUUCUCUGGUAUGCCAUGUGCAUAAUAAAUUCUUUCAAUUUUCUAGGGUGAAUGACUGAGUCUGGUGUUGGAGCAGGAUUCCUUUCAAGAAAAAAUACCUAUACAGGUUCUUGACUGAAGUCCGCACGCUUCCUUGGUCGAAACAGAACUCCGGAUUUUGUUCCCGAGGUCAAAUGAUGGAAAGGGGAUGAGUACCUGCAAAAGUCACUCCAACUCUCAAGUCAGUAUUUGCGUAGCGUACUCUUAGUGUUUAAUUGAAUUUCUCGUACCUUGGCUGGAGAUCUAGCCGGGUUUUUAUAGCGCUUCGAGUUCUUGGGUUUGGCCAUGCUUCCCUAGCUUUGUACAUCCCGUCUCCCACUUCAUGGUAGUGGGAUCAGAUGAGUUGUAGUGGGAUCAGAUGAGUGAUUUGCAUCUCCCUCGCUCUGCACUUCUCUAGUGGGAGGGAAGCUCGAUCAUCCCACGUCUUUUGGUUGUAGCAUAUGGGUUAAGCCAUGACUCGAUCAUCCCACGUCUUUUGGUUGUGGCAUAUGAAUUAAGCCAUGAUAAAUGAGAUUUGGUCCCCACAUCUGGCCAGCAUCAUAUGAACUUUACUGGUUUAUCAUGUCUUCCACGACAUGGCGGGGCAAACUGAUAAAGCAAGUGCCACAUUAUCCCAGAUUAAGGAUUUUGAUUUAAUAACUUGAAAUUGAAUCAUUCGAAAUUUUCUGGUGCCUGUCAUAUCUUCCAUCAAAUUGAAUCCUGCGGUUUAGGAAGUGACCUUUGUCACAAUUAAGGUCUUUGAUAUAAUGUUUUGAACAUAAUGGUGGGGUGUCAACUUUCAUUUCACUCAUUGUCUUAAUCAUAAUUAUGAUAAUCAACCAUAACAUCAUAGACUGCAGGCCAGUUUUCUACAGCUGAGGGAGAACUUGGAUGAAUGGUUGCUUUAGCUCUUGUGCAUUUUGGAAAAGUUUCCAACUUGAAAUUGAUGUCAAGUUAAAAUUUAUAAAUUGGUGCCUCUUGAUGAGGAUUGAGUACAUAUUACAUAUAUUUCACAUAGAACAUUUUGCAGCACAGUGGCUGUGUAGUCAACGAUAUGGGGUCCACUCCAUGCAAUAAAAAGGAUCAUGAUCAAGACAAUGUGGUUACGUAAGUAACAUUUCUGUCCUUAAUGCAUGAAUUGUCUUUCUACAUAUAUUUUGGUGGGAAAUGGUCAUGUGGGGAUAAAUUUGGAUCUUGACUUUUAAGCACUAUGGCUUUACAUGGAUCUUUAUAAUAAGAAGCUUUGUCUUGCUUACUUGCUUGUGAGGUUUAAGAUUCUUUGUAGCUGCAAUGGAAGGAGAAGAUAUCACAACAAACAACAAAGAAGCUUUGAGCAUUGAACAAGGCCAAUUAAGGGGUGACCAAGAUCAAGAAUUUUCCCUCCCCUCUGCUCAUACAAUUGGCCAUGGUAUGUUCAAUUGUGUUAGUAAAAUUUUAGGAGGUGUGAGAUGAGUAUUUGUGAUGCUCUGAUACCGUUGUUGGUUUAUGUGAUAAAAUGGUUUAGGACAAUAGGACAAUAGUUGAAACAAAGUGAUUUUAUUAUAUUUGGAGGAGAAUAAUACACAGCAUAUGUAGGCUAAUUGGCCUCAGUUUUUUUUUUCUUUUUUUUUUGGCUUAUUGGCCAUCACACUUUCUUAGAUUAGUUUGGGCUAUUUGGCCCUUCACUUAGAUUGGUGAGCUUAUUGGCUCUCCUUUAGUUUGGGAGUUCUUUUCGUUGGACUCCCUCCAUAUGAUUUGGAUUGGGUAGCUUUUUUGCACCACCUUGUAUGAUCACAUGUAUGUGUAUGUCUAUUUAUAGACAGGAUCCACCGCCAUACCUUGGUCCACCGACUUAGGAAGAUUAACCCCAGCCACAUAUGUGUGGCUUUCUCUAGAUAAUUCUCCAACGUUGCAUGUAGUUGCCGACUUCCCAUCAAGCUUAUAGCACUUUCUUCAAGCUUCUAGAUUUUUCUAUACAAAUGUGUAUUAAUUUUAACAAAUUGUUUCAAGUCUUCUGAAGUACUCUGCUUUUUGUUGUUCUUCAUAUCUGGGUUUUUGCUAAAACCAGGUUCUAAAAGAAGCAAGAAAGUCAUUUCUGUGUUUUCAAGGCAUUAAUUUCUUAUAUGGGAUUGUUGAAUUAUGCUCUUUAAAGUGAAUGACAAAAUCCUACAGAUUCAUGGCAACAAGUUGGGUUGAUGCUGGUGACAAGCUUCAAUUGUGGUUACAUAUUGAGCUUUUCAAAUCUUAUGUUGGUGCCUUUGGGAUGGACAUGGGGGAUCAUAUGCCUGCUGGUUGUGGGGUUCUAUACUGCCUAUGCCAACUGGCUUUUGGCUGCUUUUCACUUCAUCAAUGGCCAAAGGUUCAUCAGAUACAGAGAUCUCAUGGGACUUUUGUUUGGUCAGUUUCAUUUGCAACAUAUUUAACCAACAAUGAUUGACUUAUAGAGGAAACUGAUAGUGUUUUUUCUUGUUUUUGCACUGUCUUAUAUUUCAAAGGUAGAGAAAUGUAUUACAUCACAUGGGUUUCCCAGUUCUUGACCCUUCUUCUUGGAAAUAUGGGUUUCAUUCUACUUGGAGGAAGGGCACUCAAGGUAAUUAGUAUUGGUAUUACUAAUUAACUCUAACACUCUAUUAAUUAUAUGCUUUCUGCAAUGAGAAUUAUAAGUUGGCUGAAGUUCAAAGGACAUGCAAACAAACAGGAGAUUAACUCAGAAUUCAGUGAUUCUCCCCUGAGGCUCCAAUACUUUAUCGUUGUCACUGGAGCGACCUACUUCAUCUAUUCAUUUCUAAUUCCAACAAUCUCUGCAAUGAGAAGGUGGCUCGGACCCUCUACCGUUCUCACUUUCGCUUACAUUGUCAUACUCUUGGUGGUAGCAGUUAAAGAUGGUACAAAAUCCUUUUUCUUUCAACUUCUUUAAUUUAUAAACCUCUCCUAAUUUCAGAAUCAUAUCCCAUAUAUAAUUUCCAAUGCUUACCAUUCAUGCAAUGAUUCUUGUGAAGGGAAAGCUAACACAAAGAGAGAUUAUGCAAUCCAUGGAAACAAAGCAGGCAGAGUGUUGAAUGCCUUUGGUGCAAUUUCAGCUAUAAUUGUGUGCAACACCUCCGGCCUGCUACUAGAGAUACAGGUAGAAUCACUAGAAAUAUACCCCAAAAGAAAAAGUUUAAAAUUCUGAUAUUUCGUGCUUUUUGUCUGUGAAGUCAACUCUGCGCAAGCCUGCAGUUUCAAAUAUGAGGAAAGCUUUAUAUCUGCAGUUUAGUGUGGGGCUGGUGUUCUACUAUGGAGUCAGCAUGGUGGGAUACUGGGCUUAUGGCUCAACUGUCUCUGAAUACCUUCCUGGAGAGCUAAGCGGUCCUAAAUCGGUUAAGGUCCUCAUAAACGCCGCCGUUUUCCUGCAAUCCAUAGUCUCUCAACAUGUAAGCCAUGAUGAUGAUGGUACACUAAAAUCAUAGUGACUGUAUAUUUGAUUUUUCAUGCAGAGGCUUAUAUUUUUCAACUGAACUUUCCAUCUUUUUUUGCGUCAACAGAUGUUUGCUGCACCAAUUCAUGAGACCCUUGAUACCAAGUUCCUCAAACUUGAAACCGGCAUGAACACGAAAGAAAACAUGAAGAGGAGAUUCUACAUGCGAGCCCUUCUUUUCACGGUGAAUUCAUUUGUGACAGCAGCUUUUCCUUUCAUGGGGAACUUUGUGAACUUGUUUGGAUCAUUCACACUUGUUCCUCUAACUUUCGUGUUCCCAAGCAUGAUUUUCAUCAAGGUAAUAUUGCUAUACCGCACCACAAUCAGGACAAAGUACAAGCUAACUUGCUAUCUUAUUGGCUUUCUUCUUUUCUCACAGGUGAAAGGAAAGACAGCUAGACUAGAGAAGAAUUUAUGGCAUUGGUUCAACAUUGUAAUUUUCUCUCUCCUUGCUGUUGUGACCACAAUUUCUGCUGUUCGAUUGAUCGUCAACAAUGUUCAGAAAUAUCAUUUCUUUGCGGAUACAUGAAGACAUGUAAAUUAUUACAGGCAUUUUACAUUUCAAAAAUAUUCAUCUAUAGUAAAUUAUUGUAGAUACAUGAUGAAGACAUGUAAAUUAUUGCAGAUACAUAAAAACAUGUAAAUUAUUACAGAUACAUGAAGACUUGGGAGCUUACAUCUAAAGUAACCAAAGGAAAAUAUUAGUUCUGUCAUCAUGCCUUACAAUAGAAAAAUAUUCAUGCAAUGCCGACGUGGUGUAUCGAGUACACACAAUAAUUUUUUCUUCAGAUGGUCAUACACCAUGGGCUAUUUAAGCAGACACUUGUAGCACAUCCAUCAUAAAUAGGCAGCCAAUUGAUUCUAUUAGGACCAUGGUCAAGAUCUCAGUUGAACUUGACAUUUCUGUCUUUCAUGCAUGGAUUGUCUUUGCAUGUGUGGUUAUGGCCGGAGACUCCGGUAGACUGUAGUAAUAUGUAUAGCUCCCCGUAAUUCAAGUGCCUUUCUGCAUAUAUUGAAGCGGGAAUGUGCAUAUAUUGAAAAAGUUGUUGUCAAUCUCUGAUUUUCAUUAACAAAAGAGAAGAAAAAGAUCAUAACCCAUUUUAGAUUUUCUUUUUAAUAUAUAAGAUCUCGUAUGAAAGGAAGGAGAAGGUAAGAAAGAAGCCUGGAGCACAGAACAAGGCCAAAUAAAGGGUGACCAAGAUCAUGAAUUUUCCCUCCCAUCUGCUCAUACCAUUGGCCAUGGUAUGUUCAAUUCAUAAGUUUCCAUUAUCAAAUCACCCAAAAGUUCCCAAAAAUACUCUCUUUCAGAUUCAUGGCAACAAGUUGGCUUCAUGCUGGCAACAAGCUUCAAUUGUGGAUACAUUUUGAGCUUCUCAAAUCUUAUGUUGGUACCAUUGGGCUGGACAUGGGGUGUCGUAUGCAUGGUGGUUGUAGGGUUCUAUUCUCUCUAUGUUAACUGGCUUUUGGCUGCUUUUCACUUCAUCAAUGGCCAGAGGUUCAGAGGUUCAUCAGAUACAGAGAUCUCAUGGGAUAUUUAUCCGGUGUGUACAUCGCAUAAGAUACCAUAAAAUGCUUGAGUACAAAUUAUAUGAUUUGUGUUUUUAAUUUAAAUUUAUGUUUGGCCCUGUGUUUUUAAGGCAGAAAAAUGUGCUACUUCACUUGGGUUUUACAAUUUGUGACCCUUCUUCUAGGAAAUAUGGGUUUCAUUCUCCUUGGUGGAAGAGCACUGAAGGUAUGCUCUAACUCAAUAUGCUGAGUAUGUGUUUCUGCAAUUAGAGCAUUGAAGUGGUGGUGGAUAUUCAAAGGAUAUGUUUCUCUGCAAACAGGAAAUCAACUCAGAAUUCAGUCACUCUCCAUUGAGGCUCCAGUGGUUCAUCGCUAUCACCGGAGUGACGUUCUUCAUAUUUGCUUUUUUUAUUCCAACAAUUUCUGCAAUGAGAGGUUGGCUGGAAGCCUCUACCAUCGUCAUCUUCGCUUACAUUGUCACACUCUUGGUGGUGGUGGUUAAAGAUGGUACACAGAAAACCUCUGUUUUCCCAUUUCUUUUAUUUCCAACCCUCUCAUAAUUUCAUGUCCAAUAAUACUGUAAUAGCACAAUAUACAUGAAUUUUACAAUGCUUACUAACACAUGCAAUUCUUCUUCUGAAGGGAAGACUAACAAACAGAAAGAUUAUGCAAUCCACGGAAACAAAGUAGACAGGUUGUUCAAUGCCUUCGAUGCAAUUUCAGCUAUAAUCGUAUCCAGCAACUCCGGCUAGCUACCGGCAAUACAGGUUCAUACCUCUAGAAUAGAUUCUGUGAGAAACUAAUGGUGCAAAAAACAGUAAAGAUUCUAAUUCUGAUGUUUUUAUCUUUUUGGAAUAUGAAGUCAACUCUGCGGAAGCCAGCAGUCACAAAUAUGAGGAAAGCAUUAAAUGCGCAGUUUAGUGGGGGUAUCUUAUUUUACCAUGCAGUCCCCAUGAUGGGAUACUGGGCUUAUGGCUUGAAAGUACCUGAAAACCUUCCUAAUGAGCUAAAUGGUCCUAAAUGGGCUAAGGUUCUUAUAAAUGCUGCUGUCUUUCUACAAUCCAUAGUCUCCCAACAUGUAAGCGAUAUACUGAUGAUGAAUGUGUAAUUAUUAUUAAGGUUCUUUUCAUUCUUCCCACCAUGCAUGUUCGCUUCUGUUCUCAUACAUAUCACUGCAGAAGACUUACUCUUCAACUGGACUUCAGUUUUUUUACCUCAACAGAUGUUGUUGCACCAAUUCACGAGGCCCUUGAUACCAAGUUCUUCAAACUCGAUAAGUCCACGAACUCGAAAGAAAAUUUGAAGCGCAGAUUCUUCCUACGAGCCUUCUUCUUCAUAGCAAACACAUUUGUGACCUUAGCUAUUCCUUUCAUGGGGGACUUCGUGAACUUGUUUGGAUCGUUUUCACUCGUUCCUCUGACUUUUGUGUUCCUAAGCAUGAUUUUCAUCAAGGUAACUUUGCUAUACUGUGCUCUUCCUUUCUCACCUCACACUCCACCCCCCACCAAAAGAUACUGCAUCAUAAUCAGGACAAAAUAAAAGAUUAUAAAACCUAAGUUGCUAUAUUUUUGGCUUUCUUUUCUCACAGAUCAAGGGAAAGACAGCUAGACCAGAGAAGAAUUUAUGGCAUUGGUUCAACAUUAUUAUUUUUUCUCUCCUUGCGGUUGUAACCACAAUUGCUGCAGUUCGCUUGAUACUCAACAAUGUUCAGAAAUAUAAUUUCUUUGCAGAUAGAUAAAGACAUGUAAAUUAUCACAGAUAAUAAUCAUUUGAUACCAUUCAAAAGAUACAGUGCACAACAGAAGAAGACUGAUUGCAGCAAGUUCCUUAUUCUGGAAAACAAUUUGCAAGUAAUUAAUACUGUACAUUGUCCACUACUUUUCUAUUCCCUGCAAUGAUGAGUUUCCAUACACAAUUCUCUGAGUUCAGAUCCCAUACCAGAACACGUCACUUUUAGACUUGGUAGCUGGCUGACAUGUUCCCAGAAGUGAUAGAAAUACGUUUCCUUGGUAGCUGCUCUUGGUUACCAUGUGUAAGCGGGCCUAUCCUGGGGUAAGGGGACAAGGGGACAACAUAGGGUGCUCACCAGUCAGGGUAUCUGCUCUUCCUUACCUGUAAGCAUACAAGUAUCAAGAGGAUUAAUGCCUUGAUGAAUGGAAGCUUAAGCAUGACUGAGGAGAACAAAGUCUGCCAGGAUUUUGUUGAAUAGCGAGGAGUUCCAGCACUGAAUUGUCUGUAACUGGCAGCACAAUGUUUAGUUAUUGUUGCAUUCCUUUUAAACUCUUCUGUUCAUCUUGGGGCUGGGAAUUCACAACCAUCUCAGACCACAUACUGACCAAGUUAUAAGAAUGAAACCUACAUAACCUCAUUGAAUUGACAACUUAAACCCAGUCUUGCACUAGCAACAGAAAGUGUGCAUUAUAAUUCAAUGAGAACAGCAUGGCAGAAUUCUACCAGGGAAUUCCGUUUACAUUUGGUUCUUCAUUUGUGUUGCAUGACCUUUGCUAAUUUCAACCCAACUGCACCCAGGAAGCUUAGUUGCACUUCUCUCAUUCAUUGCUUCCCGCACCUUUCUGGCUUCAUCCCAAUGUUCUGUCGAAGCAUAGAUACUUGAAAGUAGCAUAUAAUUUCCAGUAUUCCCAGGUUCUAACACGAAGAGUUUCUCGGCAACACUUUCUGCAAUCUCAACAUUUCCAUAAGUUCUACAUGCAGCAAGCAGAGCUCCUAAUGCUCCAGGCUGUGGUCCCAUAGGCAUUCUCUUUACCAAAUUGUGGGCUUCAUUGAGUUUCCCAGCACGUCCCAGCAUAUCGACCACACAUGUGUAGUGAUCAGCAUCAGGCUCAAUAUUGUAAUCUUUAACCAUGCUUUCCCAGUACUUCAUUCCAUCUUCAACGAGUCCUGCAUGGCAGCAGGCAGUGAAUACCCCAACAAAUGUGAUGCCAUCGGGUUCAAUAUUUUCUGCUAGCAUUCUCUGGAAGAUCUCAAGCGCUUUAACCCCAUGACCAUGAGAAGCAAGGCCUGUGAUUAAUGCACUAUAAGAGAAAACAUCCUUCCGGGGGAUUUUCUCAAAUAUACCACAUGCCUCUUCCAUAUUCCCACACUUGGCAUGCAUGUCAACUAGUGCAGUGAGCACUUGUUCAUUCUGUUCUAUACCUUCUCGAUCCACAUAUGACCCAAUCCAAUUUGCCAGAUCUGCACGGCCCAAUUGUGCCAAUGCAGAAAUCACAGCUGUCAUGGUGAAAGCAUCUGGCUUUACCGGUGCCUUUUCCAUUCUCCAGAAAAGUGAAAGCGCUUCGCUUGGUCUCCCAUUUUGUGAAUACCCUGAAAUCAGGGCCGUCCAACAAAUCAAACUUCGUUCAGGCAUUUCAUCAAAGAGGCCCCUUGCUUGAUCAAUAAGCCCACUUUUAGUAUACCCCACCAACAUUGUAGUCCAAGAAACAACAUUCCUCUCGGGCAUCCUAUCAAACACAGCCCUCGCUGAAACCAGACCCCCACUAUUUACAUAACCCACAAUCAUCGCGUUCCAAGAUAUAACAUUUUUUCCCAGCAUUCCCUCAAACAAAACCGAGGCAUCCUCCAUAUCCACCCCACCUCUCGCAUGAGCCCCUAAAAGGGCAUUGUAAGAAACAACAUCUCUCUCAGACAUUUCAUCGAACACCAUCCGAGCCCUCACCAAUUUCCCACAUUUUCCAUACAUAUCAAUCAAUGCAUUUGAAACCGGAACACAAAAGCCAAAACCCAUUUUAACAACGCGUCCAUGGACCUCAAUCCCAGCACAAAGAUCAUUUAACGCGGCACACGAGUUAAGCACAAAAGGGUACGUAUAGUUAUCGGGUCUUAUUCCAAGGCAAACCAUCUGAGAAUACAAACUUCUCGCUUCGGCACAGAGCGACGAAGUCUUAGAGAAAGCUCUAAUGGCGUGGUUGAAGAGAGAGAGAUUUGGGUUCGCAAAAGAGGUAAAGACGAGGUGGGUAUUUCGAGGCGAAGAGGAGAGAGAGGCAUAGAGAGAGAUAAGAGUGGAGGCUAAGGAGGCGUUUCGAUGGAGAAUGGACCGGACGAUAUGGGCGUGGAUUUGCUUAAGGUGGCGAAGCGAUGUGCAAGCUUUUAGCAGAGAGGCAGCUCCAUCUGCUUUGUUGUUCGGAUGGCUUUUGGUGACCGUUGUCGGUCUCAUUUCAUCUCACUUCUCAAAAAUUUCGAAGUUCGUUGGUUUAACGGCUCUUUGAUCCUUUCCCGGUAAAAAUAUAACAUAAGAAAAUUAUGUGAGCAUUUUGGGCUUUUAAAUUUGUUAAAUGUAAAAUUAUGCGCAACAAUAUUAUCUAAUUUUUUAACACUAUUAUAAUAUGAAUGGAUUAAUUAAUAGUGUGGUUGUUACACUCACAAUUUUAUCUUAUUUUUUAUACAUGUUAUAAUACAAAUGAAUUAAUAUUUUCUCUUUUUUUUUUUAUAAAUAUAAACGAUAUUUUACUUAAAUUAAUCUAAACUACGGAGAGAGAGAUUUGAACUUAAGUACAGAGUAAGGAGCACAUUCACUCUAGUCAACUUGGCUAAACUCAUGUAUGUAAUGAAUUAAUAUUCUGUCACUCAAAUCAUCUCGCUAGUAUGAAUCUCGCGUAAUUUUCGUCCAACUACAAUAAGAGAUUGUAAGAGAAAUUAAUAAAUUAGAUUCUUUCAAUGGAUAAUAUGCCAUUUUCUCUUUUAGCAGGAAAGAUCUUGGAGUCAAUAAUGCAAAAGGAGUGUUGCGACCAAAAAAGAAAUGAAUGAGAGAAGGGGAUAUAAGAAAAGAAAAGAGAGAUCUUGAAUUGAUCAAGUUUUCUUCUUCUUUUUUUCGUGGGAAAAAGGGUGAAGAUUUAUUUGUUGCAAGAAUUUGCAACCCCCUUAAGAUUUGAUUUAAUAUGUAUUGUUAUACUUACAACAGUACUGCAUAACAAAUUGUAUCAACAAUAGCUGCUCUUUUUAUUAUAAUAAAAUUAGUUUUUUAUUUCUUUCAAUACAUAUGUCGGUAGAGAGAGAUCCUUUCUACAAUGCAUGUAUAUUGUUGAAGAAUAUAAAGUCCCACAUCGAAAACUUGACUAAAUAAAUUAUAACUUAUAAUAAAUGGUUUCACUCCUAACUGCAUAGGAAAAUUUCUCUAUAUACACCCUCACACCAUGCACAUGGCAUGGCUAUAGAGAAUUUCUCAUUAAUCUUUAUAAAUAAUUAUGCUCAAACCAUUCUUCCAACAGAAUACCUUGAGGGCAAACUGCCGUGAAGGCCGCCACCAUGACCUAAAUUAUAAGGCCUCUCACCACACUUGAAAGGAAGAGGGUUGGCCUGCAUGAACAAAUAGUUUCCACCAAACAAGUCGUUCAUGUGAGCCUGCCCAUUCUUCAACCUCUUCAAAGCUUUGCUCCAUGAAACUUUGAUCCUUGUGAAAAGCCUAGCUCUUCUCCUCAGAAACCUCCUCAAGCCCAAAACCCGAACCCUUGGCCUCCUCCUACUAGUUGUUAGCUUUCUGAUCUUGGACAACCCACCACUUGUCUUCUUGAAUAUAACUGCUCUGUUUUGCUCUGGUUCUUCAUCAAAGACACCUUCGUUUCUCAGCCUUUGGUAAGCAAGUUCUGAGACUGAAGCCAUUUUGAGUGGAAAUGGUUGUGGUGGAAUAGUAGAUAGAGGAGUUGUAUGAGUAAUUAAAGAGGGUUGAUUUUUGUUUUUAUUUUGUUUUUGUGAUUUUUUUAGGUCUCUCUCAAAAUGAAAUUGACAAUUUAAAAAGUGAACAAAGUAGCUCAGGUUUAAUGAAUGCAGCUGAAAUUUUUGGUCAUGGUAGUUUAUGAGUCCGUGAUGUAUAAUGUUCCUUUAUGCUUAAUCAGAGUAGUAUCUCACAAUCACAGAAAUCAAUCCUUCAAAACUAGUCACAAACUCACAUUAAGGUUCUUUUAUAAAGAGUAAUCAUCCUUCUCGUGUCAAAAUAGUCUAGCGUAUUUUAAUCCCGGUCACACAUUGAUCAAUAUUUCAGAUUAGUAGCCUAAUAUAACAUGUCGAAUCGUCUUACAAAAAUUUCUCAUGGUUAUCUUGGGAAGCCUUAUUAGGAUAUGCUUCCAACUAGAGGUAAUUAGGCAGCAAAACCUUCCUCACUCUAAUUAUAUACGACAUAGACGUUCAUGACCUUGAAAACAUUCACAUGCAAAUGGACCAACAUCGAUAUCAUCGACCAUCAUACUAGACACCUUUGGUUAUAUGAAAUUAAAGCUUCUAUAUUAAUGUGGUAUUUUCUUUUACUGUGUUGGCAUGUUAUUUUACAUGAAUUAUUCUCAGCCCCCAUCUAACAUUUUUGGGAUUUUGUAGUACUAAUUAAAAGGAAAGGACCUCAAAGUCCUCACUGAUGUAGGAACCUAACCCACUGAGAUAUGCUAGGAAUUCCACCAUUCACAACAGUGAGCAUAUAAUAACCAGAGGGAGCAACAUUAGGAGAUGGGGGAGCCUCCAAAACUGCAUGCACCAAUCCACCUUCAGCUCUCACCACUUUCUUGCACCUCAAUUUCAGCAACCUCUGGUUCAUGGAUAUGGAGUGUGUUGUGAAUGGUGGUGCAUAAGCAUUAAACUCCACCACUUUGCUUGGCUUCCUCCCCAACCAAAAGCUCACAUUAAAAUCUACCCCAUACCUUACACCAGAGAGAUCACCAUGGCCAUAGUUUAUGGUCAAAUUUAUUGGUCUAUAUGUAUGGUAUUGCCUUCCCAUGUAGUGUGGGGCAAAUGCUUGGAGCCUAAGCUCAGUUGGGUAGGCCACAUUGCUGAAAGUGUAGCAUUCAUGAGGGUUGCCCCCACCAACCAAGACCCUCCCAUCAGGUAAAAGAAUGGCUGAGGAGUGAUACAUUCUAGCAAUUUUUGUGGACUUGAGGACAGAGAAUCUUUUGCCUAAUUUGUGAUUUGGGUUGUAGAGAUAAGGCUGGAGGGAAGCAUUUCUUGCAUUGUUCCAUCCUCCAGAGCCUCUUUUGGCACCAUUGAUGAUCAAAACAUUCCCAGUUGGGAGGAUCAGCAUGUCGCUGAGAAGACGAGAGCCCGGCAUGUUCUCCAUGUUCCACUUGUGUCUGUUGCCUGUGAUCACCAUUCUUCCACAGGAGCUUAGGCCUUUCAAGAAUCUGUUUUGUCCUGCUGCUCUGUGGGCUCCAGAGGCAGCACCACCACACACCAUGACUUCCAUUCUUUCGAAAUUGUUUGUGUGGUCUAAUGGGAGGAUCACUGAUGAGCCAGAGCCUGGAUAGUUCCUAGAGCCAUCACCGGGUAUUCGAGGGAAGGUCUUGAUCACUAUGUUACUUCUGUAAUUGAAGAGAAUGGAGUCCCGGUUGGCAAAGAUGAACAAAUUUCCAUCCGAAGAGAGGUGAAGGAAGGGAUAGAGGUUGUUCCCUCCUUCACUUCUGUCAUAAGUUUGGUGCAAGAAUGAUAGGUCAUGAGAGCCUUCAUUGGAAGACAUUUUUGGUACAAAUUCAUAAGUAAAGGUCCUUCUUCCACCAACCACAAUGAUCCUAUCAUGUUCUGGGAGCAAUUGAUUGGAAGCGUACCAACGAUCAUCAGCCAGUGAUCUCUCCGAUUGCCUCCAAUCACACUGGCCAUCCCCACAAGGCUUGAAGUAUCGAAUUCUUCGAGUGCCACUUCCAUAUCCACCCGUUUGUAGAAGUGUCCCGUUGCUCAAGAAAGAGCCUGAGGAGCACCAGGUAUCAGUGUAAAGCCUCAGAGGUCUAACUUUGUUGCUUGAAAUGUCAUACUCCACGGAGUGAGCAUAGCAGGAUGAGUCUGCUAAAUCGUCAUGGCUCUCUGUGCAUCUGUUUCCAUUGUGGCGCCUUCGAAGCCUGUACACAGAGGGGCCAGCUUCUGUUUGAUCAAAUAUAACGACAGUGUUGUCAUGUGUCAAUGCCAUAUGCAUAGCCACUACGCCUGUGUUGUUUAGCAGCAGCUGCCAUUGCCCUUUCCGGCCUACAGCAGAGAACCUCCCGACUGCACCACUAAACCCAAUACAAUGCAAUGUGAAGAACAAAGCAGUGAUCAUGGAUUUGAUUGCAAUGAGAAAGUGAUUGUGCUGCGCCAUGGGAGAGUGAGAGUGUACUUUCUCUGUGCAUGAGUGAUGUGGGAACAGUUUUAAGUCUUUUUUUUUUUAUAUAUAGACUUGUUUGCUAAAAUUUAGUUUGCCCAGUCCUUGGAAGUAGUAGAAUUUUAUGAAACAGAGUCUUGCUGUGAAAGAGUGGAAGCUUAUUUUAUUAUUGGCGUGUUUGGUUUUCUUGCAAUCAUCUAGUGUGCUGCUUGUUCGGUUUUCUUGCAAUCAAGGGGUGAAAUUGGCAAUUGGCUUGCAAAAAAUCAAUGGUUCAACCAUGCUUUUGAAGAGUGAGUCUUUGGCUGAUGGCACAAGACUCCGCCAAACUUGGACAAAGUGUAGGGUAAAAAUGUUAUUGAAUAUGCAGUUUUCUCAGCUCUGCUAACAAAUAGCCAAUGGCCUUUGGCUUGGGGCUAAGAACCCCAGCCAGAAAAGUUGACACACGACAUGUCAAUUUCGUGUUUGUGUUGGACAUAAAAAUGACAUGCCGUUUAUUCAUCACUUGGUCUCAGAAUGACAUGCCAUAGCUGAGAGGUCCUCUGUAGAUGAGCCACAAGGUAAACUUUACUGACAGGUUAUAUAAGGUAUAUCUUGUGUACAUAUAUGUGGAGCCAUAAAACUACUUGUUACAUGUUGAAUUUAAUUGGGCAAAAGUAGAAAUAAGUAGAAAAAAAAACGACAAGCAACAAAAUUCAAACAAACACUGAACUAGCCAUAGCAGCAAGUCUAACAGCGAGUGUCCUAUGCCAGCCAAUACCUCAAAAGUGGAGGUCUUUCGUUCUGUAGGUGCUUAAGCUAUUAGACAUGAUGCAUGGAGAAAUAUUCCCAGCAAUCCAAAAAAACUGAAGAUAUGUACAAGGAGCCGAGUUCCUCUCGAUGAAAGAAAAUUGUAACAAAUUGAAAUAGUCUUGGAGUUGAAGUUGCAAUGGUCCAAAUUUCAGGCGGACUAACGCUUAAUAGAGCUUUAUUCGGGUUUCAAUGGUGCUUCUGCAAAUGGGGCAUAAUUGAAGAUCUUGUCCACAGUCACAGCAUGUCUGCAAAUUAUAUUGAAGUCCAACUCAGGUAUUCAUUCUUGCAUGCAAUUCUUUAAGGUGUAAACAACGUAUAGAUGGAUUACCUGAUGUCCACAACCAAAUGCCAUAUUCUUCGGAUCGGUUAGGCAAAUGGGACAGACCUGUCAGAAUCACAAAAAUAUAAGUAUUUGAUGUCCAUGACGUAUGUUAAGCCUACUCAUCAAAAGAUUCAGUGGCACAGCAUCAUAAUUAUGCUAGAAACAAAUGCAGCUCAACUACAGAAGUAGAAAGAGGGCAAGUACAUGAUUAUCAGAAGCUGAACUUGCAGGACGUGCUGUGCUAACAAACUCAUCACGUUGCCUGGAUGGUGCACUUGGACGAAAAUUACUUGAUUGUGACGGUUUUGGCAUGCUAAAAGAAGCCGAACCAUAAUGAGGCGGGGGAAGAGGUACCCUAUCUACAGCCUUCCCUCUUGUAGAACUACAUAAGCAAUGAAAGGAAAGGAUGAUUUGCAAAUGAAUUUAUGUCACCCAGGCUCCCAGCUGCAAUAGCAAAUCCCUCAAACCCCACUAGACAGGAGUUAGAUUAUUACCCUAAUAUAUUAAGCUCGAGGGUUGCUUUAUACUGGGAGGGUAUUUCCAUCAAUGCUGCAAGAGCAAAUUCUGCUUCUUUUCUCGAACGAUCCAUAUUCUUUGUCAUAAUUUCUGUAAAAUUCACAAACUACAGAAGACAAAAGAAAGCAGCAACUUUCAGUUAAAGUUUGAAGAGAUAAGAGACAUGAAAGCUUACAUACUCCAUCAAGAUGAUAUCUGCUAUAUUUACCUGAAAGUUAUCGAAGGCCCGAGCGGGGAUGUUAUCAUCAAAUUCCUUCAUCAUAUCCCACGGCCCAUCUCCAACUCCAACUAGUAUAAUUGAUAAGGGAUACUCACUACAAUAUAACAAGUACAUCAUAAGGUAGAAUGGCAAAAAGAAUAAGACCAAGGAAACAAGUCUAAGAAUUUACCUUGCUUUCACAAUUGCUUCAACAGUUUUCCUUUCCUGUGGGCUUAACUGGCCGCGCUCUGUAUCAACACUCCUGGUCACCUGUGACAAUUUUCAGUCUCCUUUAAUAAUUUAACACAAGAAAUCAUAUCACUAUGUAAAGCCUUUGCUGCUUGAUCAGAGAAUUCUCGGAAAGGUAUAACUAUAAGAUAUAACCAAAAACAAUGUACCUGUCCAUCAGCUAUUAUCACCAACACAUGGUACUGACCACCACUUUGCUCAACAAUAGUAAUGGCCAUUUCAAUAAUAGGGGCAAAUGAUGUGGGCCCUGUCACAAGAAAAGAAGGGUAUGAAUCUCCAUAAGCAAAUAAUCAACCAAGAAAAACAAGGGAAAAGGGAGUAAAACAAAUUGCAACCGGCAAGUCGUAGCUGAGGGACUAAUUCUCUAUAUCGUCUUAAUACUUCUUCAAAUCCAUUGCAAAAAGAUCCCUCAUCUGGGUAGAAACUGAAAACUUCUUGGUCAUGGGUUGAUGCUGCAAAUAUAUGAAAUCAUAUCAAAACACUAUUGUCAAAAGGCUAAAUUUGAAGAAUGAGACAACUGUUAGAUGAAAUACCAUCUCCAAAUCCAAAACAGGGAAUCAAGUUAUCUUCAUCAAAGGAAGACAAUGUUUUCCCUAUAAUUGAUAUUGCCUGUUCAUAGGGAUUUUGCUCUUCUCCAAUGUGAUGCAAGCUUUUCCGAUGAAAUGACCUUGCACCUGGUACAAAAGUAGGUUAAGAAUGUUUCACUAUAACUGAUAAAAAGACUUCUAAGCACCCAGACCGGGGAAAACCUGUCCACUCGUUGCUCUUUGUGAAAUCAAUGCCCACAAUAAGAUUGGAUGACUCCAAACCAGCACGUGCCAAUGCAUCUGUGACCUAUCAAAAGAUGAGAGUAAAACAGAAUGUCAUCAUAAUUACUCAAGUGACAUUAGCAAUUACAACGAUCUGAAAUCAUAUUUGCUUCAAAGACAGAUGACAAGAAUAUAAAAAUGCACGUAGGUAAUCAAUAGUCUUUUUUUUUUUUUUUCAUGUUCAGAGAGAGAGAAGGGGGAUAUAAAAAAAAAAAAAAAAUCUUGAGAUAUAUAUAAAAAAGAACAUCUUGAGAUGAACUAUUCCAUUUGUAGACAACCGUUGAGUACAUUCUGACUAAAAGCAAGCUCUCCACCACAUAAAAGAAAUUGACUGUACUUUUUAUGUGCUGCAAUUGCAUCAGUUCAAUUACCUGCUCCAGGCUGUUGUAAUCAUCAUCUAUUUUUGAAUACUUCCUUUCCAACCUCUUUUUCGACCCUGGCCAAGCACUACCGUGGCUUUGAGGUGGUGGUGCAAAAUGCUGCUGUUGCCCAUAGUCUUGGCUUGGUGGUACAUAUGGUUGUGCAUAUGGUACCUCUGGAUAACUUUGUUGACUCCAAGAAUGCGAUCCAGACCCAAAAGAAGCCUGUCUCGAAGUAGCACGUUUCGAAAUUAUCCCACCCAUCAAUUGUAUAUUCUACAGGAACACUACACAUUCAACAAACAAAAAUUAAGUAAAUGUUAUAAAUCAAUCUCCCAUGGAGUUCACACAUUGAAAGGCUUGUUCUAUUAAUCUAACAAUCAUUAUAAAAGGAUCAUAUAUGGAAAAAGUAACUAAAACAAUCAAUCCCAUUUGCUUCAUAUUCUGAUUUGAAUAUAACCUCAAGAAACAGAAUUGUGAAAUAAAGACAAAAAAAUGAAAUAAAAUAUUCUCAAGAAAAUUGAACAAAAAGUUUAAGAUAACCAGGGCCAACUAUCUAUCCCAAGCCUCAUUCACAGGCAAAGAAAUGGGGUUGAAUUCGAUAAUGCUGGAAAUAUUAAGACAACUUCAUAUUGGGAUUAGUGAAACGUAAGAACAUAACCCAGAAGAUAUCAGCACAUUUUCAGGGCAAAAAGAAUGUAAAUCAAAGAAAUCUUUUGCACCCUAAAACCAGAUAUCUAGUUUCUUCUUCGAAUUCAUAAUUAUUAUCUAACAAGACCCAAACUUUUCACAACCCACAUUUUAUAUUAUCUCCCACUUGACUCAAAGUCAGAGAAAGAUGCAGACUUUUUAGAGCUCACCGACAAAUAUAUAAAAAAUAUAGCCCCAAUCCCUAAUACCCAAUUUUCAGAAAAGACCAAAGACAUGAAAACUUCACAAGCUAAGAAAAAAGAAAGAAGAAAGAAUUGGAACCUCUUAGAGAGACAUUUCUGAGUUGAAGGUGCUGCUGAGGAGCAUUUUCCGAGUUGAAGAUGUUGUCAGUGGGCGGAGAAGUCCAAAGGGCUAAAGUGGUAACUUGGCAAAGGUUGGUUGUUCUUGCUAAUGGAGUAAAAAGUCUUGAGUCUUUGUGAGAGAGACAGAUGGAUAUACUCACGUUCGGAGUUUACUGGUGGAGGCUGGUUCUAGGAAGUUUCCUUACACAAAAGGAAGAGUCUCUGUAUUUUCUUUUCUGGUUUUGGCUGAUAGCGUCACCCUCCCACUGAUUGACUUGGUUGCUUUCUUUCUUUUUCUUCUUUUUUUUGUUUGUUUUUUCCAUGUUUUUUUUUAUUUUUUUGUGUAAACAUGAUAGACAUCAAAGAUAAAGUGUGAUUGUGUUAUCAAUUUAAUUAGAUUAUUAAUAAUGUAAAUGUGUUAUACUCAAAUUACAGAGCACACUAUAAUUAUAAGUGAUUCGUGAUAUGACAUUUUGUGGAGAGAUGUCACGCGUUGUUAUAAUCAACAAACAAUUAUUCCACUUUUAGCCCUUUUCUUGAUCUUGAAGUAAAUAGUAUUGUCAAUUUGUCAUGAAAAUCACAAGUGAGUCAAAUGAUUAAUGCAUAGUUUUACACCUAACGCGAAAAGAGAUGUUUGAAACCGUGUGAAUCUCAUCAAAGAAAAGUAUCAUUCCUUACAUAGUUUUAAAAACUUGCUUAAACAUCAAUAAUUGGUGUGGGGAUGAUUAAAUAUACUAAUUACGAUAAUAAACAAAAAUAAUCAAAAAAGGGACUUGAGUUGAUAUUCCUACGCUUUCCCAAGAUUAUAGUCAAAAUAUUGCUCGACUCAGGAUUUAAGGGAACCUUUCUUUCUUCCUUCAUGAACCAAUUGCUAAUGGUGGGGAACUUGGAAGCACAGUCACAUGUUAUGCACCAUGAUUAUUUGUUUUCUUUUUUAAGGGUUUGUCCUGGCAUGAAAGCCGAAUGAAUUUAAGGAGAUGCUAGUAAUCUUUUUUCCAACUUUUUUUUUUUUUACUUUCUCCUUUCAACUCAUGAUAUGUGCUACUUUCUUUACAUUUAAAACAAUGUCAUUAAGCCAAGGAGGGUUGGUUGAGUUGGUAAGGAUCGUUCUCUUCACUAUCAAGGCUUAGGUUCAAGUCCCGCUGUUAACAAACCCUCUUGGUGGGUAAUUUGUAAAAAUCAAAAAAUGGGCUAAGACCCCCCUCUCUAAGUCUUGAAAGAGGCUUUGGUAUUCCCUGGCCCUAGGAUGGGGUAACCUCUCUUGCCCCUAAACUUUUCAAAAUUAAAAAAAAAAAAAAAGUGUCAUUAAUGUAUCACACAAGCUAAUUUUUAUUUUUCAAAUUUACCUGUAUUAAAUAUAUUAACUUUUUUUUUUUUACAAGAAGUUAGUCUUUUUAAAACUUUCUCUCUUUUUGCCUUUUUUACUUUAAACGUCAAUUUUUGUUUAAUGUCCCUUUUUUUUCUUUCUAGAAAACAAAUGUUGCUAAUAAACUAGUUUCUUUUACAGAUAUAUUAAAAAACAAACAAACAAACAAACAAAUGUUAUCUUUGAAAAAAAAAUUACACUUCUUAAAAUAAAUAAAUAAAAUUGUCGUUUUUCUUAUUUAUUUAUUUUUAAUAAGGUGGCAAUAAAAUUGUAAAAAAAACCAAUACAUUUAAUAGGGAUAAACUUGGAAAACAAAAGAUAAUAGAGAGAAGACUGCUAUUAUUCUUCAAGGAGUUAAAUGAAAAUUGGAAUAUGAAAAGAAUCAGUCAUGUUCGUCUAAGGACAUGAAAAUGAGGUCUUGUGUGAAGAUCAAAUUCAUCUUAACCAUAAGAUUAUGUUUAAUUAAAUCCAACCGCUUAAAAUAUUUUGCAACUUAAAAGGUCAAAACCCUUUUUUUUCCCAACAAGUUCACAUUGGUUUACUCAUUCCUCAAUGCCAUUCUCCCUCUUUGAUUUACGAUAGAAAUCAAAUUUCAUGGUUGAGUCAAUUGUGCUCUUCCUGAACGACAACAUAACAAUUUUUUGUUUUAGAGGAUUGAUUUAGAAAUUUGAUCUGAUUUCUGACCCAUCAUCCUUGAAUUCGUUUCUGUAGCAAAAAAUAUAUGAAAGCUUGUGUAAUAUAAUUCAUUCUGGUUAAACACAAAGAGAGGAGAAAAUCAGUUCAAAGUAAAAGAACCGUACGCCCUCGUAGCCAAAUAAAAAUGGUUUUGUCUAGAUCCAAGAUUCAACAAACCCAAUUCUGAAUUUGUUUAGUUAUAAAUUCAUGUCAUAAAGGACAUAACCACAAACUAAACCCCUAACAAAAAAAAACUGAGUUGUGACUCGGUAAAGUAUGUGAAUAAUUUGCAGUCAAAACCCACACAGAAUUUGACUCAGAACAAACUCAAUUUCCACAACGUCAACUACGUCUGCAACAAAUAAUUUGCAGUCAAAUCUCCUUAACUACUCUUAUUCUAGUAAAUUCCACUACAUCCUGGUGUUAACUUUUGGAACCCCCUGCUAAUAUUUCUCUCGAUUGUAUAUUAGAGUUAGAGGGAGAAUGGGAUUGACGAAGGAGCUAGAAAGAAAAAAAAAAGUUCCCAAUAAAAAAAAGGUUUUGACCUUUUAAGUUGGAUAUUUUUUUAAGCGGUCAAUCUUGUGGUUAAGAUGAAUUUGGUCCUCAUAGAACCUCAUUUUCAGUGAAAAGAAUUAUUGUGUCAUGCUUUUAACCUUUGGAUUAUUGUGAUGGUUCAUAUUAAACUAAAUGCAUGUAAAUGCGUAAUUGGUAAAUGUAAAGACUCGAGAUUCGUGAAUAAUAUUGGAACUAUGCAAAAACUUGGGGAGAAUGUAAGGGUGAUUAUAUGCAGCCUUAAUCACAGAGUUUUGAUAGGGCAAUCUUUAUAGCAAUAUCUUUGUCAAUCCCCAAUUGACUGUGGUGUUUCUUGGCGCUAAAGUAAUUAAUUUAUUAUUGAUUCCUUUGUUACAUUAGUAAAACAAUAUGGGUAGAAUAUUUUCAAAUAUAUUUUAUUCUCCAAAAGGAGGUAUUUAUAAUAUAAGAUUACAAACCCUAGUAGGGUUAUACUAGGAAAAUAAAAAAAGUCCUAAUUACAUAAUAUUUAUACAAAAGGAAAGAAAUAAAAUCAUAAUAGAAUAAGAAAGAAAUAUCCUAAUAGGACUAGGAUAUCUUGCCAACACUCCCCCUCAAGUUGGAGCAAAGACGUCAUGCGUGCCCAAGGACUGCAGAGGCAAACCAACUCAGACAGCUAACUAUGCAACACAUAAGGAGGAAGAAGGUACAAUGUUUUAUGCCUGUCAUUCUGCUACUGUAGUGCAAAACAAUGAUGUGUGGUAUGUGGAUAGUGCUUGUAGUAAUCACAUGACCUCACAUGAAUCACUUAUGGUUAAUAUUGAUACCAAUGUCACUGCAAAGGUAAAAAUGGGCACAAGAGAUUUGGUGCAGGCCACUGGGAAAGGUACUUUGGUGAUUGAUACUAAAUUUGGGCCUAGAUAUAUUAAAGAAGUCAUGCUUGUACCAGGGUUGGAUGAAAAUAUGCUCAUUGUUGGUCAGACGGUGGAACAUGGAUAUUUUCUGUUUUUAGGAAAAUCAAUGGUGGAGAUAUUUGAUGACAGUUCAAUGGAGCACUUGGUUGCUAAAGUUCCAAUGACAGGAAAUAGAUGCUUUCCACUCUCACUGAAUUAUGUGACCUCUGUGGCUAUGAAGGCAACAGUUGAAGACUCUACUUGGUGUUGGCAUAUGAGGUUUGGUCAUCUCAAUAUGCAAAGUUUGAGAUUGUUACAACAUCAAGAACUGGUUUAUGGACUGCCAGAAAUUUGGAGUGCAGAGAGAAUUUGCCAAGGUUGUGCAAUGGGGAAAGCACAUAAAGAAUCCUUUGGUAAAGAAAAUACUUGGAGAGCAAGUGAGCCACUAGAACUCAUUCACUCAGAUGUUUGUGGACCAAUGCAGACCACAACUAUUGGUGGAAAUAGAUACUUCUUGACUUUUAUUGAUGACUGUACUAGAAUGUGUUGGGUGUAUUUCAUGCAACAUAAGUCUGAAGUGUUUGGUAUUUUCAAGAAGUUCAAGGCUAUGGUGGAAUUGCAAAGUGGCUACAAAAUCAAAAGGCUUAGAAGUGAUAGAGGAGGAGAAUAUACCUCACUGGAAUUUCUAAAGUUUUGUGAAGAUGUAGGCAUGGAAAGGCAGCUCACUGUGGCUUACUCACCUCAGCAAAAUGGGGUUGCUGAGAGAAAAAAAUAGAACUACUAUUGAAAUGAGCAAGGCAAUGAUGAAUGAGAAGAGACUUCCAUUCAAGUUCUGGGGAGAAGCAGUGAAUACACUGUCUAUAUUCAAAACAGGUGUCCCACAAGAGCUUUGGAAAGUUCAACCCCAUUUGAAGCUUUUAGUGGAAGGAAACCAGGAAUCAAACAUUUAAAGGUAUUUGGCUCUAUAUGAUUUUGUCAUGUACCUAGUCAAUUGAGAUCAAAGUUAAAUGAUUCAGCUGUCAAAUGCAUUUUUGUUGGCUAUGGCAAAUGUGAGAAGGGUUAUAGAGUCUAUAAUCUGCACACUAAGAAAAUUGAAGUCUCUAGAAGUGUGAUCUUUGAUGAAAGAUCUUUAUGGAAUUGGGAGAAGCAGAAUGUGGAAUAUGUCAUAGUUCCUAUGAGUUUUGAAAAGCAUUCUAAUGUUACUGAAGAAGAUUAUAAUGUUACAACUCCAUUUGCAUCAGAAUCUCAGACUGAAGAUGACGCUGGUGUAACUAAAAUAAUUUCAUGUUCCUCUAAUGCUGACGCACAAGGUGAAUCACCAAGUUCUACUCUUGUGAAGCUCAGAGAUAUAACUAAGAUAUAUGCUCGAUGCAAUUUGAGCAUCAUUGAGCCAGAAAAUUUUGAAGAAGCCUCAAGGGACAAAGCUUGGCAACAAGCCAUGAAAGCCGAGAUGGAAAUGAUUGAGAAGAAUGAGACUUGGGAGCUAGUUGACAGACCAAGUGAGAAACCUGUAAUUGGUGUUAAGUGGGUUUAUAAAACCAAAUUGAAUCUUGAUGCCUCAACAGAAGCACAAAGCUAGGUUGGUGGUCAAAGGAUAUGCACAGAAGCUUGGAAUCGAUUUUAAUGAGACUUUUGCUCAUGUGGCCAGGCCAGAUACUAUUAGAACUCUCAUAGCUUUGGCUGCUCAGAAAGGUUGGAAGCUAUACCAGUUAGAUGUGAAGUCUGCAUCUAUAAAUGGUGUGCUUAAGGAGGAGGUAUAUGUGGAUCAGCCUGAUGGUUUUGUGAUUAAACAAUAUGAGGAUCAGGUGUACAAAUUGAAGAAAGCUUUGUAUGGUUUAAAACAGGCACCAAGGGCUUGGUAUGAAGAAAUUCAUGCUUAUCUCGUCAGUUGUGGGUAUGUCAGAAGCACAAGUGAGGCUACAUUGUACUACAAUACUAAGGAAGAUUCAGGAACACUGAUUGUCUCAAUUUAUAUUGAUGAUAUAGUGUACACAGAAAGCAGUGUAGAGUUGAUUAUAGAGUUCAAGUCUGAAAUGAUGAGAAUGUAUGAAAUGACUGACUUAGGUUUUUUGUAUCAUUUUCUUGGAAUGGCUGUGAUUCAAACUGAAAAUAGCAUCUUCAUAAACCAAAAGAAGUAUGCAUUGACAUUGUUGAGAAAGUUUGGUUUAAAGCAAUGUAAGCCUGUUAGUACUCCUUUGGUGGCAAGUGAGAAACUAUGCAAAGAUGAUGGAAGUGAUCCUGUAUAUGAGAAUGAAUAUAGGCAGAUUGUGGGAAGCUUGUUGUAUUUAACGGCUACAAGGCCUGACAUAAUGUUUGCAGCUAGCGUAUUAGCUAGGUUCAUCCAUUGUCCUACAAAUAAACACUAUGAAACAACUAAGAGGGUUUUGAGGUAUAUCCAAGGCACAAUUGAUUAUGGUAUUGAAUAUCAGAAGGGAAAAGAAGCUGUAUUAAUCGGAUAUUGCGACAGUGACUGGAGUGGAAUUCAAGAUGACAUGAAGAGCACCUCAGGAUAUGUUUUUUUUUUUUUUGGAAGUGGUGUGUUUUCCUUGGCAUCUAUCAAGCAACAUAGUGUUGCUCUCUCCACAGCUGAAGCUGAGUAUGUCAGUGCAAGUGAAGCAACUACUCAGGCUAUAUGGUUGAGGUUUGUGCUAGAGGAUUUUGGUGAAUUGCAGACAGAAGCAACUCCAUGGAUGAUAGAUAAUACUUCUGCCAUUGCAAUGACUAGAAAUCCUAUUUUCCAUCAAAAGACCAAGCAUAUCAACUGCAGAUAUCACUUCAUUUGAGAUGCCUUACAAGAAGGUGUAGUGGACUUGAGGUACUGCAAGUCUAAAGAACAAGUGGCUGACAUUUUCACAAAAGCUCUGUCUUGGAGUUAAACCAGUUAACAAUUUAGAAGGGAAUGUUGAAAUAUAAAUUGUUUUCUGGUUUAAUCCAUAGUUAGACAAGUGUAAGGCUUAGAUGCCAUCAUAUUGGAAGACUUGUAUGUCCUAAAUUUAUGCCAAGUGUAUAGCUCACAUUGCUGACAUAUUUUGUAAGGCUAAAUCUGUUCUUUUCCAUUCAUUGAAAAAGGGAUAAUUCCGUUGGAAUGAAAUUAGAGUGUGUGCAUGCAUUGCUAUAUUCAUUACGAAGUAACAGACGCUCUGCUCUCUCUUCUCUAUCCUCUCUUAGCUUAAUUUUUCUCCCUCUGUUCUAGAAACUAAGCUCUGCAUAUUUUCAAAAUCUCACCAGUUCUACACUAGAACUCAAUGCCUCUUAGCAGAGGGGAGGAAGUAGCUAGGAAUCAGAUCAGAUCCAAAACUAGUCAAUGUGAACUGAGAGUAAAAUAUUUUGUAAUUCUCAAGUCAAUGUGAACAGACUAAAAUAUAUUGUAACCCGCGCUCUCUCUCCAAUGAAAUGUUAUUGGUACCUAAUUAACUGCCCCAGCUUUGACCCCAAAAAAAUAAAAAAAUUAACUGCCCCAGCAGCCCAUACCUAUUAACACACACACACAAGAAAAGACGAAGGAAAAAGUCACUUUUGAUCAUAUAGUUUGUCCGUCUUCUCAUUUUGGUUCUUGUAAUUUUAAUUUUUUCAAUUUAAUCCACAUACUUUAAUUUUAUCGUAAUUUAAAGACGCAUUCAAAUUUUUAUCCAAUUUCAUCCAAAACACCUCUUCCAUGUAAGAGACAUAUGUUUAUUCCGUAAAAAAAUUGGACAGAAAUUUGAAAUUGUCUUUAAAUUACAAUAAUCAAACUACAUAGGUCAUAUAUUGCCAAAAUUAAAACUACAUACGGGAUUCGUCCAACUACACUAACGAAAAGUGACUACCCAAUAUGUGUCUCUUCUUUCUCUUCCACUAAGCAUGCAAUUAUAUUUCCAGCCAGGUAUGCUUUUGUAGCUUUGUAAUUGUUUGAUAAUCUGUUCAGCUUUUUAGAAGAGCUGAUCACAUUCAACAUAGUUGAUAAUCUGUUGGCAACUUCGAAAUUUUGGGUUUUCAAAAUACCAAAACAAAGCCAUAAACCAAUGAGAAAUUAUAGAAUAGUACAGAUGCAUCACGUCAGCAUAUGAUACUCCAAUUCCAAUUUUAACACAUGUCCACUUUUGAAAAGAAAUUAUUUACUUUAUAACAGCUGGACUUACAUAACUUUUAUCUUUUAAAAUAAAAUUAAAAAAGUCUUAAAAAAGAAAAUUAAAGAAUUUUCCAAACGAACACAAUAAUUCAUAUGAGAUUUUGGGGCUCGUGGAUUUUUUAAUAUAAUUAUUUAAUAACCAUGUGGAUUUAUUUCUUUAUUUUAAUAAAUGGAGUAUGAAGAAGAGGAAACAAUAAUGACAAAUAAAACAUAAACAAAUAAGACUCGUAUGGAACAAGAAAUAAAUUUUUGUAGUCAGCUGUCUUAUUCAUGACAUAAUAGGCUUCCUUGUGCACCGGAGCUUAUAGGAAAACAAAUAACUAGAUUUAAACCUCUUUUUAAAAAGAAAUACAGAAAGCAACACUUUUCUAAAAGAAAUACAGAAUAAUUGAAAUUUUAUACAAACUGUUCUACAUGAGAAUUUAAGAUUAACUUUACAACCUCUUUUUUUAUAUAAUUAAUUAAUUUAUUUAAAUUUAUUACCAUAUAUGGAAAAAACUGUGGUGCAAUGGGGCCUGUUUAUUGUGCAACAUAGUUUGUCAAGGAAGGAUGCACAGGUUUAGCAGCUAGAAAUAAAGGAACUUUCUUGCUAACUACAAGCCCAGCAGCAUCUUCCAUGUCCAAGUCUUCUCUUCUCACCCCAUGAGGGAGUUCCCAGUCGAAACGAUAGAGGAGAUUAGCAAGUGCAAGCUCAAUUAGCUUCACACUAAAGCUAAUACCAGGACAACCCCUCCUUCCUGCCCCAAAUGGUAAAAGUUCAAAAUGGUUUCCUUUGUAGUCAAUUGAGCUGUCCAAGAAUCUUUCAGGCCAGAACUCAUUUGGAUUCUCCCAACAUUCUGGGUCUUUUCCUAUCAUUUUUGCAUGGAUAAACACCAUUGUUGUGGUGGGAAUUUCGUACCCUUCAAUAGUGCAACUCUUUAAGGUUUCUCUUGGAAGUAGUAAGGGCACUGCUGGAUGUAGUCUAAAACUUUCCUUCAAGACCAGCUUUAGGUACAUGAGUUCAGAAAGAUCACUUUCUUCCACUUUUGAUUUUCCCUUUAGAACACUUCUCACCUCAUCUUGUGCUUUCCUCAACACUAGGGGGUUCCUAAUCAGUUCAGCCAUUGUCCAUACCAGUGUGGCUGAGGAAGUAUCAGUGCCUGCAAUAAACAUGUCCUGCAAGAAAAAAUUUCACUGUCUUUACUAUCUUGCCCGCAAGCCAGCUAAAAUUCUAUAUAUAGCCAUAUGAAUACCGAUUGUAUAUGUCAAGCUAACACGAAGAUUGUCGAAGAAAUAGCAAAAGUAUAUUAACAAAUAAGUAACACUCAAAUGCUAGAAGGAAGAAAAAGCGACAUACAGUGAGAACACCCUUAAUUUGGUCAUUACUGAGGGGUAUUGCUUGAUUGGGAUCCCUCUGAACCCGAAGCAGAACAUCGACAAGAUCUUCAUGCUCUGGUUUAGGCCUUCUAGAAUCAAGAUGUUCCUCAAUCACUCUGUCAUAGAAAUUGUCCAAGCCUUUAAAACACUUCUCCACCUUUUUCUCAAGACCAUUGAACUUGUUUAACCAACUCAACCAUGGUAGAAAAUCUGACAAGAAGAAUCCUCCCAACAGGGCCCUUGUCUCUUCAAGCAAUCCAUGAAUUCUGCUCUUGCCAAUUCCUCCUCCAUCAUCAUACUUUUUACCGAAAGCCGAACGGCACAAGACAUUGUUUGUUAAGAAAAGUGUCAGUUGAGUGAGAUUGAUGAGACCCUUAGAAUGAGCUAUAGAGUCAAGCAUAAGCCCCACCUCUUCAUCCCUCACAGACUGAAACAUUUGAACCCUCUUUGCACUAAGCAGUUCCAAGAUCACAAUCUUCCUCAUCUCCCUCCAAUACUCACCAUAGGGAGCAAAUGCUAGGUUGACACAGCCAUAGCUAAGCUUGUUUGCAACAUACAAGACUGGCCUACCUGAAAAAACGAGGUCAUGAGUUUUGAAGAUCUCACUUGCCAUAUGGUCUGAGGAGACUACCAAGGUAGAUAUUGAGCCUAAUUGCAAGAACAUGAGGGGUCCAUAUUGAAGGGCAAGGUGUUCAAGGACAUGAUGAGGUAAGCCAUUAGGAAGCUUGUGAAGGUUCCCAAUGAGAGGUAGCCUCCUAGGACCAGGAGGCAACCUCCUCCCUUGAGAAGCAGAGCUUUUCCUCCUCUGCUUGAUCAAGAGCCAAAAAAUAACGGGUAGGAGAAAAACAAAGAGGAUGACCAAUGAAGAUUGAGAAUCCAUGGCUGGUUUCUGAGGCUGCAAACAAGGCCAUGGCUGCUGAUAAGCAUUUAAGGAAGGCAGUGGCCUUGGGGUGGUGCAAGUGAUCCACUGCACAUGGCCCUGGAUUCUUGAAGACACCCCCCAAAAACAAAAAAGGAUUAUUUUGAUAUAACGCAGCCACACAAAACAAAAAGAAAAGAACAGACAUGGCUUGUUCAAUUUAGAUGUUUACCUAGACUUGUUCAACUUAGUAUAUUAAAAUUUAAGGUCUUUUCGUGUGAUUUUCUGGCUCUCCGCCGGCUCCAAGCCAAUGUUUAUUUAGCAGAUAUACCAAAUGAGCAUCAUGCUCAUCACAGAGACCGAGAAAUACAAAUGAAACAUUAAGAAAAAGACAAGCAGAAAAUGAUUUGAAAACAAUUUUUCCUUGCUCUUUCUUCUUGUAUUAUACUCAUGCAUGUCGCCCCCAAAACAAACAAGAAGGUGAAUUACAUACUAACAGUUAUAUAUGGUGGUGGUGUUUUUUUUUUCUAAAAAUCAUUGUUGAGUUGGCAGUUAUAAACAUUGGAAAUUAAGGUUGUUGAGUUCUGAUCGUGUAGGUAUUGCUCUUCUUAUAUAAUUAAAUAAAUUCGAAUAUUUUAACAUUUUACAAGUAUGGCCGGACGGCUGUAUUUCAAAAAUAAAUUCGUAUAUUUUAAUCGUAUAACCGGCUGCUCUACUGUUUGGAUAUAAUUCUUCGAAUAUUUUACAAGUACAGCCUAUCGGCUAUACUGUUUAGUAGAGAUGAUAAACCACACUGCAAGCAACACCAAAACAAUUUUUCCACACGUAUGGAAUAAUACUCGGAGGGAGAUGAAAAUUAAAAGGAAAACAUAAAUAUAGGCAAAUUACCGAUAACGAGCAGCUGAUGGCAGUAGCCUAAAGCACUAAUAUUCCAACCAUUUUGUAGUUACACUAGAAUAACAGGUAGUUUUUGCACCAAUUCUGGUGAGAUCUAUCAUAAAACCAAACUAUCGACUACUUGAACCAAACUAUCGACUACUUGAAGCUCUUGCUAGGUCCUGGACUAAUCCACAGCGACGACUACCUGUGUAGAUUACGCAUUACGUACCCACGUACUGCAUGAGAUAAGAGCUUCAACUGGUCACGACUUCUGAAGGAUACAAAUCUCGUACAGAGUUCAAGCCAUUCUCUAUUUUUGAUCCUCAAGUUAACUGCCUAUUUUUGUAUACAUGUCUUGUAAUGUUUAAUUGUAAUAAUGCAGAUAUUUUGUAAUGAUGAUCUUAUAUCCCGUAGAGUUCGUUCUAGUGAUGAUGCUGAGAAAUUUGCAGAAGAGUGUCCUUGCUGGACUGGUUGUGGAUGGAGUGUCAUUUGGUGAGCUUCUUAUUGUUAAUAUAUAAGACUUUUGCCUGAGAGCUUUCCUUCUGAUCUGUUUUAUGCAUUUUGAUUUCUUUUGCUCGACAAACUACAAGGGAUACUCUUAUGCCGUACUUGAGUGGUUUUUUCUGACUCUGAAGAGCUUUACUUGUAUCUUUCUUGUUUCUCUGCGGAGCCAUGUACCUUACUACCUUGGUCUUGUGAUUUCUGUCAUUCUUAUUGCCUAUUAGCUCAAUCACUUUCCCUCCAUCUGUGCAGUACAGCAGGAUACAACAUCUGGCAAGAAAUUCAGUUGGUGAGUGAGUGUGAACAAUUCAAGCAGAAGCAGACAAUGCCAAUAUAUUCACAAAUCAAUUGAAUUAUAAAGCUGCUGUACGAUUACAAUAUAUAGGCAUAUAAAGAUGCCCUAUAUAAGUAAAAGACCUAACUACCCUUAGAAGACACCGACUCAAAUAUAUAUUAAUAUUGGCUAUACAAUUGUCACAAACCCUGUCAAACUCACGAUGUUACAGUAUUAAGCAUCGAGAGUUUGCUAAGAAGAAAGCGGAAGCGAGCAAGCGUGUGAGACUUGGUGAAGAAGUUGGCCAAUUGCAUGGUAGAGGAGACAAAAGGAAGAGAGAUAGUGCCUUGCUGGAAAUGAUGGCGAACAAAGUGAUAGUCCAACUCGAUGUGCUUUGUGCACUCAUGAAAGGCAGAGUUGUGAGCAAUUUGAAUGGCACUUUUAUUAUCACAAUACAUAGGAGUAGGCAUAGAGAGAGAAACACUCAUAUCUUGAAGCAACCACUGAAGCCAAACAAUUUCAGCAGCAAUAGAGGCCAUAGCACGAUACUCAGCCUCAGUAGAAGAACGAGAAACAACUGAUUGUUUCUUACUCUUCCAGGAGAUAAGGGAAUCACCAAGAAAAAUGCAAUAACCAGUAGUAAAUUUCCGAUCAAAAGGGUCACUAGCCCAACCAACAUCAGAAAAGGCUCGAAGCUCCAAAGUUGAGGUGGAAGGAAGCAAUAAGCUUUGAAACAACGUCCCUCGAAGUUAGCGGCAAAUACGAAUCACAGCAGCCCCAGUGAAAAGUAGUGGGAGAGGAGACAAACUAACUAACAAUAUGAAUGGCAUAUGCAAUAUCAGGGCGAGUAAUAGUUAGAUAAACCAAGCUCCCAACCAUAGUGCGAUAAAGAGUAGGAUCAUCCAAAGGGGUACCAUCAUACGAAGAAUAACGCACAUUGAGCUCAAGAGGCGUAUCAGCCAUUCUAGUAUUUGUAAUACGAGCUUUUUGAAGAACGUCAACGGCAUACUUAGACUGAGAAAGGAGAUAACCUUUAGGGGAAGAUGGAACUUCAAUCCCAAGGAAAUAAUGUAAGGGACCUAAAUCCUUCAUUUCAAAUUGAUCAUGUAAAGCCAAUUUUAAUUGGGCAAUACCAUUCAAUUCAUCACCCGUAAGAAUCAUGUCAUCACCAUAAAGGAGGAGAAGGAUAUGACCAACAGAGGUAGAACGAACAAACAAGGCAGGAUCAUGAGCACUUGAUCGAAAACCAACAGAACCAAUAACAGCAGAGAAUUUCUCAAACCAAGCACGUGGAGCUUGUUUAAGACCAUACAAAGCUUUCCGUAAACGAUACACCUCCCUGGGAUUAUGAAGACCAUGGGGGACCAAAUACACCUCAUCGAAAAGAUCCCCAUUCAAAAAGGCAUUUUAACAUCCAUUUGUGAUAAACUCCAUUGAUGAACUGAUGCAACUGCAAGUAAGGUACAAACAGAAGUCAUCUUGGCCACUGAAGUAAAGCUCUCUACAUAAUCAAGGCCAUAUUCCUGUGUAAAUCCCUUAGCAACCAAACGAGCUUUAUAUCUCUCAAGAGAACCAUCAGACUUAGUCUUAAUUUUAUAGACUCAUCGACAUCCAACUGCAUGUUUAGGGUUUAGGGACUAAAUCCAUAUUUACCGGGAGGAAGAGGAACCAAAUCACAUGUGCCAGUUUUAUGCAGAGCAGAAAGUUCUUCAGUCAUAGCCUGUUGCCAAAGAGGAUUACAUAUAGCCUCCUUGUAGGAGGUGGGUUCAGAGAUAAGAAAGAAGAGAAAUCAUGAGAAUAACAAGAAUAACUAAAAUCAUUAGAAGAAUAACCAAACCGAUGAGGGGGCUUAUGAGUGCGCGAAGGAUAACAAGGUGCUAUUAGAUCUACAUCCACAGAAGUUGAAGCAGGCGCCAAAGGAGAUGAAGGAUUAUUAGUGUCAGAACUUAUGACAUGUUUCCUGCGACAAUACACUUGAGUAAUAGGAGGAGAAGUAACACAAGGAUUAGAAGGAGAACUAGAAACAGGAGAAAUGUUAACAUUGUCAGAAUAAGAGAAAUCAUCAUUAGUAGGUGAAAAAGGAUCAAUAUACAUGAGCUUAGAAUUCAAUAAAGUAGUAGGAAUGGAGAAAAAAGGAAUAUGCUCAAGAAAAACCACAUGACGAGAUACAUACAAUUUUUGUACACUAGGAUCAUAACAUCGAUAACCUUUUUGUCCUUUGCCAUAAUCAAGAAAAACAAACAUAGCAGAGUGAGCAAAUAAUUUUGUAUUUUCGACAGGAGGACGAAGAACAAAACAAAUACAACCAAACACUUUCAAUGAGAAAUAGUCAGGACUGUCCAAGUCAAUGUGAACAGACUAAAAUAUAUUGUAGCCCGCGCUCUUUCUCUCCAAUCAAAUGUUAUUGGUACCUAAUUAACUACCCCAGCACCAUUGUCCUACCUCGCCAUACCAAAAAUAAAAACUAAGGAAUAAAGUAACUUUUCGACCAAAAAAAGAAGAAGGAAUAAAGUCACUUUUGCAUAUGUAGUUUGCCGGUUUUUUCAUUUUGUUUAUUGUAGUUUUAAUUUUUUCAAUUUAACUUAUGUAGUUUAAUUCUUUCGCAAUUCAAGGACACAUUCAAAUUUUCAUCCAAUUUCAUCCAAAAUGCCUCGUCUAUGUAAGAGACACGACAUGUGUUUAUUCCAUCAAAAAAUUGGACAGAAAUUUAAACGUGUCCUUAAAUUACAUUAAUCAAACUACAUGAGUCAUAUUGCCAAAACUAAAACUACGUAUGGGAUUCGUCCAGCUACACUAACGAAAAGUGACUACCCAAUCUGUGUCUCUUCGUUGUCCUCUCCUUUCUCUUCCACUAAACAUGCAAUUAUAUUUCAGGCCAGGUAUGCUUUUGUAACUUUGUAAUUGUUUGAUGAUCUGUUCAGCUUCAGAAGAGCUGAUCACAUUCAACAUAGUUGAUAAUCUGUUGGCAACUUUGAAAUUUUGGGUUUUCAAAAUACCAAAACAGAGCCACAAACCAACACAAUAAUUCAUAAGAGAUUUUGGGGAUAUUGAAUUUUUUUAUAUAAUUAUUUAAUAACCAGGUGGAUUUAUUUCUUUAUUUUAAUUAAUGGAGUAUGAAGAAGAGGAAACAACAAUGACAAAUAAAACAUAAACAAAGAAGACUCUUACGGAACAAUAAAUAUAUUUUUGUAGUCAGCUGUCUUAUUCAUGACUUAAACCAAGGAAGCAACACUUUUCUAGAAGAUAAACAGAAUAACUAGAUUUGAACAACCACCUUUUUUUAUUACCAUAUAUGGAAAUAACUGUGGUGCCAUGGGGACUGUUUAUUGUGCAACAUAGCUUGUCAAGGAAGGAUACACAGGUUUAGCAGCUAGAAAUAAAGGAACUUUCUUGCUAACUGCAAGCCCAGCAGCAUCUUCCAUGUCCAAGUCUUCUCUUCUCACCCCAUGAGGGAGUUCCCAGUCGAAACGAUAGAGGAGAUUAGCAAGUGCAAGCUCAAUUAGCUUCACACUAAAGCUAAUACCAGGACAACCCCUCCUUCCUGCCCCAAAUGGUAAAAGUUCAAAAUGGUUUCCUUUGUAGUCAAUUGAGCUGUCCAAGAAUCUUUCAGGCCAGAACUCAUUUGGAUUCUCCCAACAUUCUGGGUCUUUUCCUAUCAUUUUUGCAUGGAUAAACACCAUUGUUGUGGUGGGAAUUUCGUACCCUUCAAUAGUGCAACUCUUUAAGGUUUCUCUUGGAAGUAGUAAGGGCACUGCUGGAUGUAGUCUAAAACUUUCCUUCAAGACCAGCUUUAGGUACAUGAGUUCAGAAAGAUCACUUUCUUCCACUUUUGCUUUUCCCUUUAAAACUCCUCUCACCUCAUCUUGUGCUUUCCUCAACACUAGGGGGUUCCUAAUCAGUUCAGCCAUUGUCCACACCAGUGUGGCUGAGGAAGUAUCAGUGCCUGCAAUAAACAUGUCCUGCAAGAAUACCGAUUGUAUAUAUCAAGCCAGCUGAAAUUCCAUAUAUAUCCAUACGAAUACCGAUUGUAUAUAUCAAGCUAAUAUGAAGGUUGCCGAAGUAAUAGCAAAAGUAUAUUAACAAAUAAGUAACACCUCAAAUACAAGAAGAAAGAAAAAGCGACAUACAGUGAGAACACCCUUAAUUUGGUCAUUACUGAGGGGUAUUGCUUGACUGGCAUCCCUCUGAACCCGAAGCAGAACAUCGACAAGAUCUUCUUGCUCUGGUUCAGGCCUUCUAGGAUCAAGGUGUUCCUCAAUCACUCUGUCAUAGAAAUUGUCCAAGCCUUUAAAACACUUCUCUACCUUUUUCUCAAGACCAUUGAACUUGUUUAACCAACUCAACCAUGGUAGAAAAUCUGACAUGAAAAAUCCUCCUAACAGGGCCCCUGUCUCUUCAAGCAAUCCAUGAAUUCUGCUCUUGCCAAUUCCUCCUCCAUCAUCAUACUUUUUACCGAAAGCCGAACGGCACAAGACUUUGUUUGCUAAGAAAAGUGUCAGUUGAGUGAGAUUGAUGAGACCCUUAGAAUGAGCUAUAGAGUCAAGCAUAAGCGUGACCUCUUCAUCCCUCACAGACUGAAACAUUCGAACCCUCUUUUCACUAAGCAGUUCCAAGAUCACAAUCUUCCUCAUCUCCCUCCAAUACUCACCAUAGGGAGCAAAUGAUAGGUUGACACAGCCAUAGCUAAGCUUCUUUGCAACAUACAAGACUGGCCUACCGGAAAAAACAAGGUCAUGAGUUUUGAAGAUCUCUCUUGCCAUAUGGGCUGAAGAGACUACCAAAGUAGAUAUUGAGCCUAAUUUCAAGAACAUGAGGGGUCCAUAUUGAAGGGCAAGGUGUUCAAGGACAUGAUGAGGUAAGCCAUUAGAAAGCUUGUGAAGGUUCCCAAUGAGAGGUAGCCUCCUAGGACCAGGAGGCAACCUCCUCUCUUGAGAAGCAGAGCUUUUCUUCCUCUGCUUGAUCAAGAGCAAUAAAAUAAAGGGUAGGAGGAAAACAAAGAGGAUGACCAAGGAAGAUUGAGAAUCCAUGGCUGGUUUCUGAGGCUGCAAACAAGGCCGUUGCUGCUGAUAGGCAUUUAAGGAUGGCAGUCAGUCGGUGCAGAGCCUAGUGGCAAGUUGAUUAAAAUAUCCGGCGGAAAGCAGACUAAAAGCAACUGGAUUAAAAUAUUAUGUCGUAUUGAAGCCGACUAAAACUAACUGGAAUGGAAUGUGUGUAAUACAGUAAUAUCGAUGGAAAUUGUCAAUCCUUCAACUAAAGAAUCAGUGGUGAAAUUUCUCGUAUUAAUGAUGACGUAAGGUGAAGGCUUUGCUUAACUCACAGGUGAUGAAAUUAGUCUAUUAGCAUUUGAUGUGAUAAUUUCUUAAUUAUUGUAAAUAAAUAAGAGGUCUUGUUCAAAAAUUUCUAUAAUUGUGAAUCUUUUCCUUUCAUGUCGGACAUGGGGUGGCAUGACACCACAUGUCAUCAAUCAACACUCAGUUCAAUUUUGAAGAUGAAGACAUAAUAUUCUACUUUAAGUAUAAAACAACAGAUAUUAUCCCCUUUCUUAUUCCUCUUUUGUUUAAUCAAAUUCACAUCAAAUUGCCUUUCAUAUCAUUGCCAUAUUCACAACUUCCAAUCAAUAAAUGGGGAAUGCUAACAACCUUUUCUCUAGACCUUCUUCUUUGGCCAUUCUCUCUUUUUUGCUUGACAUGUGUCAUUCUCCUUACACUUAAAACAAUGUCAUUAAUAUAUUAUACAAGUUAAGUUUUGUUUUCCAAGUUUACCCUUAUUAAAUGUAUUCAAUUUAUCCAAAAAAAUUUCACAACUUUCAUACCAUCUUAUUAAUUUUUUUUAAACGUCAAUUAUUUUUUUUAAAAAAUGUCUGCUUUUUUCAAAAAAGAGGAAAUGCCUGUUUUUUUAAAAACACAAAGGACUUUUUUUUUUCCCUAUCUAAACCCUUUUUGUUAAAAAAAUAAAAAGAAAAAAAAAGGGACAUUUCCUCUUAGAAGCAGAUAUUUUCUUUAAAAAAAAUAAUUGACGUUAGAAAAAAAUUAAUAAGAUGGUAAGAAAGUUGUGAAAUUUUUUUGCAUAAAUUGAAUACAUUUAAUAAGGGUAAACUUAGAAAGUAAAAGUUAGCUUGUAUAAUAUAUUAAUGACAUUGUUUUAAGUGUAAGGAGAAUGAGCAAAAAAGGGAGAAGGUUAUGCUAGCAACCUUCUCUUUUGGACCUUCUCCCUUCUCCUUAUGACAAGUGUCAUUUUUCUUACACUUAAAACAAUGUCAUUAAUACAUCACAUAAGUUAGUUUUUGUUCUUUUAUAUUUUCUUUUCAAUUUAUUCAAAUUUUGUUACAACUUCUUUAGCACAUUGUUAAAAAUUAAAUAAUUAACAAAAGAAGAAAAAUGUCAUAUUUUUAAAAAAUAAAAAUAAAGUUUGUUUCAUGACAUUGUUAUCAUCUUUAUUUUGUUUUUAACAAAAACACGUGCUCUCUUUGGAAAAAUUAAAAUUAAAAAAAACUUCAGUUUUUAUUUUCUUAUUUAAUUUUUUAACAAGGUGGUAAAAAAGUUGUAAAAAAAAAAGCUUGUUAUUAAAAAAAAUUAAUACAAGAAGGGUAAACUUGGAAAACAAAAACUAGUUUGUGUGAUGCAUUAAUGACAUUGCUUUAAGUGUAAGGAAAGUGACACUUAUCAUGAGAAGGUCCAAAAGAGAAUGUUAGAGAGAAGUUUGCUAGCGCUCCCUAUAAUGAAAUUAGUCUAUUAGAAAAAGAAACCAAAAAACAUAACCUUGGAAAAGACCAAACUUAUUUUCAAUUUUAAAACAUACUAGACAUAUAAUUUUUUAUAUAUUGUAAAUAAAUUAGGUCUUAUUCAAAAAUUUGUAAAAUUGUGAAUCUUUCCUUUCAAGUCACACACGGGUGGCACCAUCGCAUUGGAAAAGCGGGCCAAACUCUUCCUUUCUUCAAGUGCAUCCAUAUUUAAUUCACGUAUAAGAUAAUUUUUAGACAACUCAAUAUAAUUCUCCCCCGCCAUGGUGAUUGAUAAAAAAAUAAAGAGUCUUUCUUUUCAUGUCCACUUGAACGCAGCGUUUCGGGCCACUGGGCAACAAACGACACGCAACUGAAGAUAAACCAAAUCCGAUAAUCAUCUAAUCGGUUCUCAGUAUCGUAAAAAGCUCUUUGGCAAUGGAAGCUCUGGGAUUUCCUUCUCUCAACACCCACACCAUUUCGUGCUCUAGUUUUCAGAAACAAAGAACGACCAAAAUACCAUGUCAAAGAGAACGCUUUUCAAGCAUUUCACUUUUAUCUUCGCUAAAACUUAGACCCUGUUACAGACCAUUCCAUUUUGUAUGUAAAUUCUGCACCUUUUUCAUAUUCUAAUUAGUGGCUUUGUUUUAUUUUUCUUGUUUUUAAUUGUUUUCUCAACUGGGUUGUUCUUCUUGUUGUUUUUGAUUCAGCGUAGGAGUGCUACUCGAAUGCAAGCUGACAAUGAAGAUUACGAGUUGAAGCAAAUGAGGGAUGUGGCUGCUGCCAAGAAGAGAUGGGAAGCUCUGGUAUGUUGCUCAGUUCCUAUAAAAUCAGAAGAAAAAAAAAAAAGAAAACCGAAAAACGAUUGGUUUUAUAACUUAUGGUAAUAUAUUUAAGUGAGCUGGGGAUUUAAGAAAAGAAAGCAACAUUCUUUCGUUUGCUGCGCCUUAUUUCAGUUGAAAUUUUUGUUGUUGUUGUUGUUGAAUAAGGUUGUGUGUUUUCUUUUGCAUAUGCUUUUGAAUUUAUUUGUGCUCUGUUAAUUUUUUGAAGUAGUAGCUACUUGAUUAAUACAGGUUAGGGAAGGAAAGGUUAAAGCUUUAACACCAAGGGAAGCUGGGUAUGCAAUUCAGCUAUCUAACAAAACCCUUCUUGAUGUUCGUCCCUCUACAGAACACAAAAAGGUAGACAUCCUAACAUGAUUUUUUUUUUUUUUCUCUAUAGCAUCCUUUUUCAUUAUUUUUCAAUAAACCUCUUCUUUCCCCCUCUUUUAUAGGCAUGGGUUAAAGGCUCAACCUGGAUUCCAAUAUUUGAUGUUGGUAACGAAUUCGACGCUGGAACUCUUUCCAGAAAGUUCAUGAGUUUCACGAUGGGUAUCAUGCAAUUCUUGCUAUCUUGUCUUUCUUAACUGCUAUCCAGUUUUGCAUUGUUGCGUGCUUUAUAUUUUCAUUUUGGCAACAAAUGAAUAGGUUUCUAGUCAAUAGUCAAAUCAUAGUAUCUUUGUGAUAUGUUGGAGGGAACAAGAGAGUAUUUUCUUAACUCCUCAAAUAACAUCUGAAUUGUAACCUGUCAUUGCUUUGAAUCUUGUGGCGGCUGUACUCCUAAAUGUGACAUAAUAUUUUCGUGUAGGGGGUUGGUGGAGUGGUGUGCCUACAUUGUCUUAUAAUAGGUAUUUCAAAAAAUCAUAUUAUUGGCGUGAUUUGCUUUGUUCACAUGAUGAAUUGCAUUUUCAUUGUUUUUUCUUUUGCAACAGCCAGUUCUUGUCCAAAGUUGAUGAGAAGUUUCCAAAAGAUACAGAUCUUAUUGUUGCAUGUCAGAAGGGAUUGAGGUGCGCUUUAUGUUCAACUAAUUGUAGUUUCGGUUAUAACUUUGGUUUAAUAAUGAGGAAUGUGGAAGUUCUGCUAUAACAUAAUUCUAUUUUGGUUUUUAUAUAAUUGAUAUGAUUGAGUUUUUUAUUGCAUCAUAUAUGUAGUUAUGUCAUCCUAUAUUCAGAAUGCAUUGCAAAUCCAUUUUUUUUUUCCUCAUUUUCAUAGUUGUCUAAAAUUAGACUGGAAAAGCUUUUAGAAAACUUUAGUGAAAGUUGUCCCAAAAUUAUGAAUAUUAUAUGAUCAUUUAUUAUCUUCUCCCCACAAGGUGACCAUAUAAUUGGAGGAAAUUGUCAAGGGAUAAAAAGGGGGGAAUCUUUAUUCAGCCCUUUAUUUUCUAUGUUCUAGACAUCAGACCCAUGUUUCUGUCCAAGUUGAAUUUUUUGUGUAUAUGAAUCUUUGAUCACUAACAUAUCUCCAGCUCAAAUAGAGAACAGCAGUUCGUAACUUAUACUUCUACCCAAUACUUUUUUUUUAUUUUAAAAAAACUAACUAAUACUAUGGUUUAACUUUAAAUACAUGGAAGAAAAGAUGGCAAUGAAGAGAAUAGCCUAUAUUAAUUAAAAUGAAUCAAUCAAAUUUCACCACUGUCGCCUUUCUUGGGCAGAUCUCUAGCUGCUUGUGAGCAGCUGUACAAUGCGGGAUACAGAAACCUUUUCUGGGUUCAAGGGGGUUUAGAGGCUGCUGAAGAAGAGGUAGUUGUGGUUUGUGUAACUUAGAUAUUUUUUUUCUACUUAGCAUUUCUAAAUUUAUAACUUUUUCAGUGCUUUGUUGUGAGCCAACCUGAAAACGUCUGUUAAUGUAGUGAGUCUCAUCUUAUGUCGGAGCAGGAUCUUGUCAGAGAAGGCCCUCAGCCAUUUAAGUUUGCUGGAAUUGGUGGGGUUUCAGAAUUCCUUGGGUAACUAUCUGAUCUUAACUCACUUCUCCUUAUGAUGUGUGCAUUGUGAAGACCAAAAUUUUCUUUUUCAUUUUUUCUUGUUUCAAAUGGGAAGAUAAGAUGAAACUGUAAGGAUCAUGAAACUGGGUUGAAAGGUUAUGUCAAUGCCAUCUAGUACAGAUAACUAGAUAGCUAUUAGAUGCAUAAUCAGGUAAAUACGCAUGUAGAUUGAAUCUGGUAUACUUAAUUGACCAAGGUUGACGUUACUUUGACCAUUGAAAAGGUAAUUUCCAGCUAUAAUCUUCAAGUUAUUGCUGCCAGAUUGACUCAAGGUCUAUGAUUUGGUGAUUUACUUUGUAUAUUUUCCAUUAGUUUAUGGCUUAUAAUACAAAUUACUUGGUAUCUACUUUCUGCUGAUGCACAGUGGCCUUAAGUUAUUGGUGCAUAUUAGAGUACAACUUUAAGGCAGUUCUUAUACAACUUUACAGAAAGUGCAUUUAUUUAUGAAUCCCCAAUCCACAGUUGGACUGAUCAGCAAAGAGCUGCAGCUGCCAAAGAAGGUUGGAGUUACCGAUUAGUGUUCUCUGCCCGGCUGGUACUUAUUUUCUUUAACAUGUUUGCUAAAAUGGCCUGCUGUUUAGUCACCUCACUUUUAAGAGUCCAAUCUCAAAUGUGAUUUCUUUUUUGGCACAGGUUGGAGUCUUUCUCCUUGCUGAUGCCUUGUUUUUUGGUGCUCAGAAAGUAGCUCAUUAUCUUCAGGAUAUAAGGUCACAAUGAGAUUCAACAGCUGUGCUUGAAGUACUUGAUUGAAUAUCAAUGUACAACAUUUUGCAGUACUGGUUCACCACAGAGAACAGAUUUGCCAAGGAUAACAAUUUUGGAAGCCAGAGUACCUCAGAGAGAAGAUUGCGUUCUCCACUUUUAACCACAUAUCCCUCUAUUCUCAUAUUGUUCCAUGCUUUUCAAUGAAGUUGGAUCUAUGCAUGAUCUACCAUGCAUGUGCUCGCUCCAUGAGAAGUAGAACAAUGAUUAGUCCAGAAAAUUUUGUCAAGACAGUUAUGCCUUGUAACAAGUCCUAGUCUAGUACUAGUCUUGUUUUUUAUUUCUUUCCCAUGAAGGUUUUACGGCCUAGCAAUGUAUACCUUCUGUGAGCUCCACUACUUUUCAAAAUUCAUCUUUUAUCAAUCAAUUUAUAUUGAAAAGAACUUGAAUAAAUUCUUUUGAAUAUUUUUUGAAGUAUAUAGCUCCCUGAUAUGCAUGCGGAGGCAAGUAGGGGAAUUAACUUGUUCUUCCUUGCGAAGCUAUAACCAUAACAUUGUUCUUGGAAACCAACCUUGACACUGGGUUUAGAUCAUAGUUGGGGUAAAGGAGGGAGGGAAAAGGAAAGAAAAAGCAUAUCUUAUUUAAAAAAGACAAGUAUAUAUUCUUCCAUUAACUAUAAGAGUCUGUUUUUGAGAUACAGGCAAAAGGCACUGCGUGCAUCUUGCUCGUCUCUUGUAUGUUUGAUGAAAGCAGAGAUAAUUGGAUGAUACAUAGAGUAUCAUGUAGUUUAUUGAUGAUUUCUCGUCUCAGGAAAACCGUGGUCUGGCAACAACAAUCAGAUUGGCUAUCCUGUGCAUUGUGAUACCAAAAACUUCUGUCAUGUCCAAAUCUUUUGCUGCAGUAUCAGGGGGAAGCUCCCAAUCAAAGGUAUGCAGAAGUUGAGCUAGAGCAAGCUCAAUGGUUGCUGUUCCCAAUGUAAUAGCAGGGCAACCUCUUCUACCAGCCCCAAAAGGUAUAAGCUCAAAAUCCUGCCCCUUGAAGUCUAUAGUGCUACCUAUGAAUCUUUCUGGUUCAAAUGCUUCUGGAUUUUCCCAAGAUUCAGGGUCCCUCCCUAUUGCCCAGGCAUUGACGAAAAUUCGUGUUUUGGCUAGAAUAUCGUACCCAUCAAUGGUUACAUCUUCCAUGGAUUCUCUAGGGACUAGUACUGGAGCAGGUGGAUGCAAUCUAAAUAUUUCUUUGAUGACAGCUUUCAUGUAGUCCAGCUGAGGCAGAUCACUCUCUAACACGACUCUUCUUUCUCCGACAACACCUCGUACUUUUGGUGCAUUGUGCAGUUUAGGCUCAAGUAGGCGAACAAAGGAGCAUUUGGUGCUUUGUGCAGUUUAGGCUCGAGUAGGCGAACAAAUGAGCAAUUGGUGCCUUGUGCAGUUUUGGCUCGUGCAGGCAAAGUAGCAAUUGGUGCCUUGUGCAGUUUUGGCUCGUGCAGGCAAAUGAGCGUUUGGUGCCUUGUGUAGUUUAGGCUCUUGCAGGCAAAGGAGCAUUUUGGUGCCUUGUGCAGUUUUGGCUCGUGCAGGCGAAGGAGUGUUUGGUGCCUUAUGCAGUUUUGGCUCGCGCUGGCGAAUGAGCGUUUGGUGCCUUGUGCAGUUUUGGCUCGUGCAGGCGAAGGAGCAUUUUGGUCGAAUUUGUGUUAAGCGAAGUGAGAAGUAUCCUCCUUAUGUUUUUCACCUCGGGAGGUGCUCGACGCAUUAUUCUUGAAGAAUCCCUUGGGGAAGAAGUCAUGUAGCAUGAUGGGGCUAGGCGACCUUUGUUUCAAGAGUUCAUCUUUUGGAACCAUUUUGUUCAUAUUUGAUAAUUCAUUUCCUCUAUGCCUUUUAUGUGAUUGAGGAGAACUUCUUUUGCUUACAAAUCUUUUUGAUCGAGGAGUUCUUGGCAAAGGUGCACUCGUAUGUAACUUCUUCCGAGUAGCCAAUGCCCAUCCUUCAUUAUCGUCAUCGAAUGAAUCGACACUACUUUGACUUUUCACUCCAACACACUCAUACGGAUUGAGUUGAUGGGUUUCAGAGAAUGCCCCCAGUGAUUGAAGUGAGGGCGAAUGUGCCUAACCAGAUAAGACAAACGAGAUCGUAGCAUGGCUAGACUCUACCACCUUGUCAAGAUCCAUUUCGAUUCUUCCUUGUUGUGCCAACUUCAUGAUGAGAUCUUUCAACACGAAGCACUUUUCCACUGGGUGACUGAUGACAUGAUGGUACAUGCAGUAUUUCGGGUGGUUAAUAUGAUUCAUCUCUUCAGGGCGUUUGCACUCAGGUAACUCAAUCACCUUCUUCUCAAGUAAGUCUUCCAGCAUGCCUUCUAUGUCAGAGUCUGGAAAAGGAUACUUCUUCUCCUUCAUUUCUUUUAGGGUGUAUCCUCGCGGUUCUUGAUCUUGAGUCGACUCGGCCUUCCUCGCAUCUUUCUUGCCUCGAGUGGAAAUCUUCAUUGGAGUAGCACUGAUCGUCAUUGACUCCAAGAUGCGUGUCCUCAAAGAGUCUGCCCCAUUUCUCGAUGACUUGUCAUUUCGAUGACCACUCACCAUUUCCUUUCUUCCAUCGUGAUUAGCGAUACUUAGCUCUAUGUCAUGCGCACGAGUGGUCAAUUCUUCAAAGGUACGGGGUUUGAUCCCUUGAAGAAUGUAGAGCAGACCCCAAUGCAUACCUUGAAUGCACAUCUCUACAGCCGAUAACUUUGAGACUCGAUCUUUGCAGUCGAGGCUUAAUGAACGCCAACGAUUGAUGUAGUCAACAACAGGUUUGUCUUUUCGCUGCUUUGUGCUACUGAGCUCUAUCAUGCUAACUGAGCGACGAGUGAUAUAGAAGCGGUUGAGGAAUUCUCUCUCCAUUUGUUCCCAGCUGUCAAUUGACUCAGGUUCCAAGUCAAUGUACCAGUUGAAUGCAGUGCCUCGGAGUGAUCGGACAAAUUGCUUCACGAGAUAAUCGUCGUUAGUGCCAACGCUGUUGCACAUCUCGAUGAAGUGGGCAACAUGUUGUUUAGGGUUACCUUUUCCAUCAAACUGCAUAAACUUUAGAGGUUGAUAGCCUGUUGGCAUUCGAAGGUUGUCUAACCUUUUGGUGUAAGGCUUGGAAUAGAUAAAUGUAUCUUGAGAAGGCCCACCAUAUUGAGCCCUGAUGGUGUUCGUGAUCAUGUCCUGAAGUUGUUGGAUAGAUAAAGAACCCACCGAGGCUGUGUUGCCUUUUCCGUGCGACUUAUCACCCGACUCUGUUUCAUGACCCAAUCCUUUCUCGCUAGAUUCAGCUUCAUGAUGUGAUUCUUUCUUAUGCACGUCUUCACUAGGUUCCUUAUCUUGAUGUGUCUCCCACUUGUUAAUGAGAGAAGCAAUCUGCACAUCCUUCUCUUCGACCAUCUUCAUCAAUUUCGUGACCGCUUCGCUCAUAUGGGCCAGCUGUUCUUCAAUAGACAUUGCUCCCGUCACCAUGACCUGCAUAGCCAUAGAAUAAGACUCACCUACAGACGCCGAGGCAAUCUUCUUCUGUUGGUCGUCAGGCGGGGAUCCAUGGUAUGAACUUGUGCUCGAGUCAGCAUCUGAAACAAGCGAGAGUGAGCGUUCUCUUGAAUUCUUCGAACAUGAAAAACUCUUUUCUUCGUUCGAAGAGUUUCUCUCAUCCGCUUUGGCGAUAGUCUUCUUUGCCAAAUUGAUGACUGGUUCACGCCUUCGGUUCACAUCUUUCGCCUUGGCUUGAGUCGGUAUGGAAGUGACAUGUCGAGUUACGGAUAUCGCCUUGGCCUUGCUCCGGGUGACGACCCCAGCAGAAUUUUCGCUUGAGAAGGAGGCGCUCACGCUUUUACCUCUCGUCGCGGGAACGGAUUGAAUCUUCUUGGAAGCCAUCGUUUUUCGAUGUGUUGAUUGAUUUUGGAACUGGAGAAAGAGAUGAGAGGCAAAGAUGGUCCCACUGGGCGUGCCAAAUUUGUAAACACGAAUUUCCUGCGACAAAUGAGACAAGAACACGUGUACAAAAUAAUUUUGUAUUUAUGAAAUUUAGGGUUACAAUCUCUGUAUUGAAUCCUCUGAUUCGAUCUCCAAUGUGUUUAAAGAAAAUAUGUGUUUGAUACAAGGGUCGUAGAGACUUGAUCUUGAUCAAACAGGUAGCACGAAGCUUGUUUGGUGUUUGGGAUUUUUCUAUGGUAAAGGAACCGGCACGUAUUUAUUGUGCUUGGUAGCUCUUCCAAAGUAGGGUGAAAAAUGCAGAGAGUUUUCUGUUUCUUCUGAGUGCUAGGUUUUUUUUUUUUGACUUUCGUCUUGAGGCCUCCUAUUUAUAGGCUCUUGUAGGAUGCUUGACCUAAAUAACUUUCCCUAUUUAAAACCUUGUUUUGUGGGAUUUUGAUUUGAUUUAAAUCAAUUCCCAUAAUCUGACAAUUUAACCAGAUUAUCUUCAAUUGAUUGACCUGAUUAAUAUUUGAUUUAAAUCAUAGUCAAUCACAGAAGAUUCUUUCCCUUAAUUUUGUUUUCAUCUUGAACUGUUUGAUGCACUCCGUCGGAUGUCGCCACGUGUCAAUUUUUGACAACUAAUUCGAUUUUGAUGAGUCAUACGCCACAUGUGCGAAUUAUGAGGCCCACAAUUCAAUCCACCGAACCCUAAUUAUUUUCUCGUCCAAUGGAAUUUAUUUCAACAAAAUUUCUUUGUCUACAGGUGGACUUGGGUCGACCAGAAAACGCGAGGUCAUGAGUUUUCAAGAUCUCCCGAGCUGCCUCAGCUGAAGACACAACAAGCACCGGGACACUUCCAAAGUGGAGAAGCAUGAGAGGGCCAUGGCGUUGGGACAAGGCUUGAAGUGAGCGAUGAGGGUACGAGCCUAUCUGGUGAAGGUUUCCAAUGAUAGGUAGCUUUGGUGGAGAAGGUGGUUGUGUUGAUUUUUGGGUGGUGGUUUUAGUCGAAGAGUACCAUGUGUAUAGGAGGACAAGGAAAAUGGCCAGCAGUGUGAAGGCCAAAGGUUGCAAAAAGGAGGAGCUUUCAUUUAGCUCUUGCAAUAAUUGCAAGGGAUUUAGCAUCUUCAGAGUUGGUACUAGAAACGAAUGUGUUGUGUGUGUUUAAAUAAAGGCAAAGAUCAUAAGAAAACAAAACAACAUAUAGGAUAGGACUAUCCAAUGUAUUUAAAAGUUGAAACCACCGCCUCACAAAUUUGUGUGCCAACUUGGAGCCGCAUAAAAGUUUACGGAUGUUUAUACCCGG